This 90420-nucleotide long non-coding RNA is filed under the name Triticum aestivum (bread wheat). RNAcentral describes it as "long non-coding RNA (TAES_LNC016434)". The record is from RNAcentral. Lineage: Eukaryota; Viridiplantae; Streptophyta; Magnoliopsida; Poales; Poaceae.
GAGGAGGGGCUGAGGUUUCGCUUCUCGGGAGAAGGGAGCUUCCGAGGAGAAGGUGAAUUGGCGCCCACGAGGUAUGAAUGAGGNNNNNNNNNNNNNNNNNNNNNNNNNNNNNNNNNNNNNNNNNNNNNNNNNNNNNNNNNNNNNNNNNNNNNNNNNNNNNNNNNNNNNNNNNNNNNNNNNNNNNNNNNNNNNNNNNNNNNNNNNNNNNNNNNNNNNNNNNNNNNNNNNNNNNNNNNNNNNNNNNNNNNNNNNNNNNNNNNNNNNNNNNNNNNNNNNNNNNNNNNNNNNNNNNNNNNNNNNNNNNNNNNNNNNNNNNNNNNNNNNNNNNNNNNNNNNNNNNNNNNNNNNNNNNNNNNNNNNNNNNNNNNNNNNNNNNNNNNNNNNNNNNNNNNNNNNNNNNNNNNNNNNNNNNNNNNNNNNNNNNNNNNNNNNNNNNNNNNNNNNNNNNNNNNNNNNNNNNNNNNNNNNNNNNNNNNNNNNNNNNNNNNNNNNNNNNNNNNNNNNNNNNNNNNNNNNNNNNNNNNNNNNNNNNNNNNNNNNNNNNNNNNNNNNGGCUUCUCGGCUUGGGUCUGUGUACUAAGGGUCGGGGAUAGUAGAGUAACUUUGCUUCUCCCCAAAUAGUGGGUGGGAGCGAUUUCGGGCAAGGAGGGCGUGUUUUGAAAUAUAGUGGGCGCGAGCGAUUUCGGGCGAGAAGAGUGUGUUUUGAAAUAGUGGGCGCGAGCUAUUUCGGGCGAGGAGAGCGUGUUUUGCCGACCAUGGUUUAUGAAUUAUUUGGCACAUGUCAUUUCGGCCGAGGAGAAGACGCGCUUGGAUGAAGUUAUGAACCUACCCUCGAUGUACAAUGGGCCAAUUGAUGCGUGUCCCACAUAGGCCAGUAAUUUCGCGUCUCCCUUUUAUUUGCUCGAGCAAAUUCUACUGAGCAAAGGAUGUUUAACGGUUCGUUCAAAUUUUGGGAGAACGAGCAUCCACGUCUACCUUACCAAGUCGAUUUGAAUCAAAUUUUGAAAUAUUAGCUUGCCACUUCUUUUUUAGAUGGAGAGAUGAUGCUUGGGAGUAAUGUGUUUUUACAUGCUCGUUGCUAGCGAUUUACUAUAUGACAAAUAGUUGACCCACUCAAAAACGGGAAUCAAACCCAAAAUGAAAUAUCUCGAUUCAAUAAAAUAGCUCGUUCACCAGGUCAAAAUAGUGAACUAAAUCCAAAAUUGAACACCUCAAUCUAGUAGCAUGUUGUAUAGUAUUAUAGUACUCCAUGAACAUGUUGAAAGUCAAAUUAAUGAACUUGUUUGAUAUACGCAUAUGUCUGUUCAUGUGUGGAUUGCAGAUAACAUGUUCUCCAAUUUAAAUAUUUGAAUGCAAGUUUAUAUGUAAACAUGGUUUAUAUCAGUCUUUGAUGCAUAAAAUGCGACCUCCCCCUCUCCCGGACUCCUGCUCUCUCUCUCUCUCUCUAUCUAUCUAUCUAUCUAUCUCUAUCUCUCUCUAUCUCUCUCUCCGACAAUCUUCAAUUAUGUCGCAUGCAUCCAACACACAAACCUUGUUGGUCCCUCUCCUUCUCUCUCUCUCUCUCUCACUCUGUGUGUGUGUGUGUGUGGGAGGGGGGGGUCUUUCUAGUCAGGGGCGAACCAACGUUAUGGUGAGUGGGGGCCUAGGCACCCACUGAAAAUAUGAAAUUUUGGUACGAUUUGCUUGUGUUUUUGGAAAAAUAUUCUUAAAUUAUUUAAAUUUCUAUAGAAUAUGCCCCCAGUCAAUUAGUUUGCCCCACUCCAAAUACUUUCUAGGUCCGCCACUAUUUCUAGUUUGCAUGCAUAUAUACUCCAUCUAUAGGUCUCUCUCGCACACUGUGUAUGAUUCUCUAGUCCAAGCUAGAUAUCUUGGGUGCACUCAUCAUACGCACACAAAUUCCUAUAAGUGCAUCUAGUGCCCCUUAGUGAUUUUGGUGUAUUGAAGACAUAUAGGUUAAGGGACUGAUGUGUUUGUGAGUGUACAUAGGUCUAUAAAUCUAUGAGGAGUUUGUGGGUGAGUUUGAUAUCUAGUGCCACUUAGUGAUUUUGGUUUAACGGCCUGGAGUUUUAGUUAUGUCGACUGUAGGAAUGAGGAACGAUCCUGCCCCAUCUUUGACGGUCAUGAGUAUCCUCGGUGGAAGGCCAUGAUGAAGAAGCGACUCAUGGCCAUGGACAGCGAACUGUGGACCGUCACUGAGAUUGGUCUUACCGAUCUAUGCAAUAUGGCGGAGGUUGAUGACAUUCGCAAGUACACUCUACUCAACCUCACAACGAAGGAUGUCAUCUGCUCCUGUUUGUCCCAAAAUCAGUUCAGGAACGUCAUGCAUCUCAAUCACACGAAGCUAAUCUAGGACCGGCUUUCUGAGGUCUAUGAAGGUCAUCAAACACGUCAUGAUCCUUGGUUUGAGGAUUACAAGGAAUCUCUCAAUGCGAUGACAUUCAAACCAGAAUCAUCAUCUUCUUCACCAUGCCUUAUGGCAAAAAGUGCUAAGGUAACCGAAUGCUACCUAUCUGAGUCCAGUGAUGAUGAAUCUGGAGAUGAAUUUGGACCCAGCUAUGUCAAACUUGCUUCCCAUGCCAUUAAACAACAAAGAGCUUUGGAAAAAGUUCAAUACAUGCUAAAUAAGAGCGAUGAUAUGUUGGGUGAAGAAAUGGAUCAGUCAAAAGCUUUGGCUGAGAGUCUUCAGAGACUUUAGUUCAAGUUUGACACCCUUCAAGGUCAUCAUAACACUCUCUUAUCUGAUCAUGAGAAGCUUUCUUAAAAAUUUCUUCAAAGAAAGCAAGAUCUUGAGAAGCUAAGAGUGGAUUAUGAAGAUCUUCAGAAGGAGCGCGAUUCAUUACUUGCUCAACAAAUCAGUGCUACUCAGGAAGAAUUUGUUCCUCCAUGUCUGAAGUGCAUUGAACGUGAAUCUGCUAAUUCUUCACCUGAAUGUUCAAAUGCUCUAAUGCUACAAAUUCUUCACCUGUCUCUACUAUCACUAAUUCCUCAUCUGAGGACAUUGCUAGUAUCACUGAUGAUGCAGGGCUGAAGGAAUUUUACAUGACAGGCAUGUACAAAAGCCUCAAAGGGCAUCAGACUCUUUGUGAUGUGCUUAAAAAGCAGAUCCUCAACAGGAACCCCAGGAAAGAGGGUAUUGCCUUUGAGAGGAAACUCAAUGCUGAUGGAACAUAUUGGAAGCCCGAGCAGUACCCCAAAACCUCAUGGGUUGCUGCAAAGGGACCUCCAGUUGAUCCAUGCAACUUAUCUGGCUUUACAUGUGAAUCUCCUCAUUCUUCUGAUGAGUCAUUUGACUCCAACUAUAAACUGUUCAAAAAUCAUAAUGGUGAAGUAUUUGCUAGAUAUGUUGGCACUAACUACAGGAACGGUUCACCUAUGAAGAAAAUCUGGGUUCCCAAAAGUUGCCUUGAAAGUCUUCAGGUGAAUGUCCUCAUGACACCACCUGUGAAGAAUAGGAACUCCAGAUCAAAUUCUUCAUAUGAACCAAAUUCUUCAUAUGGAUCCAAGUCCUCAUACGGACCAAAUUCCUCACGUGGAUCAAAUUCCUCAAAAGGAUCAAAGUCCUCAUAUGAUCAUCAGCGUGCUAACCCCUCUAUUUCGCAGGGUAGAGCUAAGGGCUAUGAAUAUGAGCAUUAUUCUUCAAAUCAUUAUGUUCAUAAGUCCUCGAAGAAUUUCUCUGCUUAUUCAUAUGCUUACCCUAACCCAUCUUAUGUGAAAUGAAGCGGACUGGCUUCUAUGCCACCUUUCUCAUAUGGUGCUCGCAGAGUGAUGAAUUCUUUGCCACCCCUUCAGAUGUGGGUGGUGAAGAAAAAGAACUAAUCUCUUAUGCAAGGUCAGGUCUCCAGACGCGCUCAAAAUGUCUGAAGAAUUUGCUGGAGACCUGAACAGUGCCUGAAAGGACGCAGGCUAAUCAUGAUGAAAUGAACUUUCAUUUCUCACGUCCCCAUACCGUUUAUCUGUUCUAUUGCUCGAAGAAAUUGAUCUGAUGAUAUUGAUGUCAUAUUCUUCACUAAUGAAGUAUAUGAGUUCGUAAGUUGCACUAAUUCAUCUGCAGGAUGAUCAACCCAAAGCCAAUGAGUGGGUCCUCGAUAGUGAAUGUACGAAUCACAUGACUGGUGAUAAGAAUCUAUUGAUGGAUGCUCCUUUAUCACCGUCACAUCUGAAGUAUAUCAUCUUCGCUGACAAAGGCAAAAGUCAGGUAUUGGGUCUAGGUAAGGUUGUGAUCUCAAAGGAUCGACACAUGGACAAAGUCAUGCUUGUCGAGUCCUUAGGAUACAACCUCAUGUCUAUCUCAAUGCUUUGUGAUCUUGAUAUGGUUGUUGUCUUUGGAAAAUAUCAUUGCGUAGUGAUCAUGGAAGCUGACAAUUCCAAAGUCUUCGAAGGCUUUAGGAGAGGAGUCUUGUACAUUGUUGAUUUCUCUACAGGACCACAACCGGCCGUAUGUCUACUUGCAAAAGCUUCAGAAGGCUGGCUAUGGCAUCGACGACUUGGUCAUGCUGGCAUGAGGAAUUUGCACACGCUUGCGAAGAAGAAGCGUGUCAUUGGCAUUGAGAAUGUGAAAUUCCUCAAGGAUCACUUAUGCGGAGCCUAUGAAGCUGGAAAGAUGACCAAGGCCAAGCAUCCAACAAAGACUAUCAUGACUACCACUCGACCAUUUGAAUUGCUUCACAUGGAUCUCUUUGGUCCUAAUCAUUAUUCAGCUGUUACAAAUGAUGCAUCUCUAUAUGGCUUUGUUAUUGUUGAUGAUUAUUCUUGUUACACAUGGGUGCACAUUGUGACUUACAAACAUGAAGUGCAGGAAGUCUUCAAAUGAUUUUCCUCGAGGGCUUCAACCAACUUUAGUGUGAAGAUCAAGCACAUCAGAAGUGACAAUGGGACUGAGUUCGAGAAUUCCGGUCUUGAUGACUAUCUGAGCUUGGUAUUACUCAUGAGUUAUCUGCUCCUUAUACUCCUGAGCAGGAUGGCGUCGUGGAGCGAAAGAACAGAACUCUUGUUUAGAUGGCUCACACUAUGCUUGAUGAAUACAAGACGCCUCGUUGUUUCUGGAUUGAGGCAAUUGAUACUGCGUGCCACAUCAUCAAUAGAGUAUAUCUUCACAAAUUCUUCAGGAAGACUGCCUAUGAACUCCUCACUGACAAGAAACCCAAUGUGAGUUACUUCAAAGUCUUCGGUGCUAAAUGUUGGAUUAGAGAUCCUCAUCACAAUUCUAAAUUUGCACCAAAAGCACACGAGGGUUUUAUGCUUGGUUACGGAAAGGACUCGCACACCUACAAAGUCUUCAACAACGUUCUUCACAAGGUUGUUGAAACUGUAGAUGUGCGGUUCGAUGAAACUAAUGGCUCGCAAAGAGAGCACCUACCUUCCGUGAUAGAUGAACCAGCACUUGAGGAUUCUAUCAAGUUCAAAGCUACUGAGGAUGUCAUUCGCACCGAAGAAUCUGCUGAAGAAUUCAUUCCUGAACGUGAUGAAUGUCGAGCUAGCACACCUGAAGAAAAUGGUGCUGAGGAAAAUGCUCCUGAAGAAAAUGCAGAUCAAAUUCCUCGAAGACAACCCGCUCAUCCUCGUAUUGCAAAUGAAGUGCAAAUUGAGAAGAUCAUCGAUGACAUUGAAGCACCAGGUCCUCUCACACGCUCAAAAUCUUCACACUUAUCUAACUUUUGUGGGCACUUUGCUUUUGUCUCUAUCAUAGAGCCCACUAAGGUAGAUGAAGCAUUUCUGGAGCCUGAGUGGAUUCAAGCUAUGCAAGAAGAAUUAUAUCAGUUCGAUCUCAACAACGUCUGGGAACGGGUCAAACGUCCAGAUCCUCGCAAGCACAACAUUAUUGGCACAAAGUGGAUCUACCACAACAAGCAAGAUGAAAAUGGCCUUGUGGUGAGGAAUAAGGCACGGCUUGUAGCUCAAGGCUACACACAGGUUGAAGGAAUUGACUUCGAUGAAACUUUUGCACCUGUUGCUAGACUUGAGGCUAUUCACAUAUUACUUGCUUAUGCUUACCAUCAUGAUAUUAUCUUACAAAAAAUGGAUGUGAAAAGUGCAUUCCUCAAUGGUAAGCUUGAGGAAGAAGUAUAUGUUGCUCAACCCCUAGGUUUUGAAGAUCCAAAGAAUCCUGACAAAGUCUUCAGACUCAACAAGGCCCUGUAUGGCCUCAAGCAAGCCCCUCGGGCGUGGUAUGAUACUUUGAAGUAUUUCCUCAUGAAGAAAGGCUUCAAACCCGGUUCACUCGACCCAACUCUUUUCACUAAGUCUUAUGAUGAUGAAUUGUUUGUGUGCCAAAUAUAUGUUGAUGAUAUCAUUUUUGGUUGUACUAACCAACGAUACAGUGAUGAAUUUGCCUAUAUGAUAAGUGAAGAAUAUCAAAUGUCUAUGAUGGGAGAAUUGAAAUUCUUUUUAGGUCUACAAAUUCGUCAAUAGAGAAGUGAGAUAUUCAUAUCUCAGGAGAAAUACCUCAAGGACAUAUUGAGGAAAUUCGGCAUGCAAGAUUGCAAAGGGGUCAAAAUUCCAAUGCCCAAAUGGCCAUCUAUGCACUGAUGAAAAUGGUAAAGACUUUGAUCAAAAGGUAUACCGCUCCAUGAUUGGCUCUUUAUUGUACCUAUGUGCAUCUAGGCCGGAUAUUAUGCUUAGUGUUUGCAUAUGUGCCCGAUUUCAAGCUACACCGAAGGAAUCACACCAUAAGGUUGUGAAGCAUAUUCUUCGAUACUUAGCUCACACACCAACACUUGGAUUAUGGUAUCCCAAGGGCUCUUCUUUUGAUCCCAUUGGAUAUUCAGACUCUGACUAUGCUGGCGAUCGCGUGGACCGCAAGUCAACAUCAGGCACAUGCCAUUUCCUUGGACGAUCUUUGGUCUGUUGGUCCUCGAAGAAACAGAACUGCGUAUCACUCUCCACUGCAGAAGCUGAGUACAUUGCUGCUGGAUCGUGUUGUGCUCAACUACUAUGUAUGAAGCAAACACUCAAGGACUAUGGUGUCAACGUGAAGAAUGUGCCUCUCUCCUGCGAUCAUAAGAGUGCUAUCAAGAUUGCUCACAACCCAGUUUAGCACUCGAAGACCAAGCACAUCCAGAUUCGUCAUCAUUUUCUUCAUGAUCAUGUGUUGAAGGGCGACAUCUCCAUUGACCACGUUAGCACUGAAGAUCAGCUGGCCGAUAUCUUCACUAAGCCCUUGGAUGAGAAGAGAUUUAGCAAGCUGCGGUGUGAGCUAAAUAUCCUAGAAUCUUCGAAUGUUCUCUGAAAUGGACACACAUCCUAACACUUAUGCUGACUUGAUGACUUAGAUGCGCAACACACGAAGUAACAUUUUUCUUCAAUCAAUGAAGACUAACCCUUUAAGUGUAAAGAAAUUAACAAAGAAAUUAAUUCUCAGAGCCUUACGAGAAGUUGUGAAAUCAUCUUUCUUAUACGGUGGGUUACGCCACCACCCAAAGUUGGAAAUCUUCAAUUUGAGUUUUUCUUUGUUUUUGAAAUUCCUCAGUUUUUCAAAUUCUUCAACUUUGCAUUGUAUUCACUCCUUCCGGUGUUGUUCUUAAUUUGAGAAUAUAUAUAUAUAUAUAUAUAUAUAUAUAUAUAUAUAUGAGUUUAUGUCCUCAAUAGCAUUCACUUAUUGCUAAUUCUUCAAGUUGUUUUCUUCUACUAAGUGAAUGUGAUCGGACCCUUCCCCCUCUAUGCUAAACUCAAUCCAGUCUAUUCACAAAUUCUUCAUGUGCGUUCUAAUUGAAACUCGUUCAAAAUCUUCACUGUGUCCUUGACAGCUAAAGAAAUUGUGAACGGAAACUUUCAUCUAUCUGAUCUAAAUUUUCGGCUUUGCCGCCCAAACCGUUCCGCAUCCCACGACAAUACUUAUAUAUUCACCCACGAUCAUACAUGAUCGCCACCUCUCAGUAUGUGGGUGACAUAUUUCAAGCGAAUGAGAAGGGCCAGGGGCACGUUCGUCUGAUUUCCUCGGGCGUAAAGUUUCUCACUCCCUCUAUAAAUACCCCUGCCUCUUCCUCACUUCACUUUCACUCCGCUCGCUCUCACUCCCGUUCGAGCUCCCCAAACGCUAGCGCCGCCGCUACUUCAUCGUCGCUGGUGAGGAAGGGCUUCACUGCCUCGACCUCGUCGCCAUCAUACUCGCGCCGGUUGCAGAUUUCUUCACUCCGCCACUGCUGUAGCCGUCUUCCUCUGCUGAGUUAGGGCGUGGAAGAUCUGAACUGACGAACUUCACAUCUACACUUCCCAGUUCGUCGUGUUCUUCAACUUGGGUAAUUAAAAGUAACUUUUACUACCCUCUUUGAUUCUUAUGUUUUCUUGAAAAUCGUCAAAGGUGUUUAUUCUUCAAAUCUUCACACACAUGAACACCUCACAUGUCAUCUGCUCUUGAUUCGUUUCUCUAAGCAAUUAUUUUCUUCAAGAUUCCUCGAUUCUGUGGAUUUUCAAUCUAUAGAACUCUGGAACCAAAGGCAAAGAACGCUUAGUGAAAUUCCUCAAGACUCAUCUGGUCAAAUUCCUCAAACCUAUUCAUUUUUGAAAAACCUUCUGAGAACGCAUAUGACCUAUCCAAAUUCCUCGCAACUUUACUCUGUUCACACGUACAAAUGUCCGCUGCUGAAUCACUAGGUUCUCAUCAACUUAACUCAUUCACAGCGUUCCUUGAAGAAAAGUUGCACACCUCUUCAGAAACUUUAGUUGUUCAUAUUCCUCAACUGAAGAAAAUGACUGAAGGUAAGAAGCCACAGAAGGGUGGAAAGAGACCUGAGGUUAACACUCCUUUCGAAAUCCCUGAGGACAUUUAUGCUGGGUACUGCACACCCCCUGAGGAAGAUAGAAAUCAGCGCAAGGUGCGCAUUCAAAAGAUAAAGAGGAGAUGGGCACGGGAAUGGAGGGAGUACAGGUAUGUUACUCCCAAGUAUAUGAAGAAAUUCGCGCUCAACCCUCCAUGCUCAAGACCUCCAUUGGCACCAGGCCAAGUGGAAGAUCCCACCAGCCUCAAGCAUGGUGAGGACUAUGCUGAUGAAUGGGCAAAGCGCCAGGCCAAACUAGCCAAGCAAGCAAAGGAAGCAGUGAAGAAAUUCAAUGCAGACUCUGCUGCUGCUGGUGCCUCUGUUGAGGCCCCUGCUAGUCAGCCGAAGAAGGCGAUGCCUAAGAAGCCUGCGCAUAAGUCAAGCACUUCUCUCUCAAAGCCCUCACGGCCAAUUCCUUAGACUGCUCCUUCAAAGUCCUCAGCUCCUCCGACAAAGUCUUCAGCUGCUCCGAGCAAAUCCUCUGCACCUGUGCAUCUUGCCACGCGCCAAAGGACCACAGGCAUCUCAAUUGCCUCAGGAGCAUCUACGAGUUCCUCGGCUGCACCAAAUUCCUCAGAUGGCCCCUCUCUGCUGAAGAAAAGGCCACUCCUGGACGAGGCCUUCGACCAAGUCCUCACAAGAAGCAGGUCGCCUUCCAAGUGCCCUCUGAUGAUGAUGAGGCUGAUGAUGAAGAACUUGCCGAGAUCAUCAGAGACAGGCAAGCCAGGGCCGCUAGAGCCAAAGGUAGCAAUGUGCCACUGCUGUUGGAUCCAAAGUUGAUCCUCGAUUUCAUUGACCUAUGGCACAAGGACCCUAACACGCCUUUGCCAGAGAUGAACCUCACUCCUGGUCAAAGUCAUGUUCUGACUGCCUUCAUUGAGAAAGAAAAAUGGAAAUUUGAAGAAGGCAGAAGACUGAAGAAAGCACAGUACAAGAAGCAGCGCUACCUCAAGGACAAUGUCCUCACUCUUACCCCUGAUCAACUCAUUGCCUUGCAAGCUGAAAUCAAGCAACUGAGUGAUGAAUUUGAUCGCUGCUAUGUUGAUUGGAAGGGCGCCAAGGUUCGGUUUGUCAAUCUGACGAAGAAAUUCACUUCAAGUGUGCUGCUCCUGUGCACGUUGAAGUUACACCGGCUGAAGCAUCUGCUCAGCCUACUGAAGAACAUGCCAGCACCGCUGAUGACAAUCAGGCUGCUGAAGAAAAUGAGAGUACCAGGGCUGAUGACUCCAUUCCAUCCGCUGAAGAUAUUGCCAGGGCAUCCACUAGUGGUGCGCCUGAAGAAAGUGAAGAAGUUAGGGCAACUGCGAUAGUUGCGCCUGAAGAAAAUGAACAAAAGUACUUUGCACCUCCUGCGCCUACACCAACUCUGACCCUUCCAUCUGCAUCAGAUGCGAAGAAGACCAAGGCUGCAGAGCGUGCAGCUAUGAAGAAAAUGAAGGCAUCAACUUCAUCAAAUUCUUCAGCUCCGAAGAAGAUGAAGCCUCUAACUAGUUCAAGUGACAACCCAAUUGAUGUCGUUCCAGUCUCUUUCAUGCCAUCAAAGGACCUUGUUCCUUUUGGUGAAGAUUAUUGGAUUCCUAGCGAAUCUAAUGAAGAAACUCCUUCUACUGCUUCGACAGAGCAGUUGGAUGAAGAAAUUGAAGUGGAUGCAAUCCCUUUAACCCCAGUCAUCUCCUUGCAUAUGCCUCAGUUCACUACUGAAGAGGCCGGCAUUGAAGAAAUGGAAGAUGACGAUGUGGACAUUGGCUGUACCACUCCUAUGCUCAAUGAUGACUUUUGGGAAAGUCAGCACCCUAACUCUCCAAUGUUAACUCCACUCCAAGCAAUUCCUCAGUCCCCAGCUGCUACUGAAGUACAAAUGGGAUCUGAAGAACCUCAUGCAACCCCGUCUGUCCAUGAAGAAAUUCCAGCCACUAGUGCUGAAGAAAUUGUAAAUGAAGAAUUGAAGACCCAGGCUGCAGCUGAAGAAGAACCAGAAAUUCCUCAGUCUGUGGAUCCUAAGAUUGUGAUUCCUGAGGUGGUGAUGCAAUUGGCUGACACUCCUCAGCCCAAGCCAAAGGAUCCCUUCUUAAAGAAGCAAAAAUUCAAGGCUGAUGAUUUCUUCGGCGAGCAUGUGUUCUUCACUAAAUUCAACCCAUAUGACAAUGCUCCUCUUAGAAGGAAGCGUUUCUGGACUGCCAGCCAGGCCAACUUCUAUUCUUCACUACUUCUCAAUAAGGACAAAGUCUUCAACCACGAGCAUAUUCCUCACGUGGACAUGGAAUCAGUGCCUUGCUUCUCUCAAGUCCUCAGUAUGCUUCAUGAUGCAGGCUUGCUCAAAUUUUGCUCAGACAUAGUUGAUUGGAAUGAAGAGCUUAUUCUUCAGUUCUACGCAAUGCUGCAUAUCACAAGUGAUGCUACUAACGUCAACUCUUGGGUGUUGGACUGGAUGACUGAAAACACUCACUACAAGGCACCAGCCUCUGAAUUGCUUCAUGCCCUGCCAAUCAGUCCUCCACCUGACGGUGCUCGUUGUCUGUAUGAUGAGCCUGAACUCACUGCUCACUAUAUGCAAGUGCUCAUGAAGCCUCUGAAGCCUGGUCAAGCCCCAAGGACCAAAUUCCUCGUGAAGGAAUUGCUCUAUGUGCCAAGAACCAUCUAUCGCAUUCUGAAGAAGACCAUGAGUCCUAUCAAAGGCCAUGACUCAUCCGAUGAAGAAAUUAUUGGGAUGAUGAAAAAUAUGCUAUUCAACAUAAUGCAUGGCAUCCCCAUAAACUAUCAUGAUUUCUUCAUGAGGACUCUGGCAAAUGUUGCACUUUCACCUUUUGAGCUGAAGCCUUACGCACCGUGGAUCAUGAGAUUCCUCGGAACAAGGUCUUCACUCAACUACAAGGCUGACUUUCAGAAUCACCUCAACUACUUGCCCCCGAUUGAAGUCCUCAAGCGGAUAUAUUCCUAAGCUGAUGAGAAGGGCAAGUCACCAUCCGUUAUCAAUGAAGGCAUUCAUCCAUUGGAUGGUCAGUUCCGCAAACUACAUCUUAUUCCACCAAUGAUGACUCUGCCACUCAUGAUUCUGCUGCCAAUGCUCCCAAGUCAAGUCCUCAAGCUACUGCUCCUCGUGUGAUGACUGACCAUGAGCUGCUUCUAAGUCUUCACCAGAAGGUGAAUCAAAGGGUUGAGUGUCAUUUUGGCUCUAUUCUUCACAACAUGACUUCUACACAUAAUGCAGUGAAGAAAAACCAUUACUACCUCCAUGAAGUUUUUGAUCGCACCUGGGCUAUUCUGUCACAUCUAUAUGGUGAAGAAGAUCUGAAGCAAAUGGGCUUCAAGGAAGAUUUUGACUGGUCUGUUCCUCCACCGAAGAAAUUCAAGAAGGUCAAGGUUCCUUCCUUGGUGGCCAGUUCAUAUUCUUCAUCGCGUGACACAGAUGAGUAUGAAGACUUGGACGACAUUGCGGCAGGCCCUACAACGACUCAAGACCCUGACAACACUGGCACUCCUCCAUCAUCAUGAUAUUCUUCAGGGGCGUUAGUCCUCAGUUUCAACCCUUUUGGUCAUUCGAUGACAAAGGGGGAGAAAUUUGAGUUAGUCUUCAAGCGGGUCUAUCUUAUAUGGGUGUUUUUUUGCUAAGUUACAACUCUCAUUCUUCUGAUGACUUUGCUGGAUCGAUUUGUAACCUUAAACUCUAUGGUGGCCUGAUACUUUUGAUGUGUUCUUCUGCAUGCUUAUUCCUCAUUACUGUCAAUGCACGCAUGCUAAAUUACAUUAGUCACCAUAUUUCAUCAUGCAUUUCAAAUUCUUCGGAUUAUAUGUCAAAUGCGUGUAUGAAUUACAAGGUAUAGGGGGAGAUCUGCAUGAUUAUACUCGUCAAGUGUGCAUUGCUUCAAAAGCAAAUUCCUCACUAUGCACAUCUUCAGGGGGAUUUCUUCUAUAUCUUGCAAUCAAAUUCCUCAACAUCAAUACUUACACUUCCUAUAUUUAUCCCCGUUGAAAACUUAACCUAUAUUGUCAUCAAUCACCAAAAAGGGGGAGAUUGUAAGUGCAUCUAGUGCCACUUAGUGAUUUUGGUGUAUUGAAGACUUAUAGGUUAAGGGACUGAUGCGUUUGUGAGUGUACACAGGUCUAUAAAUCUAUGAGGAGUUUGAUAUUUACAGAGAAAGUUGACCCCUAAAAAUGAAGUUCUUCAACUGAAGACUUUGGAUUUCUGAAGACUUUGAAAGUGAAGAAAUUGGUGUAACCUUGAAGACUUGGCAAUCAUUCGAGAAACAUGAAGCAUGAAGACUUUUGUUUUCGUAGUUUCAUUUUCUCUUUCUUGAGUCAUAGGAAACACCGUACUGUUAAAGGGGGUCGAGGAAAUACUAAGGAAAAAUUUCCAUGUGAUGCUCAACUCAAAAUCCUACACCUACCAAUCCCUUCGAGUGAAGCCAUUGGAAAUCUCAUACAGUUCAGUCAUAUUCUUCAGUGACAGAGACGAAGUUCUUCUGGUCUCUGAUGAAUUUGUUUUGACUGAGGAGUUAGGAAUUCGCCAGUGCGGAUUGCCUACACAGUGAGGAACAUGAUAGCCCUGAAGAAUUUAAGAGUCAAAAUUCCGACCGUUGCUGUGCUAUGCGCCAGCUGUCCCAAAAUAUCUACCCACCUGAUGGUCAUAUCAUUGAAGGGCAUUUAUGUCUUAUCAUGUCGGGUUGCUCCCUUGGCUAUAAAUAGCCGCCCCCUAUAACCACUAGCUGGUUGGCUGCUUCGAGAGAAACUGACACUUGUCAUUUGAGAGCAUCCCAUCCUCCGAGGACUUUGAGCGAAAAUCAUCAAGUGAGGAAAACCCAAACCCAACACCUACAAACCCAAAGUGAUUGAGCAUCACUGAAGAGAUUGAUCCUGCGUGGAUCUGAUGCUUGUUACCUUUGAAGACCGUGCUUCUUCCAGACGAUUAGGCGUCAUGGUCUAGAGCAUCCAAGAGGAAUUGUGGAUCGCCGAGUGACCUAGUCUGUGAAGGUAUGGAAGUCACCUGAAGACUUACCACGAGUGAUUGGGCGAGGUCUGUGUGACCUUAGCUCAAGGAGAAUACAGUGAGGACUGUGUGUCCGGGACUGGGUGUCCUCGAGUUUAAAUACUCAGCCGCUCCAACCAGACGUACAACUGAGACAACAGUUGGAACUGGUCUACCAAAUCAUUGUCUUCACCAAGCUUACUGGUUCUAUUUCCUCAACUCUUUCGUUUCCUCAGUUCUGUUGAUGUGUGCAUGUUCAUAUCUGUUUGAAGACUUUGACUGAAGACUUUCUCAAUUUCCCUAGUUCAAUUUCUUUAGUCUGUUCGUCUUCUUUCUGUGUAAUCCUGUGUUUACGCUUUCUGUACUCUGUGCUUGUCUUCAUUCCAUCAUGAUGACCAUGCUUGUGUUCUGUUAUGUUUACAUUUGAGUACUUAUUCCGCUACUAGUAGUUCUUCAUUUAGGAAUUUCCUCACCAGCAAAUUCCUCAGUGAAGAAUUCAUAAAAAUCGCCUAUUCACCCCCUCUAGUCGAUAUAAUGCACUUUCAAUUCCUUGGCUCAUUGCCCAUAACUCUCUCACGCACCACUCUGUUGUCUCGGAGCUCUCCCCCCUCUCUCAAACUCUCCAUCUACCUGGGUCACACAUACACAUGCAUAUCUCACUCGCACUUGAUAGGCCCAUCUAAAACUCUAUCUCUCCCCCUCGUUCUAUCUCCAUCUCACACGCACACACACACACACACACACAAUGUCAUGCCUAGCUAGCCAAGUAUGAUGGUCUCUCACUCAAUUGUAGGCAUACGCAGUCCCCCCUAUAUGUAUAUGACUAGCUAAUCUUAGUAUCCAUCACAAAAUGUGCACGGUCUAUCUCGAUUUCUCUAGGGGCAUCUUUCUAUCACGCACGCAAUUCCCUCGAUCUCCCACCCAUAUAGUUCCCUCAUGAUAUCGAGGGGAUCUCUCUAUCACAAACACAACCUCUCUCCCUCCCCAUGCGUCCAUGUUCUCCAUGUGUCCCUCUCAACCUUUGUUCCUUGUUGGCCAGACCUCUAUUGGACAUGUGCUAUAGGGGUGUCUCUCUCCGUUGCAAACAAUCACACACUAGCUAUCUUCGUGUAUCUCCUCGCCUUGCUUUUCUAUCUCGGAGAUGCAUGCAUGAUAUGUUUGCAUAAGAAACGAAAAGACACACACUCUCUCUAAUUUAUCGUUUGUUGUCACUUUCUCUUUCACACACAUACUCUUUUUGCACACUUACUCAUUCUCCUUCACACGCACUUGAUCUCUCUCGACUUAGGCACUCUCUUCGGUCCAUAGCAUAUAGAUUUAUUGAAAAGUCAAACAUCACAAAGUUUGACCAUGUACGUGGAGAAAAACAAUUACAUCUAGAACGACAAACAUAUACCAUUAGAUUCAUCAUGAGAUGUAGUUUCGUAUGAUGUAUCUUUGGUAUUGUAGAUAUAAAUAACAUUUGCGUAAACCUGAUCAAAGUUUCCAAACUUUGACUUCUAAAAAAUUUACAUGCAUUGCAUUAUCGAGCGGAUGGAAUAUCUCUUUCCCCCUCUCAGCUAUCUGACGCACCACUCAGCCUUAUCGGGGCUCCUCUAUCUCUCUCAAACUUUAUAUCUCCCUGGUUCACACAUACACAUGUCUCUCUCACGCUAUACAUAUCGACCCAUCCAACACUCUCCGCCCUAGUUCUAUCUCUAUGUGACACCCCCCCUAAGUACCAUAAUCCCGCACUCCAUCAUAGGCGCAAGCACUCCCCCCCUAAGUAUGAUUAUCUCUCAAUAGCCAUCAGGAACACACGUAUUGUCUCCUUCCAUCCAUAUGUCUAUCUCGAUAUCUCUCGGGGUAUCUUCUAUCACGCACACACCUCGUCACUCGAUCUCCCACCCAAGUAGUCCCAUCACGAUCUCCAGGGGAUCUCUUUAUGACAAACAUACACUCUCUCCUCCCCAUGUCUGCAUUUUCUCCGUACGUCUCUCUCGACCUCUCUCCCUUGUUUCUCAGACCCCUCUUGGCUAUGUGAUAGGGGUCUUUCUCUCUCGGUUGCAAACAACCACACACUAUCUCCUCACCUUGCUUCCAUUGUCGAAGAUGCAUGUGUGAUAUGUUUGCAUAAGCCACACACGCUUUUUCUCUACUUUUAUCGUGUGUUGUCCAUGUCUCUUUCACACACACGCACACACACUUUUUUCACUCACUCUUUCUAUUUCACAACCUCUCUCUCUCUCUCCCUCUCUCUAGUUAGGGACUCUCACGUCCAUAAGCGUAUGGAUGUUUUGAAAAGUCAAACCUCAGAAAAGUUUGACCAGGUAUAUGUGGAGAAAAACAUUUACAUCUGGAACGAUCAUUAGAUUCAUCACAGCAUGUACUUACUUCAUACUAUCAUUUAUCUUUGGUAUUGUAGAUAUAAGUAAUUUCUUUAUAAACUCGGUCAAAGUUUCAAAAGUUUGACUUUAAAAAAAAUGUUGGAACUACAUUAUCGAACGGAGGGAGUAGCUCUCUCUCUCUCUCUCUCUCUCUCUGCUAUCUCUCACGGGCCUCCCCUUUCACUCAAACUCUUUAUACCGACGGAUUAUACGCUCACUGUGUUAGCGUAUAGCUUCGUAUAUUGUUUAGUUGACCAGUCAACCAGUCCACAUGCUGCCUUGUCAACUCGUGUCCGGUAUCUUCAUGUGCUGGCCCAUGUGGCAGUGGGUGAAAAUAAGUAAACUAGAGGCCCAUCUGACACGCGGUGAAGUAAACAAAGUUGAAACCACUCGGGGUAGCACCCCGCACACUAGUAAAUUGAGGGCACAUUGAGGACACACUUCUUCCGCGUGAAGGACGCACUCGCGCACAAUUCACCACUGCGCGGCGGCAUGCACAGAAGGACCCACUCACGCACACCCAGCACACAACACACACCAGCACACGUGUACAUCGGCAUCGCCGCUGGUUGAGAUGGACGGCGGGGCAGCCAACAAGUGGAGGCGGCUCGAGCCAAAACCGCAUUCGGCGAGCCUAGACUUCAUCAGCAGCCUCCCGAAUGACAUGCUGCUCGUCAUCACCGGCCUCCUCCCCACCAAAUCUGCCAUGCGGACCGCCCUGCUCUCCCGGUGGUGGCGCCCCCUCUGGCGCCGCAUCCCCCUCAACAUCACCGUCGACAGCUGCCUCUGCAACGGGGAUUGCAAACGCAUGGCCGCAGUCUCCAAGAUCCUUUCAUCACACACUGGGCCAGCCAGACACCUUGACAUCUACAUGUUCAGUACCAACUGCAAGGUCCAACCCAAGUUCGACGAGUGGUUCUUAUCCCCCGCCCUAGAUUAGCUCGAGGAGCUCAGGUUUGAAGCUGGACGAUGUCGCUCUCUGCCGCCAUCCAUGCUCUGCCUCAUGCCAACGAUGCACCGCAUCAGCUUCAGCUCCUGCUAUCUUCCCCAGAUUAAUGUCGCGCCCGCCCUUCUUCUCCCUCAACUCAAGCAGCUUGACCUCUUCGACAUCGUCAUCUCGAAGAAGGCUAUGGAGCACCUGCUCCACAGCUGUACUGCGCUCGGGUACCUUCAUCUUGAGCAGAUCCAUGGGUUCAUUAGCAUCCACAUCACCUCGACGAAUCUCCGAUGGAUUUAUGUGACUUGCUGGUCCCGCAACAAGACAUCAAUUGGGAAGAGAUCACUCCAGCUGUUCCACGUUAUGGUCAUUGAGAAUGCGCCUUUCCUUGAGAGAUUGGUUGUAUCGGAUCUAGAAGUUCCAACAAAAAUUAGGGUCACUGAUGCACCAAAAUUGAUAGCAUUGGUGUACUUGUCUGCCAAAUUCUCUAAACUCUCUAUUGGAUCUGUAAUCGUUCAGGUACAUCACUCAUAUUCUUCUCCGUCUUCUUGAAAUUCACAUUUUAAAUUUCUUCUUGAUGUAUUUACGACCGUCUUCCAGAAAAUGAUUCCCACAAGCUUGACCCAGUCUAUGCGCACAGUGAAGAUCUUGGCAAUAAAAUCUAUCGGCCCCAAUCUGGAUCAAGUUGUUGGAUUCCUUACAUGCUUUCCAUGCACGGAGAAGCUACUCAUCAAGGUGAAACUUCUUUCUUAUUAGUAAACGGUAAUCACAACAUAGCUCAAUUUGUUCGUAAUUUUCCCAAAUUACGAUGACAAGUGUAGUGUUCAAAACUGCAUCUACGCACUGCACCGAAAUAAAUGUUUUUAGUAUUUUUUUCUCACGUGAUCACCUGCAUCAUUUUUUUGUUGUACUACUAUAGUAGCCUAGGCUAGUCAUAGUGGAAAGUAACUUAGACUACUCUAGUAACUCUAUGGUUACCCUAAGAGCAAGUACUACCUCCGUCCUGGUUUACUCUUCCUAUUUUGCAGUAUCAAAAUUUGACCGUAGAUUUAACUGACAAAAUGUUAAUGCAUGUCACUAAGAACUAUAUCGUUGGAUUCGUAUUUGAACAUAAUUUCAAAUGGUAUAAUUUUUAGUGACAUGAAUUGGCAUUUUCUUAGGUAAAUCUAUGGUCAAAAUUUUAUACUAAUCAUGAGGUAGUACUAAAGUGGGCUAUAACGGCCCUCCACUAUGUAGGCCAAAACACGUGCCAAAUUCACUUGUGAUGCAUUUGGCAUUGAUGCCCCUCCAUUGCUCACCUGGUGCCCUAAUCUGGAUCACCUACUUUGCUCCGGUGCCAAAUUAACUCACGCAAUGAAAAAACACUUGUGUGGAGAGAGAGGACUGAGGCAAUAAAAACACUUGUUUGGGACAGUGAGAGGCUGGUGUAGUUGGUUUGAUUGAUUUGUUUAUACAUGUGGGUCUGUGUGCACAGCGGUGCCAAAUCUCUCACAUCGAGCGGUGCCAAAAUCUUUUGAUUUGACAUUGAUGCGUAUUAUGUGGCAUACUUUUGAGAAAUAUGGCAUCGUCCACAUAGUGGAAGGCAACAAAUGUCCAACCUCUUCACUUUCUCCUAGGUAAAUGAGAGGAAAGAGAAAGAGAGGGAGAGAGAGAGAGAGAGAGAGAGAGAGUGAAAAAAUAUCACUAGCCAGCCAACCCUAUCGUAUGAGCAAAUGAUAUUGGUACCUCUUGAUGACAUGGCAAUCUUAUACAGCUAGUUGCUCUAAUAUGUUCUCUCCUUUUGCAGAUAAAAAAGUCCCUGACAGUGAAAAAUGUGUUGCAGUAUAAUAAUUCUCAUUGAAUGCCUGUCUCCAUCUUACAGAAAUUGAUUUGAUCGACUACCGAGGCAGCACAUCUGAGAUUAAGUUGGCCAGGUUCUUUGUUCUGGAGGAAAGUGUGCUCAAGGUAAUGAGGUUUGGCGUUCUAUGGCGCAACAAUGAAUGGCGUGCUGAUCACCGCAAGCGUCUAAGCCUAAAUGAAAAGUCUCCACAGAAGUUGAUUUUUUUUUUUGAAACAUCAAGUGGCCAGAGACACGAAAACUUAUUUGCCCAUUAGUGACUUGUCAGGGCGGAGGAUUUUAGUUUGUAUGAUAAUGCUGCAUCCACCUAAAGUAACGAAAGUUCUUACGUAAACUUCCUAGUAAUUCCCUCUUCGUACGUGCAAUAUUACUCCUAACAUUUGUAAUAUUAGUUUGAAACUUGUAAUAUUGCCAUGUCCUAUUCCUGCAUUUUCAAAAUCGUGCGAAUCAAACAGGUCCUGAGUUCAUGAUGAUGUUGUGCCUGGCAUCUUUCACCAAUAGUCGUUGGAUCUAGAUCUGACGCAUACAAACCAAACUUCUCCAGUUUUGAAAAAAUAUGCCCGCACUUGAUCCCUAUUUACAAACAACUCCUUGUCUCUCACAAUCUGCCUUAUCUCCUCCCCACCACAUCUAGAAGGCCAUGGAAAAAUCUGGCGUGAUGGCCGCUGCCGGUGCCGUCCACCCCCCAAUCUUGGUGUUCCGUGCAAUGCACAGGCAUCUACACACGAGAAAUUAUGUCGAACACGGCUAGUUGUAAGCAGGCUAUGUCUACAGCCAUGAUGAUAGUUGUCGGCGUUCUGGGAACGGGGGUCCCCAGACUUGCCUGCCCGCGGCCUGUGGCGUGGCUCAAGUGGGGGCCCAAUACAUCCCAACCUCCUCAGCUCAAGCUCAAGACCCUCGCGAGGGGCCAAGCCUCGCGGGGCGGACGACAGGAAGCGUCCUCAGGAGCAGCCUCCUCAGGCAGGCUCGCGAGGAGGCGGAGAGAUCCAGGCAGGGUACCUCCCGAGGAUCCCGUGAAGCAAUCCAUGACGAUCGAGACCAGGCGGGCGCCAGGCGGGCACCGGCCUGCGCAGUGUCCUUGUUUCCCUUUCGGUGCAAAGGGGGCAAGCACAGGCCAAGGCAUCGGGCAAAGGUUACCAUUUCGGUGCAACAAGACCAAGACCAGCAGAACGACAGGAUGGAGGUCAUCGUGGAGCCCAGGACGACAUCAUCGUUAGAGCCUUUGGCAGCCGAAGACCAACUUUAGUCAGGAUAAGUGUACUAGAUUUUCCCCUUCAAAAUGGCCAAUUGUUGGUGCCCUUCCUGCUCAUUAUUUGGGAAGAGGCCCAGGGCCUCCCUCUAUAAAUAGGACUAGCCACCCGCAGGGUAGAGGCAUCUAGAGAUUGGAUCGAGAGAACAGAUCGACCAGAGAGAGAGAGAGAGAGAGAGAGAGGCGACUGAACUCACCCAAGCAGUUCAUCGCACCAGCUCAAGAACAGCCCCUCGCGAGGUUGUUCUUCCUUUGUACUGUUCAUCAUCAGCCCCUGAGGCAAUCCACCACACCACACACUGGAGUAGGGUAUUACACCACAAUUGUGGCCUGAACCAGUAUAAAUCUCGUGUCCCUUGUGUGUUCAUCUUUCUUGCUUAGAUCCUUGCGAGACUUCGAGGCGUGAGCUGGUAGGGGAAAGAUCUUCGUGCGCACCCAUGUGUUCGAACCUCAAGGGUCUGCCGGAACCCGAAAUCCGACAUUUGGCGCGCUAGGUAGGGGUGCGCCGGAAUCUUUCUUCCGCUAGUCGCGUGUGAUCUUCCGCCGCGUCCAUGGCUGAUGCUCGCCGAGCUUGUGCCGAGCGUCGGGCUGCUCUCGCCACCCGUGUCGCCCAGACGGUGCCCGUCGGCGGACGCCCUUGUUGUUCCCCGUUGCCUGCCGCCAACGCCGCCACCAGCCCGACGGGGAACGAGCAGCAGGCCUCGUCCCUGCAUCCUUCGGUUCGGCACGAUGGCCGCACCGCCACCCCGUCGCUGACUCCAGCCGGUUCGUCGUCCCACGCCCGUCGCGCCCCACGGACGCGCACGCCGCGCUGCUCCUGGCGCAUGAGCUCUUGCACUACCGUCCCGUCGACGACCUCUACGAGGACUGGCUCGCCCGUAUCACCGAGCUCGUCAAUGCCGCAGGGGGGCUCUCCCAUGCCGUCCCUCUCGCUGCCUCGCCCUACGUCCUGCACAGGAGGCGAGGAGCAGGAGGUGCCUCCACCGCCUCCUCCCCAAGAAGGCGCCCUGGCUCCAAGGCGCGCGGCCCCAGGACGAGACCCACCGUGUCCAGCGCCUGCGCAACAAGAAAGGAGCUGCCAAGAGAUCCCUCGCCCCCAAGAAGGUGCUCACGUGCUCCCAGCAUCGGAGCGCCAUGACCGCAUCCCUGCACCGCCACGUCAAGACCCCACGCUGCUCCAGGCAGCGGUGCACAGGAACCUCCAGGAGCAAGCCCCGCAUCAGCAGAGAGCUCCGGUGGCCACAGCAGGCUGUCGCGCCUUCACCUCCGAGCUGCGUAGCAUUGCGUGGCCCGGCAAGUUCAAGCCGGACCUGCCUCCUCGCUACGACGGCACUGCAGACCCUGCGGAUUUCCUCCAGCUCUACGAGCUGGGCAUCGAAGCCGCCAACGGGGACGAAAAGGUCAUGGCGAAUUGGUUUCCCAUGGCGCUCAAGGACGGUGCCCGCACCUGGCUCCUGAACUUGGCUCCUGGCACGAUCUCCUCCUGGGACGAGAUGCGCACCUGCUUCAUCGCCAACUUCCAAGGUACUCACGACCGGCCGCCGGCCAUGAGUGACCUGUGCCGCAUCACGCAACAGCCAUGAGAGACCCUGCAGAAGUACAUCCAGCGCUUCAACAACGCCCGCCUCAAGAUCCCCAGGGUGACCGAGGAGGCUAUUAUCUCAGCCUUCUCCGAUGGUGUGUGUGACAUCAAGAUGAAAGAAGAGCUAGCAAUCCAUGAAGACAUGUGCACAUCCCUGGAGCUGUUCAACUUGGCGACCAAGUGCGCCAGGGCUGAGGAAGGGCGCCUCUCCCUCCUCAAGCUUUCGGCUGCCGACCCAGAAGAGAAGAAGCCCAAGGCCAAGGACGUGAAGCGCAAGGGGGCUGCCGUGCUCGCAGCCGAGCCGGACACCAAGCAAGGCAGGGAUCAGCCUGAGUCAUCCAAGAGCAGCAGGUACUGCGUGUACCACGACCUCCACACCCACAACACCAAUGAAUGUUAAGAGCUCAGGGCCGUGCGAGAUGGGCGUAUCGGCCGACGCCCCGACCGCAAUGACCGGGGCUAUGGCCAAGGAGGAGGAAGAGGUGGAGGACGAUGGGAAGACCGCGGCCCUCGCCAAGGGUGGCGUGACCGACCUCGCAAGGACCGCUGGCAGGACCAGCCUCGCGAGGGAGGUUGGAGGGAUCAGCCUCGUGAGGACCGCCCUCAAGGCAACGUAGGCCUCCCUCCUCUGCCACCACCGCCAAGGAGGAAUGAAGACCAUCACCAGGGCGAGGGGGCUGGGGGCUUCCAGGAGCUGCGCGUAAUCGCUUGCAUCCUGGGCAGCGCUCAGGCCCCGGCCUCUCAGUGCAUCUUCAAGCAGUUCGCUUGCGAGGUGAAUGCAGUCCUCCCCAAGCUUGAGGCCACGUGCCCUCUCAGGUGGUCUACAUGCGCAAUCACGUUCAGAUCGGCAGAUCAACUCAAGUGCGCAGCAACGGCCGGAGUCCUCCCGAUGCUUUGUUCCCCAGUCAUCAGCAACGUGCAAGUCACCAGGACCCUCAUCGACGGCGGAGCUGAAUUCAACAUCCUGUCCGUCGAGAUGUUCAACAAUCUCCAAGUGCCAUAUGAUCAGCUUCAGCCGACCAAGCCUUUCUCAGGAGUCACUGACGGUUCCACUAUUUCGAUAGGGCAAGUUCGCCUUCCUGUCACCUUUGGGCAGCGCAACAACUACCGCACCGAGCUCAUUGACAUCGACAUCGCCCACAUUCGCCUACAAUACAAUGCCAUCCUCGGGUAACCAGCUCUAGCCAAGUUCAUGGCAGUGACUCACCAUGGCUACAAUGUCCUCAAGAUGCCAGGACGUGGUGGAAUCAUCACAGUGCCUUGCGAGGAGAGGGAUGCAGUGUGUUCUCUUGAGCGUGCCUUCCAAGCCACGACAAUCGAAGACCUAGAUCACAGGAGCGGGAGGCUCCCAAAGGCAGACCCCAAGAAGAAGAAGGCUUCACCUGGCCCAAACACUCACGAGGCAGGCGCCUCCGGAGGCGAUGCAUUAGGAACCGCGCCCGUUCAAGGGGCGCCACCCUCUAUCGCAUAGGAAGGCACGCCCGGCGCCCUCCUCGGGCAGGGCUCGGGGGCUCUCUCCUGGAGGGCCACCGACCUUGCCAAGGUCAUGAGGGAGGCGCUCGGGCACCACUUGGAGGCGUGCUUCAAGGCACGUUUCCCUCAGGAAGGUAUGAGGCAAGGAGGGCCAAACCCUCAGGAGUUCAUCGUGAGGAACAUUCAGGAGCUACAGGAGUCCAGAGUCAUGCGCGGCAGUCGCCGCCUACCCGCCGUAGCCCCACAUCCCGACGAGGAUGGUGGGCUGCGUGUCUGCAUCAACGUACCAGGGCUCAACCAGGCCGCGUCUCAGGGGCGCCUCUGGCCUUCAUGCGUGGGGCGUUGCGAGGGUCCACCUCACAGCUACGUUCACAUGCCUUUUGGCCUUCCGAACGCGGCUGCUUCCCACCAGUGCCUGAUGAGGAGCAUCCUGGAAGCCCAGGUGUCCACGCACCGCAUGUUCCUGGAGGAGGUGGAGAUGGACCUUGAGAAGCCGCCCGGACCCCCAGAGCCUCCCGAGGCUCAGGGCUUCGGAGGCUUGUGAGGGGUGGCUUCUUCACCACGCGUCGUCAGCUACUCCGACACUUCAUCCACAACGGUAUCAGGUGACAUCUUUCCAAGUUCCGUUUUCAUCUGGGAGCGCCCGUAGGGCUGCAUCAUUCCCAGUUCGCGUGGAUCCGUCCCUGUGGCAUGUAUCUGUUUUGCUUAUGUUCCUUACCUACCUUGUGGGGGUGCCCCUCGGGCUGCAUUAUCCCCAAGCUGCUCGGGCCUGACCUAGUGGCGUUUGCCUUUUUCUGCAUCUAUCUAAAUGAAUUCGCUCCUCCGAGCUUAACCUGGUCCUCAUGAUUAUCAUCUACUGCUUAUCGCGGACCUCUCAUCUCGCAUGCAAAGCGCUUGCAUGUUAAAAGGGGGGCACCUGAGCAUCGCGACUCAUGGGCUCUUACUGGCUCUCUAGCCCUCACCCCUGGCCUUGACCCACGGCAUCGCGACCUGUCAUACCAGCAGCGGCUGAGCUCGCUCGAGGGCCGGGACCUGAGGAUGUAGAGCAUUUGCAUUCUAACCACCCUGCAGGAACACACCAUUGAUAAAGGCCCAGAGCCAGGCGCAACUCGCCUCGAGGUAGGGCCUUGUGAGUCCCGCGCUGGCUCACGGGUGCCCAGAUACACCUCUCCUAGCCCUACCGUGCCGGCUACGUGUCAGGGCGGGGCUGUACACGCCCCGGGCGCUCCUCCCGGAGGGGAGCCCCCUCCCACGUACCAGUGGAAGCACCAUGCUCCGCGCUGGCUGAUGACACUGCCGAGGAGCGGCUAUGCCCGUACACAUACGGAAGCGCUAUGCUCCGUGCUGGUGAUAAACAACUGAGGGCAGCCCACGCCCGUAUCAACCCUGCGACAUAAUACAUGAUUCGCCACGCAUACGCAUGUACGAAGAGGAGGAAGCUAAGUUAGAUCGGCAGGAUAACUUGGAUGCCCUGGAGGAGGAGCGCGAUGUCGCAAAAGCCCGUUCCGCAUUCUAUCAACAGCAGGCUCGGCGAUAUCAAAGCAGAGAAGUGCGGGCCAAAACUUACAAUAUUGGCGAGCUCAUUCUGCGCCUACCGGAGAAGAAGAAGGACAAACUCAAACCCAGGUGGGAAGGUCCCUUCAUCAUUGACAAAGUUCUCACCGGAGGAGCGUACCGUCUAUGUAAUGCAUCUCAUAACAGACUCGAGCCGAACCCAUGGAAUGCGGCUAGACUCCGGAGAUUCUACGCCUGAUGCCGAACACAGUGUUCGUCUCCUCACCCCUCCUUUUUAAUUAUGCUCCACCUUUGUUUCUCUCCUUUCUCGCACCUUUUUCUCUUCACACACAGUGUUCAACACAGUGCGGACUCCCGGAUCAUCCUGGCCGUACUAUGUAUGCAAGCUGUACCUGGGGGCUUCCUAUUCGGAAGCUAGACAUAAUUACUUUAAUGGCUUUCUGCCCAUCGCAUACACGUUCUUUUUCCGUAUGUGCCCUUUUUUCACCAUUAUAUGCAUCGAUAUGACUUAAGAUGUGGCCAAGCUGGGUUGUCUGGCUCUUGUGUUUAUGCCCUACGUUCCCGUUAAUUCGGCUAGGGCAUAAGGGGAGCACCUCUGUGAUUGUUACUGUCGGUUAAGGCGGAUGUGUACCUUAGACUAGGUGAAGCCGAAAGCUAGUUUCCUUAAGAGAAUAUUCAAUCGGUGAACAAAGGAUGUAUUCUUGGUUACAACAACAAGAAAAAAAACCAGAAGCUUUUUAUCCUGCGCCAUUGCGUGCAGUCCGGACAUGUGCAUCGACACAUGGAUACCUAGGGAAAGGAACCCCUAACGGAACUAUUCUCCCUGGAAGAUGUUUCUUGCUACCAUGCAAUAUAACAGAACUAGUUGGGUACUUGUCUGUUCAAGCACCUAUGACGCCUAUGCCUGGUCUCCACGCAUACCCCAGUUUUUGUAUAAUUGAGCGGGUAUUCGGACACACCCCGGACUAUAGGAUCCGGGGGCUGAAGCGAAAAGGUCCACCAUGACAAAUGAUUUCAAUCCGGCUAGAGGCUAAUUAUGCCAAUUAAAUUACAAAGUCACUAAGACUGACUGUAUUCCUCCUCUAUACCAUCUAACAGGCUAUCUAGCCUACAAUCCUGCUGAGAAUACUUAGCGGCUAAUGCUACCUAGUCAUAUACCAAGCUCACGGGAAUUUCUUGCCCAUCAGUCCCCACCGGUCUCACUUCGGCCAUAUGGUUCGGGUCCAGCCUGGUGUAGCGCGUCUUCACCAUUGCCCAGGCUUCUCUUGCUCCUUGCUGGCAGGCUGAUAUCUUCCACAGACGGAAGCGCCGUCAGGCUCCUUGAAGCAGGUCCGCAAGCUCCCCCAUGCCAUUCGGCAGAAGGCUUGAUGGCCACAAGGCCUGAGCAACGCCAUGCAUCACCUGCCGAGCACGUUCAUGCAUCUGCGACAGUUCUUGGAGCAAAUCACCUGCAGAUGAGGGCAUCUCCUCUUCAGGGCGACCCGUUGACAUUCCUGCAAGGAAAAAUCUUUUCCAUAAACUUCCUUGCCGAACUAUCAAACAGUUCGCUUGAGCUCUUAUCAUAAAUGUCGCGUCGAAGCUUUUUUUUCUCCUUCACGGAGUCCGCCAGUUGAGCGCGGACAUCUUUUAAUUCCACAUCCAGACGAAUAGUGGUAUCGUGAAGCUUGUUCUUCUCUUGCAUCACCUGCGUAAGGAUGCGCUCGCCGGCCUUUAGCUGCCAUUGGAGAUGCGAGUCAUCACCCACUACGCCCUCACCCCGGGAUUGUGUGCAGAAUCUUCUAUUAGAUUAACCGCACCAGCCAUUUACCAACUGAUACAUCUGCGUAUAAUGGAGACAAAUAUUACCAGAGGGGACCCUUCGGGGUCCCUCUAACUUGGCCACCGCAUCAGUCAACUGGGCUUUGCAUGCCUCCAGCUCCCGCGCCAAUUCUUCGUUCUUGUCCACAAGGACCUGUGCAUAUAUUGAUCCUUUAAACAGUUAUCCCAACUAUUCCAAGUCUCAGGCGCUACUACUAUACAUACUUAUCAAAAUUUCUUACCCGUAUGUCUUUGGUAUACUGGUUUGUCGCUCGGGCAAGCCCGCCUCGAGCAGCUCGGAUAUAUGCGUCCACCGAAUUGAAGGCAUUAAAAGCCUCUUCGGAGAAGAUGUUGUUCUGGAGCACGGCCCUCCGGCGCCGGUGAUUCAUGGCGCUCUCCACUUCUGAGUUCAUGGCCGAACAUAUAUUCGCAUCCUCCGUCAGGGGGCUAUGCGGUGUUGGCCCCGUGUCUGCCUCUGCUCCUGAAGCCGGUCCUAGAACAUGGCUGGUGGAGGCAUGAUUGGUGGGGUCCCCGGAUAUAGUCCGGUUAUUCCUCUUCCUGCCAGACACAAAGGGCGCUGUCAUGUUUCAAAUUCUGUAAAUGGCGGGAGAGGUCAUUACUUUACCUCUGUAGCGGUGUGUCAACCCUCAUCGCCUUCCUCUUGAGCCUGCCCGAUCCGGACACCCGCGGUUGACGAAUCCCUAGGGGCUCGGCCCUUUGCUCCGACCAUCGUUUCUGCAAAUAGAACGACGCCUCAAGGGUAAAUUAUAAUACCUGGGGGGAGUCCUCUUCAGAGGAUACGUUUUUUUAGCCCAGCUUACACGCGAUGCGGGGAGCAGUCCGAGGUAGUCGGCCGUAAUGGCCACUAGGGCGCCAUCCCAGCUUGCCUGAUAAAAACACCCCGUCGACAAGCUCCACUGUAAUAUCCGGGUCUACCUUGAGUCCCGGAUCUAAGGCCCUUCCAGGGUCCUCUAGUUGCAGGAGGGGCUAGAGAUUCCCUCUACGGCCCUCCUCAGUUCCUGCUCAGAAGCAUUGAUGCAAGUAAUCUCAGCGGAAGGACGCUAGAGUAAGCAAAGCUAGGAAAAGAAUGGCAACUUACCCACUCUGGGGGGUUGUACAUGGAGAAUCCGUCCCGCGUUUUUUUGCAGAGGAAUUCCUCCUCUUCCCCUUUGUACAAAUCGGACAAUAUCCCUGCCAAAGCAGCAGCGGAGUCCGGACCCUUACGGCAGCAAUGGGUGGCGUCGUCUUCCCCGUUGAAAUGCCACAUGGGCUUCCCCAGAUAUUAGAGGGGUUGCACUCCUCGCCUUAUGCAUAUCGCCAUAACCUCGACUAUCGUUAGUCCGGAUUUGGCCAGCAACUUUAUCCUGUUCAUCAGGAGGUAUACCUCCUUUGUGUCCUCUUCUUGAGGGCCUCAGGGGCGCCAGCUUAAGCGUGCCCUCGGCGGGGCGUUGCUGAACUUGGGGAGACCUAUCCGUACUGGAUCCGGAAGGGGAACAUCAUUUAUAUAGAACCACUCUGAGGGCCAGUUUUCUGGUGCCUUCUCAGGAGUGCCGGAUAGGUAUCCGGUCUUGGCAAUGCGCCAUACUUUGGCCCCACCCACUUGACAUAGGGACUCUCCCUGGGUGCGGGGGACAAGGCAGAACAGCUUCCUCCAUAAUCCGAAGUGUGGUUUGCAGCCUAAAAAUAGCCCGCAAAGGGCGACAUAUCCCGCUAUGUGCAGAAUAGAGGCUGGGGUAAGGUUGUGUAACUGGAGACCGUAAAACUCCAGGAGCCCGCGAAGAAACGGGUGGAUAGGAACCCGACGCCCCUCAGCAGAUGCGAGAUGAGGCAUAUCCGCUCGUCUGGAGAUGGGUUAGGAGAUCCCUCAGCCUGUUCCCCUCCGUCAUAAGUGGCUAUUCCAGCUCGGACGGAGACCAUGAAUGCCGGUGGGAGAAACCCUGGGGUUUGUAACUCUAUCAAACGGCUAUGAGGAACUGAGCACUCUCCCCAAUCCCCCGACUUGGAACGAGGAGGGCGAGUAGAAGAGUUGCGACGGCUAGCCAUAUUGGAAUGGUUUUUUGCAGAGCGCUCUGUUGGAUGCUAGCUUUGGGAGGGAGAGUGAGGUUUGGAUCUGAGAAUCCCCGUCCCUUCAAAUAGACGGCCAGCCCGGAGGAUUGAGGGUGGUAAAUGCAAAAAUGCCUCGGCUCCUCGCAUUCGCUCGACACGUGGAGAUGGUCAUUAUUGAGGCACUGAAGCCGAGGAGCACAACAUUAAUUGGAGGCCGGACACUAUUUGUCGUAACAGGUACUUUGGAGUAUUUGGAGGAGGAACCCGCCUUGCAAUGCCGAAGACAAUACUACGCGCCGGACUCAUCGUCAUUGAAGCCUGGUUCAGGGGCUACUGAGGGAGUCCUGGAUUAGGGGGUAUCCGGACAGCCGGACUGUGUACAAUAUCCGGGCUAUUGAAGCGUGAAGAUACAAGACUCAAGACUUUGGCCCAUGUCCGGAUGGGACUUUCCUUGGCGUGGAAGGCAAGCUUGGCGAUCCAGAUAUUAUAUUUCCUUCCUUGUAACCGACUCCAUAUAAAUCGGAGAGGUUGGUCCUUAGAAGAUCGAUCACAAUUACAUUCAUACCAUCAUAGGCUAGCUCUUAGGGUAUAGCCUCUAUGAUCUCGUGGUAGAUCUACUCUUGUACUACCCAUAUCAUCAAUAUUAAUCAAGCAGGAAGUAGGGUUUUACCUCCAUCGAGAGGGCCCGAACCUGGGUAAACAUCCGUGUCCCUUGCUUCCUGUUACCAUCAGCCUUGACGCACAGAUCGGGACCCCCUACCCGAGAUCCACCGGUUUUGACACCGACACCGGGUAUGACACCCUUGAAGGUGGUUUUUGUGGGCUUGAUCCUUGAGGCGUCGAUGCCCAUUUUGCGCACUAUAUCCUGAUAGAGCAGGUUCAGGCUGCUGCCACCGUCCAUGAGGACUCGUGUGAGAUGGAAUAUGUCAAUGAUUGGGUCAAGGACCAAUGCAGCCAAACCGCCAUGACGGAUACUGGUAGGAUGGUCCCUGCGAUCGAAAGUGAUCGGACAAGAGGACCAUGGGUUAAACUUUGGGGCGACUGGCUCCAUCGCAUAGACGUCCCUUAGUGCACACUUCCAUUCCCGCUUGGGGAUAUGGGUUGUGUAUAUCAUAUUCACUAUUUUCACCUGGGGAGGGAAUUUCUUCUGUCCUCCUAUGUUCGGCGGCCAGGGCUCCUCGUCGUCAUUGCUAUGCAGCCCCUUUUCCUUGUUUUUGGGAUUUAAUUUGCCGGCCUGUUUAAACACCCAACAUUCUCUGUUGGUGUGGUUGGCUGGUUUAUCGGGGGUGCCAUGAAUUUGACAUGAGAGAUCAAGUAUGCGGUCCAAACUGGAUGAUCCCGGACUGUUUCUUUUGAAUGGCUUUUUCCGCUGUCUGGAUUUAAAGCCUCAGAAUCUGGCAUUAACUCUUGUGUCUUCAGUGUUGUCGCCAUUGUUGCGACGCUUGUGUCUAUUGCGUCGCGGCUUGCCAUUGCUAUCUCUGGCGUCUGAAUCACCGUUUUUUGGUGUGAUGUUGCUACGAGCCAGCCAGAUGUCCUCGCCCGCACAAAAGCGAGUCAUGAGUGUUGUGAGGCUGCCAUGGACUUUGGCUUCUCUUGGCCGAGGUGUCGGGCGAGCCAUUCGUGACGGAUGUUAUGCUUGAAGGCUGCUAAGGCCUCGGCAUCCGGACAGUCGACGAUGUGGUUCUUUUAGUUAGGAACCGAGGCCAGAAUUUUCUGGCUGACUCUCCGGGCUGUUGGGUUAUGUGACUUAAGUCAUCAGCAUCCGGUGGUCGCACGUAAGUGCCCUCGAAGUUGUCAAGGAAUGCGUCUUCCAGGUCCUCCCAACUGCCAAUGGAGCUUGCUGGCAGGCUAUUCAGCCAAUGUCGGGCUGGUCCUUUGAGCUUAAGUGGUAGGUACUUGAUGGCAUGUAGGUCGUCGCCGAGGGCCAUGUGAAUGUGUAGGAGAAAAUCCUCAAUCCAUACCGCGGGAUCUGUUGUGCCAUCGUAUGAUUCAAUGUUUACGGGUUUAAACCCUUCUGGGAAUUCAUGAUCCAUUACUUCGUCUGUGAAGCAUAGGGGUUGUGUGGCGCCUCUAUGUCAAGCUACAUCCCGACGUAGUUCAAAUGAACCUACUCUGUUGUAUUCGGCCCGACCAAACUUUGGUUUAUUGUAUCCGGCGUGAUGGUCAUCGUCAUGUCUGGUGGCGCGCCCCCGUGAUCCGUAGAUCGAUCUUGACUGUCCUACUUUGUUUUCCAAUACAUCUCGCCGGUCCUUCGUGUAGCCUCGGGCCUUAGUAUUAUCAUUUGAUUGGUGACGGGGUGCGGUCUGGACUUCGGGCUGGUACGCCGCUUUGUCGCGGCCACGGGGUGGCCAGUCAGCCACAUCAUGCGCUGGUAGCGUGGGCUUUAAAGCCUCCUCCUCGAGUUGAGGUAACAACAUGCGCUUUGGGUAACUUUUGCUAGGGUGCUCGAGUCUGUAUUCCUCGGCAGCUAGGACCUCGGUCCAUCUAUCAGUUAGCAGAUCUUUAUCAGCUUGAAGUUGUUGUUGCUUUUUCUUCAGGCUUUUUGCAGUGGCUAUAAGCCGGUGCUUGAAGCGCUCCUGCUCGACGGGAUCCUCAGGCACGAUGAAUUCUUUGUCGCCGAGGCUCACUUCGUCUUUGGAAAGAGGCAUAUAAUUAUCGUCCUCUGAUUCUCCAGCUAUUGCCUGUUCCCUAGGGCUAGCUUGCCCAUCCUCUUGCUCGGCCUGCUCGAAGCCUGGCUGGGCAGGAUUGUUUUUGUCUUCGGCACCAUCCGGAUUGUUAUUUGUGCCGGUAUCGCUAUUUUUGCUAUGGCGGGGCUUGGAGCGGCGCCUAUGACGCCGGUUCUUAGAUUGCUUCUCCAAGGGGUUAUCAUUCGUUACCUCAUUUCCAUUGCUUCCUUUGGGGGUGUCCACCAUAUAUAUAUCAUAUGAUGAGGUGGCUGUCCAACGCCCUAUAGGCGGUGGUUCCUGUUCUUCUCCUGCAUCAUCGUCCAUACCGUCGAUGUCUUUGGAGUUGAAGUCAAGCAUGUCGGUUAAGUCAUCGAUAGUGGCUAUUAAGUGGGUGGUGGGUGGGGAACGGAUUUCUUCAUCGUCCGCUUCCCACUCGAGCCGGACAUAGUUCGGCCAAAAAUCUCCCGACAAGGAAAGAGACAUUAAUGAAUUUAGCACAUCACCCAAGGGUGAGUGGCGAAAGAUAUCCGCAGCGGUGAACUCCAUGACCGGUGCCCAAUCAGAUUCGAUAGGCACGGACGUACGCGGUUUGGAUCCUAUAACCAAAGAUGAGUCCGAGGGUCCGAUGACACCAUCCUCACAAGCGGUGGGAUCAGUGUUCGGCUCCAAUACCGAUAAGUGUGCGGACUUCGUGGCGGGGUCCAUCCACCCGUCCUCGGAAGGCGCGAUCUGCUCCGGAUUGAUUCCCGGGGCCGCCGCAGGUGCGAUCUCCCGAACACAGUCUGAUGGCAAAUCUAAGUCAUGCUCGUCACGGCUGUUCGGCAUACCUGACACGGGCUCGAAUCUAUCGAAGAUUAGGUCUCCACGGAUGUCAGCAGUAUAGUUUAAGCUUCCAAACCUGACCUGAUGGCCAGGGGCGUAGUUAUCGAUCUGCUCCAGGUGGCCAAGCGAGUUGGCCUGCAGUAUGAAGCCGCCAAAUACGAAGAUCUGUCCGGGGAGGAAAACCUUCUCCUGGACCGCGUCAUUGAAGAUGAUUGAAGGAGCCAUCAAGCCUUACCGUGACGGCACAGUGGAACUCUCAAUGAAAGCACCAAUGUCGGUGUCAAGACCGGUGGAUCUCGGGUAGGGGGUCCCGAACUUUGCAUCUAAGGCUAAUGGUAACAGGAGGCAGGGGACAAGAUGUUUUACCCAAGUUCGGGCCCUCUCGAUGGAGGUAAUACCCUACUUCCUGCUUGAUUGAUCUUGAUGAUAUGAGUAUUACAAGAGUUGAUCUACCACGAGAUCGUAGAGGCUAAACCCUAGAAGCUAGCCUAUGAUUAUGAUUGUUCUUGUCCUACGGACUAAACCCUCCAGUUUAUAUAGACACUGGAGGGGGCUAGGGUUACACAGAGUCAGUUACAGAGAAGGAGAUCUACAUAUCCGAAUUGCCAAGCUUGCCUUCCACGCGAAGGAGAGUCCCAUCCGGACACGGGACGAAGUCUUCAAUCUUGUAUCUUCAUAGUCCAACAGUCUGGCCAAAGUAUAUAGUCCGGCUGUCCGAGGACCCCUUAAUCCAGGACUCCCUCAAUGGCAACAAGAUUCUCGAAAAUAGCAACAACUACAUAGUUCCCGUAAUGCCAAGAGCGGAUGGGAACUCGAAAAAUUGCUAUCUUUCGUAGAAGACAGUCACCAUGAUCGUAUUUGAAUGUGCGUAGAAUACCGGUGUACUCAACCUCUAGGCAGUCUGCUUAGAUUUUCCAAAGUGGAACCCGGUGAUGAGUGUACGCAUUCACAAGUUCCCACUCACAGUUGUUCCCAAUAUAAACAAGCCAAUCUCCAUUUGUGCCUACCCAAGCCUUGCCCUCAAGCGAUGGCAUCUUAACUUCAUACAUAUCAUUAUCAAGCGGCAUCAACUUGCACAAGGUGAGGCCUCCGUCGUCCCCGCGCCAGUCAGCAGGGUCACGGCAAAGAAGAUAGGGGAGAUCAAACCGCUCCUGGACCCUUGGGUUCCUUGCAAUGGUGUUAUUAGCUGAGUCGAGAAUGGUCUUGAACGAACCUGCCAUGCUAGCUGAGGUGAUGAGGUCACACCGAUCAAUGAGUUCUCCACCAUGUCAUCUUUCAGAUCGGGGCAAGAAUAACAGGGUCGUUUCUGUCCUGUUCCCUCCUUGGAGAAGACGAUCGAACAAUGGCAGAAGGAAGGGUGAAGGCAAAUGGAGGAGGGAGGAAGAGUGUGCGACUGCAGUUCCAAAUUGAGAGGGAAAGGCGAAGAGUCGGUGGACGGUUGCCAGUUUGCCACGGUACACGAAGAGGCGCCCCGGAGUAGUAGAAAAGGACUCGCCGUCGUGUCACUGACAUGUUGGAACGGGACCACAUGUCAACGAAACAUGGUGUGUAAUUUAUCGUGCAAAAUGCGAUCUGGACGCGUUGGCCCGAGGUGCCACAUUAGUUAUCAACCUUUAUUUUUUUUAAAUACAAUCUGAGUGGAUAGCUCCUGUGGUUAUCACACGUGAGCAGAUAUAUAGGUGGGCUAGGUGGGCAGGCGGCAACAAUCUGAGUGCUAAAAGAGUUGAUCCAAUGCUUGGUUUUGUUUGGAUUUUCCAACUAUGACCAUUGGAUGGAGUGAAUCAAUGGCUUACGUUCAAAGUUAUUCUCAUACUAUAGAAUGGUAUAGGAACGUGGAGAGAUUUGGUUGAUUUUAUAUCGCAGAAUAAUAUAAAAUAUUAUGAGUGCAGACGCUCCACCGCGAGGUUCGUUGCUCCUUCUCGGUCGUCGGGAAUCUAUAUUCUUCCACUCUUUCGUUUAAGACAUGAGCUUUGUUCAUCCUUUUGCCGACACGCGGGACAUCUAUAUGCCUCCAUUUUAAAAAUCAUACUAUAUGCCUCCAUGACACACGGGACAUCUAGCAUCAAGGUCGCGUGUCAUGCAAGAAAAUGGAGAUAUGCAGUGCGUAAGUGAGUCGUGCACUUCGAUGGCACCUAGUACUACGCAAUAGUUUUUCUCCUCGAUGUCACAUGAAUAGUGCACGUACUCAAUGACAGAGCACGGGAUGGUAGCCAUGGACAUGGUCGUCCCUUUUUGAAGAGAGUACUAAUAAAUAACUUUGAUGUGUCCCGUCAACUCGCAGAAUGAUGAGAAUCUUGCUUACCUUCUCCCGCGCCAACGCGUGCGCGGUGGCUCGCAGCACGAGGAGAAACUUUUGCUUACAAGCGGUGGACGUGCAACAAUUCAUUUGGUGUCAGAUUGCGAGAAGUACUAUUGUAGUACCAUCAUUAUUGUUCGACUUCCGGAAAAGGAGAAGAGCCAAGCGCAAGGUCACCUACUAACCUAGUACAGUACUACUAUAGCCAAAGCCGGUCCACCUUUUUAGAGCAUGGUUAAUUAAUAUAGGCGGCUCUUGCAGCGGCACAUCAUUUAGAGCAAGUACUCUCUUCGUAGUAUCAAAGGAAGUGAAACAAAAGUUGGAGUGGAUGCUAGAUUGCCAAUUAAAACAUGAUUACAUAGGGAAAAAAUCCUAUAGCAUUCUAUCCUAUGAAUCAAAUGACCAAUGUAGGAAAAUUAUGAGGGGGGUCUCUCCAACAGUGUUCCUCGGCUCGCACCUAGCAUCACGGUGGUCGAACUUGGAGUCAUUCAUCUGGUACACGUGGCAUCUCAGAUCUGGACACAAGGUGACGCGACCUCUCACUUCGUCCGCCAUUUGAAGCAGCGCGCCAGUGGAGGACUAGCAUACUCCAAUAUUAGGUUGGCUCUAUGUGAUGUGGCAACUUCAUAUACUAACCGGAUGCUGACUAUACUACUACGGUACUCACACUCCAAGAAGUGACUCGAAAACCAUUCAUAAAUUGAGUCUAUGACAUGCAUUUGCAAAUGUACCAUUCAUUACAUACAACAAGUCAUCAACACACAACGACAACGAGGAUACAUGUUGGAUUAUAGAUUAUUUCAAACAAAACAUUCUAGCAAAUACUGAAGUUUUCAUCACACAACAAAUAACAAGCAAUGAAAUGAACUUCAACUCAACCUAUACUCGGCGUUGGAAACGCUUGCUUUGAACCAUAGGUGCUCUAGGAAGGGCCAGCUAUCAUCAACAUCGAGAGCAACACAGGACUGAUCAUCCAGGCUGAAGCGACAUAUAUCAGGAGCAGGGUAGGGAACCACCGCAAUGUCCGAGGUAUAGAUACAGUUUCUUCUCAUAAAUGGUAGUAACGUUGUGUCAACAGUAGCUGGAUCGCCUUUAACCAUCAUUGGAUAGUUUGGUCCAAGGAAGAGCGAGUUUUCUCCAAGACUAUCAAUAUUGUACCAGGGAGAAAGUGUUGGUGCUAGCACACUACUACCUCUAUCCGGGAUUUUUAGGCCGCUGAGUCCCUGAGCCACGUCCAUAAAUACAAGGCCCUGAUGUAUUUUCCAAUGCACAAUCAAUAGGGCCUUUCCUCUCUCUAAUUGGCCAAGAACGGGUCACGCCACCGCGUCCUGCGUGCUGAAGAGGUCGCAUGCAUGCGUGCACGAGGCCGGACAAUGCAUGUUGGGUGGUAAUUAUGGCGCGGCACAUGUAGCCUUUUAAUCUGCGCUAUUAGUAAAUGUCAAAGAAGUAUCCAACCAAUUAGCGCAGAGCACGUAAAGGCAGCCACAUAAAUCAAUUCAGUUAAUUACUAUCUAAAUGCGUGCAUGCAGUUUACUGCGGCUGUCUUGGUCCUAGUGUUUUGUUCUGUGGGACUAAUAUACCCGGACGGAGGUAGUAGUAUCCACCCCGAAUACCCUGUAACGGUUGUUGGAAUAUGUCCAGAGCGGGCGACCAUGGGAGACAACACGUGCUCCCUUAGUAGUAACAAUCUCAGUGCACUGUAUACAGACAAGAAGAGGUGAUCCAUCGGGGUUACUCCUAGUUGCCAGGCGCCACUGAGUAUAUAAGUCCUGCUCGUCCUCAUGACCGUGAUCAUCACCAUCAUCAUCUCCCCCUUGGUUAUAAAAAGUUUCAAGUAUAGGUGGUGGAAUGUUCACAGGACCUUGGAAACACAAGAAGAAGGUUAAUUAGUAAAGGGAAACUUGCUAACCCACAUGCAUGUGGAUGAAACAAUUAUAAUUACGGUGGAAUACAAACGUACCGAAACUAUGAGGAUCCCAUGCAAAAACAGUGCCACGAGUGGUGGAAGCAAACACAUGAUCCUCAUAUUCAAUUGCAUCAUAGUACUCAUCAUCCGUGUACAGAAACUGAUUUUUGAGCAAUAUCCAUGGACAAACCGUGGAAUUAGUAACGACGGCAACAAGCUUGUCAAAGAUCGCGACAACUACAUAGUUCUUGUAAUUCCAAGAGCGGUUGGGAACUCGACAAAUUGCUAUCUUUCAUAGACGACAGCCACCAUGAUCGUAUUUGAACGUACGUAGAUCAUCUGUGUGCUCAACCUCAGGGCACUCUGAGAUUUUUGGAAGUGGAAUCCGCUGACGAGUGUACACAUUCACAAGUUCCCCCUCGUAAUUGUACCCAAUAUAAAUAACCCAAUCUCCAUUUGCACCAGCCCAGGCCUUACCCUUAAGCGAUGGCAUCUUGACAUCACACAUAUCAUUAUAAAGCAACAUCAACUUGCACAAGGCGAGGCCUCCGUCGUUCGCGCCCAUGCGAACAGGCUUAUAGCAAAGAAGAUAAGGGAGAUCAAACCGCUCCUGGACCCUUGGGUUCCUUGUAAUGAUGUUAUUAGUUGAGUCAAGAAUGUUCUUGAACGAACCUGCCAUGCUAGCCGAGGUGAUGAUGUUGCACCAAUCAAUGAAUUCCUCCACCAUGUCAUCUUUCAGAUUGGGGCAAGAAUAACGGGGUCGUUUCCUACCUGUUCCCUUCAUGGAGAAGACAAUCGAACAAUGGCAGAAGGAAGGGUGAAGGCAAAUGGAGGAGGGAGGAAGAGCAUGCGACAGCAGUUCUAAAUCGAGAGGGAAAGGCCAAAAGUCGGUGGACGGUUGCCAGUUUGCCACGGUACACGAAGAGGCGUCCCGGAGUAGUAGAAAAGGACUCGCCGUCGUGUCACUGACAUGCUGGAAUGGGACCACAUGUCAACGAAACAUGGUGUGUAAUUUCUCGUGCAAAAUGCGAUCUGGCGGCGUUGGCCCGAAGUGUCGCAUUAUUUCUCGACUUUUUUUUAAUGGCGUAACAUUCAGUUUUGAAGCACGACUAACUAGUACUGUAUGCAGAAAAAAUAUAAACUACUCUACCACUACUCCACCUCUAGUACUAGUAGUAUAAAAACGAUAUAUAGGCCAGAGCUUCAGCACUUUCUUGCUAAGGGCUGCCCACUUGCUUCUUACACUAUCACCCUCUCUCCAGAUCAAAAAAGACGGCCUCUCUCUCCCUCCUCAUCGAUGGUCACAGAUCCACCGGGGAAGAAAAGGACGUGCAGCAUUGACGCACUCGUCGUCGGCGAGCGAGGUCACACACUGACAACAAGGCCGUCCUCUCAGACCUAGCGCCCGCGCGGGAUGGCCUUCGUCCCCAAGCUCGCUGCCAUAGUGUGUGCGAAGGACAACGACCAUGAGCGAAGCCACUUCCCGCCGACCCUCAGGUAUGCUACCUCUUUUUGAACCAUACCCGUGUUCUAUUGCCCCAUCUGCCACGUCGCUGCAUGUGGAUCUUUUUUCACUCCACCAUCUUCCCAAUUUGCUAUCCUCUACUCUGCUGGUCACGCAGACAAAAACCGUAAUUUGCACUAUUAAAGGAAACCCUACUUCAUGCAGACUAAUCCAUGUCUGGGUUGAAUAAGGAAAGGAAGGGAGAUUGUACUGUCCAAGAGAGUAGGCAUCGAACCCGCAUCUAGGUUGUAACGGGGAAAAUCAGUAGCUAAGGAACGAGUCUCAUGUCUCUUGGUUGAAGAAGGGUAGACAGGCAUGACAACGCAAUAGAGAAUGACCAGGUCGAUUGGUUUGUUGUCCUCACAUAGGAAAACAAUGGCUAAAGAGAACAAAAAUGGGACGUAAUCCACAUAUGCUACCUAGAUAUUUGUUGCUCUGGGAAACCAUACCUCCCUCACCACUCUAUGCGUCUGUGGAGGUACAUCGUACUGGUGCGCCCGCUGCCCGAAUGGGCCUCCCAUGCUCUUAUGCCACUUUUUUGCUGUUAGUAUAACGCUAGCAGUCAAGUCAAGCAAUGCUACUGCUAAAGUGAUGCCACAUUUAACUAAUGUCGCACUUAGUCUAAUGCCACCGAUAAAUUUAAGCAAUGUCAUUUAAUGUCACUGGAUUAUUUCAGGGUUAGCUGUUAAUUGUGGAUGUAUUAAAGAUUUUUUAGCUAAGGCAUUCUAAUGUUGUUGCAUAGCCAGUAUACCAACGAUGAAUCUUGUUUCUACCUUCAGAUUUUUGCACUGUUAAUGCUUAUAGAUUACAUACCUCACUUUCAUGCGAUGAGUCAAUUUUUUUUUGUAUAGUGUCAAGAGGAAAGGUCAAGAGUGGGCACCUCCUCCUCCAGUUGUUCUCUUGAUUCGUUCGAUCAAGUUUUUAUAUUUGACAGAUUAUCAAGAUUAGGAUAGCAAUUUUUAGGUCCCCUCGAGUUUGAAAUGAUAUUUACCUUGAAGGUACAUGGUUUGCAAUUUUAUUAUACUGUAAUUAGUUAAUAAUGCUAGUUACCUUCAGACUUUUGUAUUUUGUUUAAUGCUCAUGCACAGCUAGUAUACCAAUGCUGAAACUUGUUACCUUUACAUUUUGUAUUGUUAAUUCUUAUAGAAAUCUUCUAGAGCUAGAGUUUAUUGAAAUUUGUUCAAUAAAAUCAUUGUACUGUACCCUGUAAUAAAAUAACUACUCUACUGUUGCACUAGCCACUAUAUUAGUGUAUAUUUGUAGUAUUCGAAUGGUAUUGCAUUAGCGUAUGGACAUAAAUAAAGUGUGGCAAGCUUUCCCAGAUAUGUGCUCAAGAAAGCUACUACCUGUUUUUCUAAAUAUUAGACGUUUGGGUACUUUAAAUUGAACUGUGAAAACGUCUUAUAUUAAGGAACAGAGGGUGUAGAGUUCAUCAAAUUAUCCUGGUAAAGCUAGUCACACCUUUGUUAAAAUUAAUGUUCGUUAUGUUAUCAGAGGAGGUCUGUAUGUUUCCCUCCAAUGCAUGUCGACUACAUACCUGACAUCAUGAUGUAAUGUUAAGUCAUUUCCUUUUGUACAGUGUCACUGACUUGUCAAGGCUGUGAUGACAUUUUAUUUUAGUUGAACUGCACAAAAUAUGCUUAAAAGAAGAGGAAAGGUCAGAAAUCGAUCAUUCUUUCAGAAAGAACUAUAUAUGCCUUUCUGACAUCAGUCGUUGUUGCCUUAUUUAUUCCUUCAAACAGGUGGUUAGAAACAGUCUUGCUACCUUUUCCCAUUAAGAAGUUGGAAUCCUUAUAUUUGUGAGUCUAUGCUUCAACUAGUGCCACUUUUAUAGUAAUCACACUUUCAAUAUUUAUGCAAACAGGGAUGCUCGAUUUUAGUGGAACUGCACAAAAAGUCCAAAUGGUUCAACAUUAGGAGCAUGUUUUCUUCCAAACAUUUAUAUCCAAUUGGUGGCACUAUGAGUUGUUCAUUAUGAAGGUACAUGGUUUGCUACUAUGUUGCUACUCUUUUUGUAUUGUCAUUAGAUAGUAAUACUAGUGGUUUGCAUGUGAAUUUAUUGGUAGGGUGGACCUACGUUGGAGGUGCAGGACAUGAUUCAAUGAUUGGAUGCUCAAUUUCAGUCGUAUCAAUUUCACCUCUUCCAUCACUGCGAACAUGGAUAUCCUUGGUCUGAUGAAGAAUAGGCGCUAUAUUUCUGCUCUGAACCAACAAAUCAAUUCAGUAUGAAAUUGUCCAGGGCAAAACAUGAUUGUAUCAAAUUGUCGAGUGCAAAACAUGACAGAUGCUAAGCGGAAGAGACAUGUUUAAACCAAAAAUACAAGGUGGGCUAUAUGUUUACUAGCUGCUUGAUAUUUGUGCAGACAGAGAUGUCUGCCCAUUGCUAUUUGGCAAAAAAACAAAGUGACCGCAAUUUUGGUUGAACUGCACAAGAGAAUAGUAUAGUCACUGCAUGCAGUGCCAUUUGAAAAUAGACACAGAAAGAUUGGAUAGUCACUUCAUGGACUGCAGAAAAGUAGUAUUGUACUAUUUAUUGGCCAACACUAGGUGCUUCAUUGCUUUGGUCUAAUUAUACAAUGGGCAUCAUUUUGCCUAAGUUAAAGUUUGUAUUCCUAAAAUAGUCGCGCCGUGUGCUCGAGAGAAGACCAAAUCAUAUUGCAGUGGAUGUUCCUCCAUCAUGUGUGGUUCAUUCUCAUGGUUCCAGCUGUUGGUGAAACCACUUACAUUUGCAAGAGGAAUUAUAGACUUCACAAACAAAUUUGUCUUUCAGACUGUAUUGAAUGUUGGCGAAGAGAAGCAUCCAUGUUAGUAGGAAGAACAGAUGUUUUUUCUAGAUCUUUGCUUUUGGAGGUACAUAUUUGUAUAUGAUCUGUGAAUCAUUGAGAUGCAUUAACAUGUUGAUCUUAUGUAUGGGAAUCGUACUAGUUGGUUUUAGUUGUAAUGCAAGAUCCAAAGUGGCUGAUCUUUGCUUUUGGAGCUACAUAUUUGUAUAUGAUCUGUGAAUCAUUGAGAUGCAUUAACAGUUCCUUAUUUCUGUUCGCUCAGUGUUUACAAGUUACUGAUCGAUCACUAGCUAGCCUACUAAUGCGCUCCUGGCAGUUUUAAUUGCGAUGCAAGAUCCGAAGUGGCAGUUUUUUCAAUAAAAAUGCCUACCUCUGAAGAAACUGACAAGCUGCUCUGAAGAAAAUGUCAUGCGAAUCUGAAGAAACUGCAAGCAAAAACGUUCGCAAAUGCCUUAUCUCCCAGCUAACGUUCAUCAGCUAAUGCGAUCGUACACAUACACCAUCCGACCUACUCGAUCCUACACGUACACUAUCCGACCUACUCGAUCCUACACGGAUAAAUAGUGGAUCACGCAUGUACUACCUCCUUUCCGGUUUGCAGGGCUCAAUCAAGAAACAAACUACUUGAUCCUACACGAAUAAAUAGCGGAUCACGCACGUACUAGUACCUCCUUUCCGGUUUGCAGGGCUUAAUUCAAAAAUCUCACCAACCAAGGUACUCCCUCCAUCCGGGUUUAUUAGUCCCGUGAGCCAAAUCAGCAAGACCAAGGCAUGGCAAUAAUUAACUGCAUGCAGAAGUUUAAGCCUAAUUAAUUCCAGCGAUUUAAGUGGCUGCAUGCGUGCCCUCGGCUGCGACUCGUUGCAUGCUGCUCUCCAUACUGGCUACGAGCGAUUCUGAGUGCCUGCAUGCAGCCGACUGUAAUUAAGGUAGCUAAAUGAUGCGAAAAAGAUGCGCUUUAAUUGUUGCAGGCCUUUUAAAUCCGUGGAAUCAUUAUUGACAAGGAGGGAGUACCUCAUCUGGAUGACUCGAGUGCAUUCAUUUGACCGUCAUGCCGACGUGCGACCCAGCAUGGACGGGACGGGAUGACAUAGUCAUAAUUUUAGUUUCUCUAGUUUUCCACGGCAAGUUGGCGUGCUAAGCCAUGCCUUCUUAUGCAUUGAAUUCCGAUGACCGUCGCGCUACCUUCCACCUAUAAGUACUGUUUCCCGGCCUUCUCCGGUGGCACCCUGACCCAACUAGCCCUAUCCUCAUAAGCUCCCACUGGCCCGACAUCGCUCGCCACUUAUCCUCGCUCUCACCACCUCUGCCAUGCCCCCGCCCGUCCGCGAUAGGCGAGGCCGGAGGUUAUCACCGCCGGAACUAGUGUUCGCUUUUUCACCGGAAGGCAGACGGAGGGAGGAGGCAUUCUAUCGGUCUUUAGAUGGCAAUGCGGAGAUUGAGGACUUGUUGGAGCGCGACCGCCUGGCGGAGGAGCAGGAGUUGUUGGAGCGUGACCGCCUGGCAGAGGAGCAGCGUAUCCCUGAUUUGCGCCGCCAGUGGGACAUGGAGCAGCAGCGCACCGACGCUCUGAGUCGAGAGGCAGAGCACCCACAACUGGGCCGACUACAUGGAGGUUGGCGCCUGGCAAAUAGCCCUGGAGGCUGUCGGGCAUGCACGCGUUCGCGACACCGAUUUUUACUACCAACUCCUCAAGUGGGUUUCCUGCUUAGAAGCUAAACCUUUGGUGGACCACGCCUGCAUGGAAAGGGCCAACACGCGCGCGCAACGCGCCCUAUCGCACCUCUGGCAAGUCCGAGGCGAGGCAGAGGAUGCCGGUGCCAGCGUUUAGCGUAUACCCCAGAUGGCGGUCGGCAUCGUCUAGUUAGCUAAGAGUACUUGUAUGCUACUAGAGUAUUAGUGGGAGUAGAUAGUUAACUUGGCUAUGAUUUUUUUUACUAUAAACAGUAGGGGAACUUGGCUAUGAUGGUUGUCAACGUGGAAGUUCAGUACUAUAUAUGUGGAUCAGACCUGUUACUUUGCUCUGAAUGUUGAACUUUCCAUUUGAACGUAUGGAAUGGGCUGUUAUUUUUUUAAAUGGGUUGUAUUUGUCCUCCACAGGUUUAGAGGCUGACUUGUGGGCCUACCAAGUUGACGCGUACACAAUCAGGAGAUGAUUGUACGUGGAGAGGAGGACAGCAGGGACCCGCCAAGGUCAUGGCAGUAUGCAAGCAAGUGCCUCCUUAUUUCAAGCCAAUAAAACAAUGGCUCCUCCUAAUGGAUUUCUGACACCUGGGUCCCAUGCCAUUGUCAACGUAGUCAAUAAACGAGAGAAUUGCACAACGAGCGGGUAACACCAGGGACCCAGCAGCUCGCCCAGUUAUUUUUGUUUUGGGUUAAUUUGAUAAAUGCCACUCCAAAUCUGGUGUUUCCGAGAAAUGCCACUGCAAUUUCCAAACUUUGAAAAAUGCCAUUUCAUGCCAUUUCCAGUGGCAUUUUUCGAAGUCUGGAGUGGCGUUUUUCAAUGUUUGCAAAUUGUAGUGGCAUUUUUCAAAGUUUGCAAAAAUUGCAGUGGCAUUUUUUAAAGUUUGGAAAUUGUAGUGGCAUUUUUAUGAAUCGCCAUAAUUGGAGUGACAUUUAUCUAAUUUGUUUUUGAGACGGAAGCAGGGUGUCAACUGGGCUGUGCGGGGCACUCUGGCCUAUCUAGACAGCCUUUUCUUUUAUAUUUACCACAGACCAGCCCAGUACUUUUUUUUUCUUUCUGAAAAUGGCUAGCCCAGUUUUUUUGUGAUUUGUCAAGUAAGUCGCUUUGCCAGGCCUGUUGGUCUGCAAAUCUUUCAAGACAAGGAGAGCUUCAUUCGGCUGGCCGAGAAAAUGGCCUAUCAGUAAUGAGAAAUGGGUUGUACAUUUUUAAAACACAUCAAACCGGCAAUUAGUUUCAAGUUUAUCUUUUUCAUUUCAAGAUUUUAAAUUGCAUUGAUUUUUAUGCAUGGACAAUCUGUUGGAUUUUAUACUGAUAUACAUUUAUUUUUUUUAAACAGUUUGAAUGUGACUCGAAAUUUCAAGAUUAAAAAUAGUUCGGACCGCACCGAAAUAUGAAAAUUUUCGUAUAAUUUCUUAACUGUGGCCACAAUAUGGGUUGUAAUGCUAACAAAAAGAAUAUGGGCUCCAAAAAAACCUAAAGAAUUAGCAAAUGAGCUGUAAAUUAUUAGAAAUAAUGGCAGAUGGGUUGUAUGUUGUUUUCCGCAGAUUUGAGGUUUUCCUAAAGAAAAGGUUGACGCACAAGCACUGACUAUUGGAUGUCCAUCCAACGGCCCUCGUGCUUCUUCAAUCUCUACUCUUCCUGCUCCAACCACUCAAACAAGCGCCGGUGGGACUGCCUGCUCCCUCCUCCCUGCGGCCGGCUGUGCUACCGCGCAGGCCUCACCGUCCCAUCGUACUCCCAUCGCUGACCUAGCCAUCCCUCUACUCACCCACACCUCCUAUUAUUCUCUGGCGACGACAGACGAACCAGUAAACCCUCGUAUAGUCGUACUCCCCUCCGCGUGAGAAACAACUGCCGAGUCUUUCCUGGCUCUGUGUCGUUCCCUUCCUAGGCCUCGCCAUCGUCCACCAUCCUGGUGCUCUCGGCGUUGCGUGGUCAACAUGGUCAAUGACCGACAUGCAUCUGAAGUGGACUGUACGUGGAGAGGCUGACAGUUGGGUCCACGGCCGCACGCAAGGAAAUGCCUCCUUAUUACGUGCAAAAUAAUGAUUCCUCCACCUGGUAUCUGGGACCCAUCGAAAGGGCCUCUGUAUUUCAUGAAAAAAUGUUACCGCCGCUGACAGCUCGGACUCACCAGCUAUAUCUUCACAUGCAAGGAAGUGCCUCCUUAUUACUCACAAAAAAUGAAUACUCCCCCUGCUAGCUGGGACCCUGUAUAGUGGGAGGCUGACAUGUGGGCCUACUAAGUUGACGGGGACGGAGGGCUUUGUCAACUUAGUCAAUAUGCACGAUUCUAGCUCCGGUGACCGUACGAUGUCCAUCCAACGGUCGUAGUGCUUCUUCAACCUCUGGUCUUCUUGGUCCAGCCGCCCAAAGCAGCGCCGGUCGUGCCGCCUGCUCCUGCCUCCCAUGGCCGGCUGUGCUGCCAUGGAGGCCUCACCGCCCCCUACUACUCCCACCGCUGGCCAGGCCAUCCCUCCACUCACCCACACCCACACCCUGUUAUUCUGCGGCGACGACAGCCUCACACCGCAGUCCAAAUCAGUGAACCCUCGUACUCCUCUCCGCGUGAGCAUCCACUACCGCGUCUUCCCUGGAUCCACGGCAUCCCCUUCCUAGGCCUCAUCGUCGUCCACCGCCAUGGUGCUCUCGGCGUGGCAUGGUCAAUGUGGUCAACGACCGACUUCCAUCGUAAGAGUACUGUACAUGGAGAGGCUGACAACUGGGUCCACGCAGCCGCAAGGAAGUGCCUCCUUAUUAUGCGCAAAAUAAUUAUUCCUCCACCUGACAGUGGGGACCCAUCGGACGGGCCACCGUAUUUCACAAAAGAAAUGUUUCCCCCCUGACUACUGGGACCCACCAGCUACAUAUUUGCAUGCAAGGAAGUGCGUCCGGGCAAAAAACGAUUUGCCCCCCUGACUGCUGUGACCCACCAGCUACAUCUUCGCACGCAAGGAAGUGCCUGACAGUCGGGACCCACCUGGUCGAAGCGUAUGUAGCGUUGUCAUUCUAGUCGUGAACGUGUACAUACAUACUGGUCGAUGUAGAGGAGCGCACGUGUCGCAGUAGAGGCACGCACGUAGCAUGUACACGUACGUACAAUAGCUAGUGUGCAAGAAAGAAAAUACGGCCAUGUAUGUCGUGGAAUUGUCACGUCAGAUGCCCUAGCGAAAGAACUUAGUCGUGGAGCCAUCGGAACUAGGAAGCUUGAAGGGGUUAAUCAGGACAAGAGACAUGAGAGGUUUAUACAAGUUCGGCCCCUUACGAUGAAGGUAAAAGCCUACGUCUAGUUGUGAUUGGGAUUAUGUAUGUCUCGAUAACCAGGAGGCAGAAUCGCUUGACCUAGCUCUCGAGUUGUUGUUUCGUGUCUUGAACCGCCGCCGGGUCGUCCCUUUAUAUACUGAGGUUGACGCCCAACGGCUCUACAGAGUCCCGGCCGGCUUAUAGUUUGUAUCCGGCUCGGUCUCUUAACAUUUAUGCCUUACAGUACAAGUUACAUGAAUAAGGCGGUUUAACACUACAGGCCUUAAGUCGUCCCUGGGCCUUUGGGCCUUUACUAAACCGCCGUCUUCAACCUUGAGCUUUAGUCUUCAAGAAUGCUUAUAGGUAUAACCCGGCUCCCUCCGGCAGGUCAUACCUAGUAGUUAUAUCCCCAACAUUAGGCCCCAGACUGAUUUGAACUAGUUCAUGUCAGUCUUCAAAAAGUCUUCUGCUCCUUACUUAAGAAAGUUCAUGUAACCCGCCAUGACGUCACCCUUCAGAUUUGUGGUAACCCGCCAUGUCAUCACCUGUCAUAAAUGCAUGCUUUGUCCAACAUAUCCUAAUAGAUCUCUGUCUUAAUAACCAUCCGAAAAUCAAGGCGCCCUUGUAGCUGGAUAAAUUUAUUUUUCGGCCUCCUCGUUUUUGCACCCACUCAACAGGUUUUCCUUAUAAAUAGCCCCGACUAGGCAUCUUUUCCAUUCUCCGUACGCAUCUUCUUCCUCUCACCCCAUCUGCCACUGGAGCUCCGCCGCUGUCGCCACUGCGCCCUUCAUUCUCGUCGAGCUUUGGCCGCUGCAUCACCCUGACCUUGACCAGAGAACAGCGGUGCUCCUCCUCUGUGGAUCCCCCGCAGUAAGUGUUUCCCUUUCCGCACCAUAGAUCUGCAUUAGGAUUAUCGUGUUCUUCUACGCAGACAUAGUUCAUUCGAGCUCUUGCUCUUUUUCCUUGCCACGGCGUCGCCUGACCCAAAGAACCCCAUGAAUCUGAUGCGGUCCAUGCUCCGCAUUCAUUUGAUUAGCUAUGGACUUCCUUCCCUUGUAAGAAAACCUCACCGUAGCAUAUGAACUUCUCUGCGUCCUAUUUUUAGGUCUAGUAAUUUUUCUUUUCUGAACCUUUGUUUGAUCCAAAAUAAUUACUGCAAACUAUGAAACUUGUUUGUCCUACACUUAGGAAAAAUCCAUAACUUGUUAGACUUGCCAGUCAUGGCGGCUCUAACCGCCGGCUUAAAGAAGCAAUAAUAUGAACCUCCCCUGUUAGUUUAAAUAAUACUGAUGGCUUUAAAACACUUAUGGCGGCUUACGUAACCCAGCGUAAGUAUCCUUAUACCAGUAGGCCCCUUCAUAAGUCGCCAUACUUCAUUCCACUAAUAUUUUUUCCUGUCCGGCUUAAAUUUGAACCGGCCUUGUUUACUUUGUAUUUAGGCUUUCAAACAUAAUGGCGCCCAAGGCACCUACCUCUUGCAACUGGGUGAAAUCCAUUGCCACUGAUGGCACUUUAGAUGACUUCGUGAAAACCGGCUAUCUGCCAAACAAAGAAGUCAUGCCUUACCGUGCUCCUAACCCGGAUGAAGAAAUUCCUCAACCCAAAGACAGAGAGGUGGUUGUCUUUACAGAUCAUAUGAACCGGGGUUUUACUCCUCCCGGUUCAAAAAAAUUCAGAGUUGUACUGAAGUUUUUUGACCUUCGCCCACAAGACAUUGGACCCAAUUCCGUGUCUAACAUCUGUAAUUUCCAAGUGUUCAGCGAAGUUUAUCUUAGCGAAGAACCAAACUUACUGCUUUUCAGAGAGUUGUUCUAUUUGAACCGCCAGACAGAGCGUGCCAAUGGUGAGAGCUUGGAACUUGGUGGGAUUUCAAUUCAGCGCCGCAGGGAUGCACUUUUCCCCUAUGCCAACCCGCCAAGCCAUCCAAAAGAUUGGAACAUGACAUGGUUCUACUGCAAGGACACCUCCCCGGUUGACGAGAAUCCUCUGCCCGGCUUUCAUGCCCUUCGUCUUGACACCAAUAAUCAUUUGCCCGACAAGAUUACUGCCGCAGAACGCAGAUCCCUCUCUCCUACUCUGGCCAAGAUCAAAGCUCUGUUGGGGAAUAGGUUGACGGGCAUUGACCUGGUUCGAGUCUGGCUUGCUUGGAGAGUUAUCCCAUUGAGCCGCCGUACCGUCUAAAUGUGUGAAUAUACUGGUGCCAAGAAUGACCCCCUGCGCCAUAGCCCUGACAAUUUACCUGCUCAUGUUGUUGAUGACAUGACCAAAUCUCUUCUCAACGAGAGUCCGGCGGAUUGUGGCAGAGUGGGUCUCGCCCCGUUCUGCAAAGAUAACCCGGCUCCAAAGGUAAAAACCCUCGUAUAAAAAUGUUUACCUUAUUUUCUUAAUGCUUCACCCAUACUCAUAAUAUACUUAAUCUUUGCAGGCGGGUGAUAAAUUUUGGAAUGUUAAAUAUGAUCAUGAAGCGGCCAAGAAAGCCAGGAAAGAAAAGAAAGCCGCCAGGAAAGAAGCUGCCCAAAGGAAGGGCAAGAAAGCUACUGCUUCGGACUUGCUUCGGCUAGCAGACUCUUCUGAGUCAUAGGUAUCCCUUGACUCCCUUGUCUUAUUCUUUAAUCAUCUUAUUGACACUGAUCAUCAGUAGGAGGACACUGGGACAAGCCGUAGCAAGGCUGACGAGGUAACUAUCCUUUCCUCUGACUCCGAGCCUUUGCCAAGACAGAAAAUCCGCAGAGUGACCCGGAAAGUAAGAUUUUCUCAUCCUCUAGCUCAUCAUGAUCCUCAAUUUCUUUUGAAGCGGCAAAUUCAUGAGAGCCGGAGCCAGACCCGGACCAGCAAGGAUGCGGAGCUCUCCUCCGGCUUACCAAAUACUCCAAGAAAACGCCAAAACAAGGUUACCUAUAUUUUAACUAAGUUUUACCCCUUGGCGGGUCUCUUUCGUCAACCACUCAAUUCCUCUAACUCGGAUUAUCAGGAUACUUCCCCUUCCUCCAGCGAGUCAUUGCAGUCCAAUCUGCCAACUUUUAAGACUAUACCAGGGUAUAAUAAGCCACUCACUUUUGUAGUUAUUGUAAUCUUCUUACUUCUGUAUUAAUCUUUUUAUUUGAAUGCAGUGGUCAAGCUAAACUCAGCAAGAGGGUUAGAAAGAAUAAACCGACUGAAGAAAGAGUCGCCGCUGAUGAGCCGAUUCUUGAGACGACCGUGCCGGAGUUAAGCACUCUUGAAACGCCACCUGAACCAGCACAAGAUGUGUCACCUCCUACUGACCUGCCCACUGACUAAGGUGCUACCGACUUAGAAAAUCCCAAACCUCCAAGCCCAACCCGGACAGCUGAUCCUUCCAAUGCUGAUGUUGAAAUCACCGGAACCGGCCAUGCUGACUCGGGGAGGCCAACCAUGCUGGCCAAAUGCCCCGCCAAGGAAGAACUUCUGGACUAGCGCCGAGUCAAGAUGGAUGUCGCCAAAUAUGCUCAUAUGAGUAUUGGAGAUGUCUUCUCUGGCUAUAUGAGCCAAGUGCACAACAGCCGGAACCUCGAGAUUGACAUGGUGAAGCAAAUGCACCAUAAAUUCGAGGUAUAACCCGUUUUCUCUUGUUCCUUAUCCUCCAAUAUGUUAGCCCCCAAGUCUGCUGCUUAAGAUACUUAUGCUGUAGACUUAGAAACAAAUUUGACAACAUAAAGAAAGAAUAAACUUCUAGCUUACCUUGUAGUCCCCAAGGGGCAGCUUAACCAAUAUGGUUGAGCCGGCUCUUUAUAGAGAAAUUCAUAUGUGUCUUUAAACAACAAUAUGCAUUAGCCCCCAAGUGCCAAGUGUUAUUGCUUGCAGAAAUGCUUGGGACUUAAUCAUAUGAAUCACCAUAUAAUGAACUGUCGUAGAAGAGAAAAAACUCUACAAGACAUUAGCCCCCAAGUGCCAAGUAGUAUUGCUGGCAAAAUGCUUGGGACUUUAAUACUGCAUAAAUAACUUACUUGAUUUUAUACUUGCACAGGCUACCACGAGUCAACUCGAGUCUGAGGUGACCAAUUUGAAGAGCCGCCUUGAAUUCCAAGAGUCAGAACUUGAGAAGGCCAACAGUAAGUUUGAAUACAGUGUUUUUGAACAGGAUAAACGAAAGAAAGAUUUUGAGACUAAAAAGAAAGCCUGGGCGGAUGAGAAGACCGCAUUGAUAAGCCGAGCUGAAAAAGCAUAAGCGGCUCUUGAAGAAGUCACUGGAGAAUUGUCCGGGUUAAAGCGCCAUAUUUCACAAAUGGUCGCAGCCAUCUUCGGUAAGUCGCCUUUCCGUUUUUUACAUAUCAUAAGCCGUGCAAUAGAGUACGUGGCAGAAAUUAACUAUUCUGAGUAUGCUUUGUACAGGCCCCAGAAGCGCAAAUUUAAACCACAACAUGCUGACGAAGCUGAAAGCUGUGUAUACAUUGGUGGAGCAAUUGUACACUGGGUCACAACGUACACUUGCUUCAGUGGCCUUAUCCAAUGAGAUUCCAACCCUCCUACCACGGGUCUUGAGUAAGCUUUCAGUCCUUCCUCAACGGAUCAAUGAAUUGAGACGGUCAGCUGCAAGAGCCGGAGCAAAUAAUUCUCUAAGCCGGGCUAAGGCCUGGCUACCUGAAUUAGACCCGGAGGAUAUCGCCAUUGGUUACCCAAGUCAGAAGGAAGACGGCACGCCAUUUGAGGACACGGAUUUUCUUGCUUGUGUCAAAGAGAUACGCCCCGUGGCGACUCUGAUAGCUACUGAGGUAGAUCUUACCAAGUACCAGGCGGGUUAUGAUGAACAAAAUUGAAGAAUUCCGACACCUCAAUAUGACGUGACCAGUCUGAUUCCCCCAAUUCAUAAGCAUACCUUUGCUCCUGAAGUUGACCUGGCCGGUCUUGUUGAUGAUGAAGCAGAAUUUGAAGCCUUAAACAACAUUGACUGGUCAUCAUCAACCUUCCAAGAAAAGGAGCAGAGCGCAAGUGCGUAGAGGGCUAACCCAGACACUUUCGGCCAAUCCUGAAGGUGAACCUGUCAUGGCGGCUCAUUACCUGGCGUGAAAAACAAUGCAAAUUAUUUGGAUUUAAUGAGUCCUGUAAUAGGAUAGAGAUAACUCUGUUGUGGCCAUGCCAUCGUGCAUGUUUUGAUGCUUAACAUUCUUAAGCCGCCUUGCUGUAUUCGUGCAACAGUUGAUCAUUUUUGAAAAACUGUCCUUCAAAUAAACUGCUAGGCGGGUCAAAAAGGUUAUCAAAAUAAUCAUAGAUUAUCUGGUUGAUAAAAACACAACUAUGAUAAAAUUUCACAACUUGCACCACCGGUUCAUAUAACCCGGCCGGUAAGGAUGAAGAUCCAAUAUUUGGAUACCCGGAAAGUACAACGAUGCUUAUGGGUCGGUGACUCAUCAGUCGAUAUUGAACCGGGCUACAGACAUCAUAUUUAUAGUAGUAAGCCUUAGGAAAAAUCUUAAGUCAAAUAAUGGGGCUUCCAAAGAGAACUUCAACCAAAAAGAGAAGUAACAAGGCUACUGAUUCGAAUGCGACCAGUGAACCGUCCCAGAGGGGUUUAAACUAGGAUUCGAAUACGAUCAUGUAGCCCCCAAUGGCUUUGGCAUUGCGCCGAUCAAGAGGGUACCGACAGCUGUGUUCUCUUUGGUUCGAAUACGACCUAUGUUUAAACAGGAAGCCCCGAUCUUGAGAGUUUUUUAACGACUCUGAUUCGAAUACGAUCAAAGUCGGUUCCCAAAUGGGGUUAAGCUAUGAUUCGAAUACGAUCAAGAAACCCCCAAGUGAGCUCGGCAGUGUGCCAAUCAAAAGGGUAUCCACAGUUAUGUUCUCUUUGGUUGGAAUACGACCUAUGUUUGAAUAGGAAGCCCCCUAGUGAUCAUAAUUUUUUAACAGCUAGAUUCGAAUACGAUCGUAAGGCGGAUCAGAACGGGCUGAGCCGGAUCAAAUAUGACCCGCCCCCGAGCGAUCAUGCGAGAAAAUGAUGACAAUGAUAAUAACAAAUUUACCUUGUGAAGAGGGAAAAAAGGACAGAGGUCCUGCUUUAUUAUUUAUCAUAAUAUAUACAUUGGCAAGAUUAUACAUCAGUGGAGCCUAUGGCUCAAGUGUAGUAGGGCCGGAGAUGAGCAAUAUUCCACGGCCUCCGGGUCUCUUCCUCUGACUUACGUGAGUCUUUGUGCUCUCGAAUGUCAAUAAGGUAAUAUGACCCGUUGUUCAAGUUCUUGCUGACCACAAAUGGCCCUUCCCAAGGUAGGGAUAACUUGUGAGCAUCAGUUUGAUCCUGGAUGAGCCGGAGCACUAAAUCACCUUCCUGAAAGGAUCUGGACUUAACUCGGCGGCUGUGAUAACGGCGCAAGUCUUGUUGAUAAAUCAUCGAACGAGCUGCUACCAAGUCCCGAUGUUCAUCUAACAGAUCAAGAGCAUCCUGGCGCGCAUGUUCAUUGUCUUCCUCGACAUAAGCCGCCAAACAAGGUGAAUCAUGACGGAUGUCACUAGGGAGAACCGCCUCAGCUCCGUAGACCAUGAAGAAAGGCGUAUAACCCGUAGAUCUGUUAGGAGUAGUGUUGAUGCUCCAUAACACAGAAGGUUACUCCUCAAUCCAACAACCCAACGUCCGUUGCAAGGGGACAAAAAGCCGGGGCUUAAUGCCUUUCAGAAUCUCUUGAUUGGCUCUCUCGGCUUGACCAUUGGACUGAGGGUGAGCCACUGAUGAAACAUCAAGCCGGAUAUGCUCACGUUGACAGAAUUUCUCCAUGGCGCCUUUAGACAGAUUAGUGCCAUUGUCAGUUAUAAUGAUGUGUGGAAAACCAAAAUGAAAUAUCACCUUCUUCAUGAAUUGAACCGUCAUGGAUGCAUCACACUUGCUGACCGGCUCUGCCUCGACCCACUUUGUGAACUUAUCAACUACCACCAAGAGGUGAGUCUUUUUAUCUUUGGAUCUCUUGAAAGGUCCAACUAUGUCAAGCCCCCAGACCACGAACGGCCAAGUAAUUGGAAUCAUCCUCAACUCUUGAGCCGGCACAUGAGCCCGUCUUGAGAACUUCUGACAACCGUCAUAUUUACUGACCAGAUCCUCUGCGUCAGCAUGAGCCGACAGCGAGUAAAACCCAUGACGAAAAGCCUUAGCCACGAGAGAUUUUGACCCGGCGUGAUGACCACAAUCUCCUUCAUGAAUCUCACGGAGAAUUUCUUGGCCUUCUUCAGGAGAGAUGCAAUGCUGAAAAGCCCCUGUAACACUGCAAUGAUGCAACUCGCCAUUGAUAAUUGUCAUGGACUUAGACCGCCGGGUUAUCUGCCUGGCCAAGGUUUCAUCCUCAGGCAACUCGCCCCGUGUCAUAUAAGCCAGAUACGGCACCGUCCAAUCUAGAAUGAUAUGAAGAGCCGCCACCAACUAUGCUUCAGGGUCAGGAAUAGCCAAAUCUUCCUCUGUAGGUAGCUUGACAGAAGGGUUAUGCAAAAUAUCCAAGAGAGUAUUAGGCAGCACCAGCUUACGCUGAGAUCCCGGCCGGCUUAAAGCGUCAGUCGCCUCGUUCUUUCGACGGUCAAUGUGUUCCACCUGAUAACCCUUGAAGUGCCCCGCAAUUGCGUCAACCUCCCGGCGGUAAGCCGCCAUAAGAGGAUCCUUUGAAUCCCACUUGCCUGAUACUUGCUGAGCCACUAGAUCUGAGUCUCCGAAGCACCUUACCCGGCUUAAAUUCAUCUCUUUAGCCAUCCAGAGACCGUGGAGCAAGGCUUCAUACUCAGUUGCAUUGUUAGUACAAGGAAACAUCAACCGGAGUACAUAACAAAACUUAUCACCCCGACGGGAAGCCAAAACAACUCCAGCCCCCGAGCCUUCCAAUUGUCUAGACCCGUCAAAAUGAAUUGUCCAAUAGGUAUUGUCCAACUUUUCCUCAGGCAUCUGCAACUCUGUCCAAUCAUUGAUGAAAUCCACCAGCGCUUGAGAUUUAAUAGUUGUGUGUGGCACAUAUUUUAAACCAUGAGGCCCAAGCUCAAUGGCCCAUUUUGCGACUCGCCCUGUCGCCUCUCUGUUCUGAAUAAUAUCCCCCAAGGGGGCAGAACUAACCACAGUGAUGGGGUGGCCCAAGAAGUAUUGCUUAAGCUUCCGGCUGGCCAUGAAUACCCCAUAGACAAGCUUCUGCCAGUGCGGAUAUCGCUGCUUGGAUUCAAUCAGUACCUCACUGAUGUAGUAAACCAGCCGCUGAACCGGGUGCUCCUUGCCAGCCUCCUUGCGUUCCACCACAAUAAUAACGCUAACAGCACGCAUGUUAGCAGCCACGUAUAGUAACAAGGGUUCCUUGUCAAUGGGAGCAGCAAGAACCGGUGGCUCAGCCAACUGUUUCUUCAGAUCUUCAAAAGUAGUAUUGGCGGCGUCACUCCAAGUAAAGCAAUCCGUCUUCUUCAUCAUCUGAUAUAGCGGCAUAGCCUUCUCCCCUAAUUGGCUUAUGAACCGGCUUAAAGCGGCGAUAUGACCCGCCAAAUGCUGAACAUCAUUGAUACAUGCCGGCUUGGCCAGAGAGAUGAUGGCUUUGAUCAUCUCCGGGUUAGCUUCGAUGCCUCUGUUAGAAACUAGAAAGCCCAAAAGCUUGCCUGCAGGCGCACCAAAAACACACUUAGCCGGGUUAAGCAUCAUCUUGUAAACCCGAAGACUAUCAAAGGUCUCCUUGAGAUCAUCAAUCAAGGUCUCUUUCUCUCUGGAUUUAACCACAAUGUCAUCCACAUAAGCAUGAACAUUGCAUCCAAUCUGAUUAUGAAGACAAUUCUGCAUGCAUCGCUGGUAAGUCGCCUGGGCACUCUUGAGCCCAAAAGGCAUUGAAACAUAGCAGAAGGCUCCAAAUGGAGUAAUGAACACCGUCUUCUCCUGGUCCUUAACAGCCAUCUUGAUCUGAUGAUAACCAGAGUAAGCAUCUAGAAAGCUCAAAUGCUCACAAACCACCGUAGCAUCGAUGAUCUGAUCAAUACGAGGGAGAGCAAAAGGAUCAGUAGGACAAGCUUUGUUUAAGUCCGUGUAAUCCACACACAUACGCCAAGUACCAUUUUUCUUAGGAACAAGCACCGGGUUAGCCAGCCACUCUGGAUGAAACACCUCAAUGAUAAACCCAGCUGCCAAGAGCUGGGCCACUUCUUCACCGAUAGCUUUCCUUCUCUCCUCAUUAAACCGCCGAAGAAACUGCUUGACCGGCUUAAACUUUGGAUUGAUAUUAAGAGUGUGCUUAGCGAGUUCUCUCGGUACACCCGGCUUGUCAGAUGGCUUCCAUGCAAAAAUGUCCCGAUUCUCACGGAUGAACUCGAUGAGCGCGCUUUCCUAUUUAGGAUCCAAAUUAGCACUGAUACUGAACUGCUUGGAUGAAUCGCCUGGAACAAAAUCAACAAGCUUAGUCUCAUCCGAUGACUUAAAUUUCGUGACCGGCUCAUGCUCUAUAGUUGGCUUCUUUAAGGAUGUCAUAUCCGCCAGGUUAACAUUGUCCUUGUAGAAUUUUAACUCUUCCAUCGCGCAGACUGACUCAGCAUAAGCCGCGUCACCCUCUCCACAUUCCAGAGCCACCUUGCGGUUCCCGUGCACCGUAAUGGUUCCCUUAUAAACCGGCAUCUUGAGCUUCAAGUACACAUAACACGACCGUGCCAUGAACUUGGCAUAAGCCGACUGCCCAAAUAGAGCAUUAUACGGGCUAUUGAUCUGAACUACUUCCAAAGUUAAUUUCUCGGCUCUGGAAUCGUAUUCAUCCCCAAAUGCUACCUCCAACUCUAUCUUGCCGACCGGAUACUCCGACUUACCAGGUACAACUCCAUGGAAAACAAUGUUGGACUUCUUAAGUCUCUUAUCAGUCAGCCCCAUGCGACGGAAGGUCUCAUAAUAAAGGAUAUUGAUGCUGCUGCCUCCAUCCAUCAGCACCUUCGUGAACUUGUAUCAACCCACUUGAGGGGCCACGACCAGGGCUAAAUGACCCGGAUUGUCAACCCGGGGAGGGUGAUCCUCUCUACUCCAUAUGAUAGGCUGCUCAGACCACCUCAAAUAACGAGGAAUUGCCGGCUCAACCGGAUUCACGGCCCUCUUAUGAAGCUUCUGGUCCCGUUUACAUAAACUGGUGGUAAACACAUGGUAUUGCCCACUUUUUAACUACUUUGGAUUUCUCUGGUAUCCACCUUGCUGCUGCUGCUGACUGCCCUGGCCAACCUGUGUGUUAUGUCCACCCUGGUUUCCCUGGGAAUUUCGAAAAUUGGGAUUUGACCCGCCGCCCGAGCCAUGAAAACCGCCGCCACCUGAGCCGCUCGGGCCAUUGUUACCCUCAAGCAUGUUGGAAUUUUUGAAAGCCUUCAUAAUCGUGCAGUCCUUCCACAAAUGUGUAGCCGGCUUCUCCUUAGUACCGUGUCUCGGACAAGGUUCAUUCAACAACUGCUCAAGUGUGGGUCCUGACCCGCCGGAUCGAGGAGGUGGCCUUCCCUUGCGUCGCUGGUUAUGACCCUGUGUAUUGGUGUUAGCCAUAAAAUCCAAACUACCGUCAGCCUUACGUUUGUUACCUCCUUGAUUGGCCGGGUUGUGCUCAGAGCCCUUGCCAUUGCCAUUCCUCUUUCCCUUCCCUGCCUUCUCAUCAUCAGACUCGGGAUCCUUGGUACUAUCAGAAUCGGCGUGCUUGACCAGAGCCGCCAUCAGCGUGCCCAUAUCAUUGCACUCAUGUUUGAGCCGCCCCAGCUUUUGUUUCAAAGGUAAGAAACGGCAAUUCUUCUCCAACACUAAGACUGCAGAGUCGGCAUCCAUCUUAUCAGAUGAAUGUAUUAUGGCCUUAACCCGGCGUACCCAAUGGGUUGUAGACUCACCCUCUUCCUACUUACAAUUCGUCAGAUCCACGAUCGACAUGGGUUGCUUGCACGUGUCUUUGAUGUUCUGGAUGAACCGGGCCUUUAACUCCGCCCAUGAACUGAUUGAAUUAGGUGGCAGGCCUUUCAACCAGGUGCGGGCGUUUCCAUCCAACAUCAUGGUGACGUACUUAGCCAUUGAUGCGUCAGUAACCUCCAACAACUCCAUAGCCAUCUCAUAGCUCUCAAUCCAUGCCCCGGGCUGCAAGUCGGCUGUGUAAUUCGGCACCUUCCUUGGUCCUUUAAAAUCUUUGGGCAACCGCUCGUUACGUAGAGUCGGCACUAGACACGGGACUCCUCCAGUCCGAGUGGCUAUACCUGCCUCAACAGAAGUCGUCGGAUAAAUCGGAUACGGCUGAUAAGCCGUCAACUGAGCCGCUAGCUCAGCCGCCCGUUCAGCCUCUUGUCGUAGUCUCUCUUACUCUACCAAGUUAAUGGCCUCAUGACGUGGCGGGUUACCGCCACCUGGCUGGUCACGGCGUCUAACAUUGCUUGACAUGGCCACUGAAUCCAUGUGCCUGCUAUAACUCGGGCUUCGGCUAGGACGAGGGGUCGAGUGGAUCCUGUCUGGGCUAUAUGAGUAUGCCUCCUGCUGUGAUAAGGCCGUCUGAAGAAGCUCCCUAACCCGACGGGUUUCAACUGUAGCCGGAGAGUCGCCAUCAAUUGGGAGAUCCACCAAUCGGGUUGCUGCGGCUAUCAUGUUUUCCAAGGGGUUAGAGUAAUGACCCGGAGGGGUUGGUACGUACUAAGGUGGCGCCAUGUUCACGCGGGGAGGUCCCAUCACUGGUGGCUGAAAUGGUGCUCCGUCCCCGGGUGUUGCAACAUGGUCUGUUCCUGUGCGCGGAGGGAGCCAUGGCGGGUUGCCUAUCUGCGGGGUAAGCCACGCCGGGUUACUGGGCAAUGCUCCUGGCGUGUUAAAAAGAUUCCGAGGGUCAUAAACCGGGGGAAGUCGAGACUGAGUCUUUUGAUACCUUCUCCUCAUGACCUCAUUAGUCGCGUUCUGGUCUUGUGUGAGCCGAAAAGCGUGCGCCUGGAUCUGCUAAGCCUGAACGUCCAGAGCCGCCCGCUCUGCGGUUAUCCUAACAUCUUCUGCUGCCAUGUCCUCCUUAGCUUGUGCCAUAUCCAACUUUAACUAUGCCACCUCUGCAUCAUAACCGGCUUUAUCCGUCGGGUUGACUAUGGCAGUUAAUAGGGUGGUCAACUUGUCGGUGAGAUCCAUUAACACCUAGGCCGGUGAACGCACAGGGCCUCCUGCCCUGGCUGCCGCUGACCCGGAAGUUACGGCUGCUGCAGUUGUAGAGUCUUGGAUGGGUUGGGUGCCGGCGCUGAAGAUCCCGACCCUGCUCGGCGGCUCAAGACAAUCCGGAAUACUGCAGCCAUCGGAACAGCCCCCAAGCCUGCCAUCCUGCAGUUGGUACAACGAACCUGUCUCACCUGUGGAUGACUCACCAUCAGAGUAGAUGGCCGUCUCACCACCAGAGGCAGAUCCUUCAGAGAGUCCUCCAUGGAUGCAUCCCACGAAGGCAUGCUUCACAGCCGGCGGAGCCCGGGCGGGUCUCGCACGCUGAGCCGUCUCGACGAGGUCGGUGCAGAUGUCCGGCUCAGGGCCCGGCUCGCCGAUCUUGCAGAUGAAGACGUGGAUUCCGCCGAAGGGGACCCAGUACCCGUACUCAAUUGAACCGGCCUCGGGGCCCCAGCUUGUGUCGUUGAUGUAGAGCUUGCCGCGAUGACUCUUGGUCAUCCGGCCCACAGCGUAUCCCUUGAGCCAUUCGAAGCUGCCCUUCAAGAACUCAAAUCCACCAUGCGCUGGCCCCACGGUGGGCGCCAACUGUGGUGGAAUUGCCACGUCAGAUGCCCUAGCGAAAGGACUUAGUCGUGGAGCCAUCACAGCUAGGAAGCUUGAAGGGGUUAAUCAGGACAAGAGACACAAGAGGUUUAUACUAGUUCGGCCCCUUACGAUGAAGGUAAAAUCCUAUGUCUAGUUGUGAUUGGGAUUAUGUAUGUCUCGAUAACCAGGAAGCAGAAUCGCUUGACCUAGCUCUUGAGUUGUUGUUUCAUGUCUUGAACCGCCGCCGGGUCAUCCCUUUAUAUACUGAGGUUGACGCCCGGCAGCUCUAUAGAGUCCCGGUCGGCUUAUAGUUUGUAUCCGGCUCGGUCUCUUAACAUUUAUGCCUUACAGUACAAGUUACAUGAAUAAGGCGGUUUAACACUACGGGCCUUAAGUCGCCCCUGGGCCUUUGGGCCUUUACUAAACCGCCGUCUUCAACCUUGAGCUUUAGUCUUCAAGAAUGCUUAUAGGUAUAACCCAGCUCCCUCUGGUGGGUCAUACCUAGUAGUUAUAUCCCCAACAAUGUACGUACAUACGGGCAGGGUCUCGAAUGCCUACUCGCGCAUACGUACGGCCAGGGCUCGUGUACAUGGCUGGGUCGGAACGGAGAAACAUCGUCGUCAUCAUGUUCAUGGGGAGCACACGGGCUGGUCGGAACGGAAUGCGUCGUCGUGUUCAUUGGGAGGGCUUGGACGGAACAGCCGAUGGAAAUGAGGCCUGGCGUACCGCACAACGGAGGAAAUGGCCUUGUGUUCGACCGGCCACGGUCGAAACGGGAUCCUGUUCAUUGGGAGGGGUCUGGCGUACCGCAAAAUGGAGGAAACAGACUUCUGUUGGACCUCCUACGGUCGAAACGGGGUCCUGUUGAUCGGGAGGGGUGUGGCGUACCGUAAAACGGAGGAAACGAACUUGUGUUGGAGCGCUACGGUCAAAACAGGGGUCCUGUUCACCAGGAGGGGUGUGGCAUACCGCAAAAUGGGACUCCACGGGAUACUGUUCAUCUCCACCGUCGACCUCCUCCAGCCUCCACGGGUUACUGUUCAUCCACCGUCGACCUCCUCCAGCCUCCACAUGUGACUGUUUAUCCACGGGCUCCUGUUCAUCCAGCCUCCACCGCGCGCUACGCCACCGGCUAUUGUUCAACCAGCCCUCUCCACGGGUUCCUGCUCAACCACCCCUCCACAGGCUACUGUUCAUCCAGCCCUCCACCGGCUACUGUUCAACCAGCCCUCCACGGGGUCGUCAUGUUCAUCCAGCCCUCCACGAGGUCCUGUUCAUCCAGCCCCAAUAGGCUCGAUCGAUCGGGGUCCUGUUCGUCCAGAGGCAACACCACAGGGUCUUGUUCAUCCACCCCCACCGCGAACUGUUCAUCCAAACCCCCCAGCAACGCUCACUGUUCAUCCACCCACCCCCCAACAACGCUCAUUGUUCAUCCAGAGGCAGCAUCAAUCGGCUUCAGUUAGCAGCAGUAGCGGAGGAAUCGCUCGAUCGCUCAGGUUCAGUAACACGUAGCCCGCAGUGCAAUCACUUGGGUUCAGUUAGGCGACGCCUUGCUCGGGUUCAGUUAGAGCCCAAUGCCUCGCACCCACGCGCGUACAUGUACGAGAGAAACGAGCUUCGUUCAGCCCCCGACCACCCACCGUAACCGGGAACUCCCCGAUAUUUUCCUCGCCCUCGCUUCUACCAUGGUUUUUUCCAUCAUGGGCGGCCCAAAGAAUGUCAUGCAGCUGUGUCUCCGGCCUGCCCAGGACGAAAAGCCCAUUUUCUGUCAUGAUUUUUUGUCAUAGAAGUAGGAGCCUACCACAUCUAUGAUGAUACCGGGUUUUGUCACAGUUAUCGUCAUAGAAGUGUCAUAAGUAUGACAGAAUUUUUUUUGUUCGGCCCAAAAUGUUACAGAUGUGUCUUUUUUUAGUGCAUCCUCCUACUUCCCCGUCCCACAUGCCCCGACCGACGGUGUGACACAUUCCGUCGAAAUCACUUCCCUCCUCCACUUAAGCGCCACCCAUAGCUAUUUUGCACGCAGUAUAACAUGGAAAUCAGUAGCAUUUGGCAGUGGAGAAGCAAAUCACGGCCGCACGCAUGCACGAGGUCACUAUGGCUGCUAUGCAUGCCAACCGCCAGAUCUUGGAGGAGCACCUCGUCUUCGAGGCCACCAUCGACACCGCCACGCGGUUGUCUACUAUAAAACAGAUUUCAUGCUAUUUUCUCAAGGCCACCGCCAGUGCCUUCUAGUGAUUUGUCCUCUGUAAUGUUAAUAUGCAAUCUGAUGUUCAGUUAAAAGUUUAGUCCUCUGAAAUGUGAUGUUCAGUUAACAGUUUGGUCCUCUGAAAUGUAAUGUCCAGUUAACAGUUUAGCCCAACAAUUGCUACAUUUCGUAGUACUGUUCUCAAGCAUUCUUUGUUUUGUUAACUAUCUUAUCUUCUAGUACAUGUUUCUAUUCUGCAAUGUCGUGCUCAGUUAACAGUUUUGGUUCAUUUGGUCUGCUGUCCAUUUAACUGUUUGGUUCAAUUCUUCAAUUUGAUUUUCAUUUGUUGUGGGUACAAUUUUGUAUUGUUAUGCAUGUGAAAUAAAUCAAAUUUGGCUGUACUCAAUACAUAUUCUACUGACAGUAUGACAACUCUCAGUUAACCUGAUCAAGAUCUUCCUUAUGUGUGUUGCAGCGGAACAAUGGGAGACACUCUGGUUUACCAUCGAGGUAUGCUCAUGCAUGGUCCUUUUGCUAAUAGCACAUUAUUGUGCAGUUGCAGGAAUCAUUCUAAUAUUUAGGUUUCUUACAAUUUGGUCUUGCACAUGUAGGUCCUGCUGUCAGAGGCUUAGACCCACUGUUCGACCCAGUUUGCAUAUCGGGAAAUGAGAUGUCCAUGAAUAUCAGUCAAGUCAAUAAACUCAGAAAGAUUGUUAGGAUGAAGAAACUUGCGAUGAAUAACAGCAAGAUCUUUGUUUGCACAAUGAAGAAGACAUCAGUCAACUAUAGGAUGGUACUAACUCUUUUACCUUGUUUUUACCCCUUGCGCCAUUUCAAAAUUUAUAACCACGGUCUAUGCAUAUCUUAGUUUUUGGUACUUUUCAAAGCAGUUCACCGAUGAUUACCUCUCAAACCACCUACAUGGUCAAGAGGCGAGGAAGGUAUUCAUUCAACACACAUGGUACAAUAUUAAGUCUUCCUGAAGAGGACGAAGGUUGGGCGGGCAAUUAUCCAUAGCCACUGGCCUAAAGUUGCAAGGACAUUCAACAUCACUGAAGGCUAAAUAUUUGCCUUCCGCUUCUGCAGUUUCCCAGAUGAGAUUCAUCUGUCUAUUUACCAUGUAUGAUGCUACUUCCCAAAGGUUUUCGAUGUUUCAUGUGAAACUUGGUGAUGUUGUGUAAUGGCGUAACUGAGUGCCGAAGCUAUCUGAUGUAAUUCAAUUAUGAAAUCUUGGUUGCCGUCAUACGGAUAUGAAAUAUCUGGUGUGUUUUGUAAGAAAUAUCAAUUUGAUUACUACAUGGAUUAUCAAUAAUAGGCUAAUUACCCUGCUUAUUGGGGUUUUCUAUUGCAGACAGAUACUCAGACAGCACCGUGGGCGAUGAACUCAAACAACCCACACGGAUCCUAGAAAGUAGGCGUGUUCGAUCAAUUAACAAUCACACACGGCUUCCAGCAGAGAACUAUUUGCGUUAGGCCACCUUGCACAAACGUUUCCACGCCAAAAACUAUGUGUGCUAAACAUACGAAUGGAAAUGGUUUUCUAGGAUUCGGCGUGUGGGAUGUACAUACGAAUGGAAACGAUUGGGUUUCAAUGCCUCGCCAGAUCACACACGAGCUCAUUUUUGUGCCAGGAGGGCAUAUCCCCGACGGUUUCUGGGUCGUGUGGGAAGGACCCCCUAUCGCCCACACUCACUUGGCGAUGGUUCUAAGAGCCGUCGCGGAAAGGGGUUAAAAAUCGUUUGUAUAGCAGGUCUCUGCACCAGUGAACCAUAGAAAACUGUUUUCAUGGCUAUGUUUUGAUUGUGUAGGUGACAAAAGAUGAGGGGAAAAAGAAUGUCCAAGAUAUUGCUAGUGCAGAUGCUAAGAGGGAUAUGUUCAUGCAGAUAAUACAAAUGACUUUUAUGUCUCAUGAUGUUGCGUUUGAUUUCUACAACAGCUAUGCUAGAGAAAAUGGUUUCAACAUUAGAAAAGGCAAGGUCAGUUAUAGCAAAACCGAGUUACAUCAUAUGCGUUAUAGGUGGUUUUUUUGUUCCAGAGAAGGGAAACGUGACAGCAAGUUGCUAUCCGAGGAAGGAAACAGCCGUAGGCUCAAAACCGAGACACGCUGCAACUGCGAAGCACACCUGACCAUCAAGCUUGACCAAAAGCGUGGGGUUUGGUAUGUUGAAAGUUUUGAAGAAAAGCAUAGCCAUAUGAUGGCAAGACCGGAUGAGGUACCUUUUCUUUGGUCCCAUAGAAAAAUCAAAGAGUACCAGAAAGCUGAGAUAUUGUCCAUGGGAGCUGCAGGGAUUAGAAUUCACGACAUUAUGGAUUCCUUCCUCGGCAAACAUUUAUGGUAUGGCAGUGUUGGUUUUACCAGGCGUAAUAUAUACAACCUUUGCUCCUGGGAGAAGAGGAAGCUGAUUUCGAAAGGUGAUGCUGCCACAGCCAUAGGCAUCAUGGCCAGUAGGAAAGUGAGGGAUCCUAGCAUCUUUUUCGAGUACAAGCUGUUGGGGAACGUAGUAAUUUCAAAAAAAAUCCUACGCAAACGCAAGAUCAUGGUGAUGCAUAGCAACGAGAGGGGAGAGUGUCGUCUAUGUACCCUCGUAGACCGUAAGCGGAAGCAUUAUGACAACGCGGUUGAUGUAGUCGUACGUCUUCACGAUCGACCGAUCCUAGUACCGAAUGUAUGACACCUCCGCGAUCUGCACACGUUCAACUCGGUGACGUCCCACGAACUCACGAUCUAGUAGAGCAUCGAGGGAGAGUUCCGUCAGCACGACGGCGUGAUGACGGUCUUGAUGAAGCUACCGAUGCAGGGCUUCGCCUAAGCACCGCUAAGAUAUGAUCGAGGUGGAUUAUGGUGGAGGGGGGCACCGCACACGGCUAAAGAUCAAUGAUCAACUUGUGUGUCUAUGGGGUGCCCCCCUCCCCCGUAUAUAAAGGAGUGGAGGAGGGGGAGGGUCGGCCCUCUACUAUGGCGCGCCCUGGGGAGUCCUACUCCCAUCGGGAGUACGAUUCCCCCUUCCAAGUAGUAGGAGUAGGAGAGAAGGAAAGGGAAGAGAGAAGAGAAGGAAGGAGGGGACGGCGCCCGGGAGAUCCUAUGGGGCUCUCUUUGCGUCAAAAAGUUGACACUUCGCACAGGGGUGGCUCGCCUGGGCCGGCCCAUUUGACGUUAGCGUGCUGGAAAAUGGAAAAGCGACAAAAACUAAGAGCGUUGCCGCCGCGAUUCGAACCACCGACUUCCUAGUUUUCUACGUGUUGUGCGAGCUGCUGCGAUACAAUAGCUCUUGUGCUAGAAAGACAGCGCAACACAUGAAGAAACGACCAACAGUGGCCAAAAUUUGAACAUUCGCCCACUACUACUGAUCAUGGUCGCUAGCCACUGUAACUCUAGCGUAUCUACGUCUAAAAUGGCAGCCCCUUCAGUACGAACUAUAAGCAGCAGAUUUACCCUAAAAAAAGCAGCAGCAGAUUUAACUUUAUUGAAAUUUUGAACAUGAAUUUCCUUUUUUUAAGGAAAAUAUAUUUUUAAAGUCAAAUUUUCAAAAUUGCGAACAAAAUUUAAAAAAUCAAACAUUUUAUGAACAAGCAGAAUUUUUCGGAAUCUCAACAGAAAUGAAAAAGGAAAAAAAUAGAAAAACAGUACAUUCUUUGAAAUUACGAACAAUUUUAAAAAAGAUGCAAACAUUUUCUAUAAAACAUGAACAUUUUUUGAAAUUGUGAACAAAUUUUCCAAAAUACGACCUUUUUUGGAAUUUGUGAACAAAAUUUGAGAACAUGAAUAUUUUUUACAAAUUUGGAAAGCUGGAACAUUUCUUUGAAUUUGCGACAAAUGUUCAUGUUUCCUUGUGCACAAAAUUUGAAAGUAGGUACACUUUAAAAAAUUGUUAGGCAAUAUGUACAUUUUUUUAACUUUUUGAACAAAUUUUUUAAAUGGGUUCCACACAUUUUCAAAACAAGAAUUUUUUUAAAUUGUUGAGAAAAAUUUGAAAGCGGGAACAUUUGUUGAAAUUCCCGAACAUUUUUUGAAUUUGCACAUUGUAUUUUCAAAACAUGAACAUUUCUAAAAUUGUGAUUAUUUUUGGAAAGUAGGAACAUUUAUUGAAAUUCCUGAACACUUUUUGAAUUUAUAAAUAUAUAUUCAAAAACAUGAACAUUUUUUAAAUUUGUGAACAAAUUUUGCAACUAGGAACAUUUUCUGAUUUUUUUUAAACGUGAAACUUUUAAAUUUUCAAAUUCUAUAUAGAAAUUUUUGGAACAUUUUUUAUAAGAAGCGAACAAAUAUUUGAAAUCCUAAUUCUUCUGGAAUUUUGUAAAAAUAUUGCAAAAUAGGAACAUUUUAAAAAUAUAUACAAAAUCUAAAAAAGGAAACAUUUUUAAAUUUCUGAAAAUAGGUUGAAAAAAGAAAAAUAAACUUGAAAAUGAAAAUAAAAUAAAAAAGGAGCUAAAAGAAAAGAAAAAGUGAAAAAUGAAUGAAAAUAGCAAAGGGAAAGGAAAAUAAAAAGGAAAAACUAAAAAUAAUGGAAAAGAAAAGGAAACAGAAGAAAAACGAAACAGAAACAGAAAAAAUCUGGUUCAGGAACCUUCUAGAAGGUUCCCAAAACCGGGAAAACCGACUGGAAAUUUCUAGAAGGUUCCUAAAACCAGGAUCGAUACAACGCACGCUUGUCUUUUAAAUGGGCUGGCCCGCCUCGGUCGAGACCUGUGCGGCGUCCCGACACUUUGCCGCAGCGGGCGUCCAAUAGGGUUUUCCGCGCCGCCCCUCCCCCUAGUCCAAUUCGGACUAGGCCUUGGGGGCGGGGGGGGGGGGCGGCCUGCCCUCUCUCUCCCUUAAAGCCCAAUGAGGCCCAUAUACUCCCCGGCGAAUUUCCGUAACUCUCUCGUACUCCGAUAAAUACCCGAACCACUCAGAACCUUUCCAAUGUCUGAAUAUAGCCUUCCAAUAUAUCGAUAUUUACGUCUCAAACAUUUCAAGACUCGUCGUCAUGUCCAUGAUCUCAUCCGGGACUCCGAACUACCUUUGGUGCAUCAAAUCACAUAACUCGUAAUACAAAUCAUCAUCGGACGUUAAGCGUGCGGACCCUACGGGUUCGAGAACUAUGUAGACAUGACCGAGACUCAUCUCCGGUCAAUAACCAAUAGCGGAACCUGGAUGCUCAUAUUGGCUCCCAUGUAUUCUACGAAGAUCUUUAUCGGUCAAACCGCAUAACAACAUACAUUGUUCCCUUUGUCAUCGGUAUGUUACUUGCCUAAGAUUCGAUCGUCGGUAUCUCAAUACCUAGUUCAAUCUCGUUACCGGCAAGUCUCUUUACUCGUUCCGUAAUGCAUCAUCUCGCAACUACCUCAUUAGUCACAUUGCUUGCAAGGCUUAUAGUGAUGUGCAUUAACGAGAGGGCCUAGAGAUACCUCUUCGACAUUCGGACUGACAAAUCCUAAUCUCGAUCUAUGCCAACUCAACAAACACCAUCGGAGACACCUUUAGAGCACCUUUAUAAUCACCCAGUUACGUUGUGACGUUUGGUAGCACACAAAGUGUUCCCCCGGUAUUCGAGAGUUGCAUAAUAUCAUAGUCCGAGGAACAUGUAUAAGUCAUGAAGAAAGCAAUAGCAACAUACUAAACGAUCAAGUGCUAAGCUAACGGAAUGGGUCAAGUCAAUCACAUCAUUCUCUAAUGAUGUGAUCCCGUUAAUCAAAUGACAACUCAUGUCUAUGGCUAGGAAACUUAACCAUCUUUGAUUCAACUAGCUAGUCGAGUAGAGGCAUACUAGUGACAUUAUGUUUGUCUAUGUAUUCACACAUGUACUAAGUUUCCGAUUAAUACAAUUCUAGCAUGAAUAAUAAACAUUUAUCAUGAUAUAAUGAAAUAUAAAUAACAACUUUAUUAUUGCCUCUAGGGCAUAUUUCCUUCAGUCUCCCACUUGCACUAGAGUCAAUAAUCUAGUUCACAUCACCAUGUGAUUUAACACCAAUAUUCACAUCUGUAUGUGAUUAACACCCAUAGUUCACAUCGUCAUGUGACCAACACCCGAAGGGUUUACUAAAGUCAAUAAUCUAGUUCACAUCUCUAUGUGAUUAACACCCAAAGAUUACUAAGGUAUGAUCAUGUUUUGCUCGUGAGAGAAGAUUAGUCAACGGGUCUGUCACAUUCAGAGCCUUAUGUAUUUUGCAAAUAUUCUAUGUCUACAAUGCUCUGCACGGAGCUACUCUAGCUAAUUGCUCCCAAUUUCAAUAUGUAUCCAGGUUGAGACUUAGAGUCAUCUGGAUCGGUGUAAAAGCUUGCUCUGAUGUAACUCUUUACAACGAACUCUUUUAUCACCUCCAUAAUCGAGAAACAUUUCCUUAGUCCUUACUAAGGAUAUUCUGGACCGCCGUCCAGUGAUCUACUCCUAGAUCAAAAUUGUACUCCCUUGCCAAACUCAGAGCAAGGUAUACAAUAGGUCCGGUACACAGCAUGGCAUACUUUAUAGAACCUAUGACUGAGGCAUAGGGAAUGACUUUUCAUUCUAUUUCUAUUUUUUGCCAUGGUCAGGUUUUGAGUCUUACUCAACUUCACACCUCGCAACACAGGCAAGAACUCCUUCUUUGACUGUUCCAUUUUGAACCACUUCAAAAUCUUAUCAAGGUAUGUACUCAUAGAAAAAUCUUAUCAAGCGUCUUGAUCUAUCUCUAUAGGUCUUAAUGCUCAAUGUGUAAGCAGCUUCAUCGAGGUCUUUCUUUGAAAAACUCCUUUCAAACACUCCUUUAUGCCUUCCAAAAAAUUCUACAUUAUUUCUGAUCAACAACAUGUCAUUCACAUAUACUUAUCAGAAAGGCUAUAGUGCUCCCACUCAUUUUCCUGUAAAUACAGGAUUCACCGCAAGUCUGUAUAAAACUAUAUGCUUUGAUCAACUCAUCAAAGCGUAUAUUCCAACUCCGAGAUGCUUGCACCAGUCCAUAGAUGGAUCACUGGAGCUUGCACACUUUGUUAGCACCUUUAGGAUUGACAAAACCUUCUGGUUGCAUCAUAUACAACUCUUCUUUAAUAAAUCCAUUAAGGAAUGCAAUUUUGACUUCCAUUUGCCAUAUUUCAUAAAAUGUGGCAAUUGCUAACAUGCUUCGGAGGGAUUUAAGCUUCACUACAGUUGAGAAAAUCUCAUUGUAGUCAACACCUUGAACUUGUUGAAAAACCUUUUAUGACAAGUUGAGCUUUGUAGAUAGUAACACUACUAUCAACGUCCGUCUUCCUCUUGAAGAUCCAUUUAUAUUCUAUGGCUUGCCGAUCAUCGGGCAAGUUCACCAAAGUCCACACUUUUUUCUUAUACAUGGAUCCCAUCUCAGAUUUCAUGGCUCCAAACCAUUUCGCGGAAUCUGGGCUCAUCAUCGCUUCCUCAUAGUUCAUAGGUUCAUCAUGGUCUAGUAACAUGACUUCCAGAACAGGAUUACCGUACCACUCUAGUGCGGACCGUACUCUAGAAGACCUACGAGGUUCUGUAGUAACUUAAUCUGAAGUUUCAUGAUCAUCAUCAUUAGCUUCCUCACUAAUUGGUGUAGGAAUCACUGGAACUGAUUUCUAUGAUGAACUACUUUCCAAUUCAGGAGAUGGUACAAUUACCUUAUCAAGCUCUACUUUCCUCCCACUCACUUCUUUUGAGAGAAACUCCAUCUCUAGAAAGGAUCCAUCUUAGCAACGAAUAUCUUGCCUUCGGAUCUGUGAUAGAAGGUGUACCCAACAGUUUCCUUUGGGUAUUCUAUGAGGAUGCACUUCUCUGAUUUGGGUUCGAGCUUAUCAGGUUGAAUUUUUUUCACAUAAGCAUUGCAGCCCCAAACUUUAAGAAACGACAACUUUGGUUUCUUGCCAAACCAAGGCGUCGUCUCAACGGAUUUUGAUGGUGCCCUAUUUAAAGUGAAUGUAGAUGUCCCUAAUGCAUAACCCAAAAAUGAUAGUGGUAAAUCUGUAAGAUACAUCAUAGAUCGCACCAUAUCCAAUAAAGUGUGGUUAUGACAUUCGGACACACCAUUACGCUGUGGUGUUCCAUGUGUCGUGAGCUGUGAAACUAUUCCACAUUGUUUUUAAAUGAAGGCCAAACUUGUAACUCAAAUAUUCUCCUCUACGAUCAGAUUGUAGAAACUUUAUUUUCUUGUUACGAUGAUUCUCCACUUCACUCUGAAAUUCUUUGAACUUUUCAAAUGUUUCAGACUUGUGCUUCAUUAAGUAGAUAUACUCAUAUCUCCUCAAAUCAUCUGUGAAGGUCAGAAAAUAACGAUACCCGCCAUGAGCAUCAACACUCAUUGGACCGCAUACAUCGGUAUGUAUUAUUUCUAACAAGUCAGUAGCUCGUUCCAUUGUUCUGGAGAACGGUGUUUUAGUCAUCUUGCCCAAAAGGCACGAUGCUCAAGCAUCAAAUGAUUCAUAACCAAGUGAUUCCAAAAGUCCAUAUUUAUGAAGUUUCUUCAUGCGCUUUACACCGAUAUGACCCAAAUGGCAGUGCCACAAAUAAGUUGCACUAUCAAUACCAACUUUGCAUCUUUUGGUAUCAAUAUUAUGAAUAUGUGUAUCACUACAAUCGAGAUCCGACAAACUAUUUUCAUUGGUGUAUGACCAUCGAAGGUUUUAUUCAUGUAAACAGAACAACAAUUAUUCUCUCACUUUAAAUGAAUAACCAUAUUGCAAUAAACAUGAUCAAAUCAUAUUCAUGCUCAACGCAAACUCCAAAUAACAUUUAUUUAGGUUUAACACUAAUCCCGAAAGUAUAGGGAGUGUUCGAUGAUGAUCAUAUCAAUCUUGGAACCACUUCCAACACACAUCGUCACUUCACCCUCAACUUGUCUCUGUUUAUUCUGUAACUCCUGUUUCGAGUUACUAUUUUUUUAGCAACCGAACAAGUAUCAAAUACCCAGGGGCUACUAUAAACACUAGUAAGGUACACAUCAAUAACUUGUAUAUCAAAUAUACCCUUGUUCACUUUGCCAUCCUUCUUAUCCACCAAAUAUUCAGGGCAUUUCCGCUUCCAAUGACCAUUUCCUUUGCAGUAGAAGCACUCAGUUUUAGGCUUUAGUCUAGCUUUGGGCUUCUUCACGGAAGUGACAACUUGCUUGCCAUUCUACAUGAUGUUCCCUUUCUUUCCCUUUGCCCUUUUCUUGAAACUAGUGGUCUUGUUAAUCAUCAACACAUGAUGCUCUUUCUUGAUUUCUACCUUCAUCGAUUUCAUCAUCAUGAAAAACUCGGGAAUCAUUUUUGUCAUCCCUUGCAUAAUAUAGUUCAUCACGAAGUUCUACUAACUUGGUAGUGGUGACUAGAGAACUCUGUCAAUCACUAUCUUAUCUGGAAGAUUAACUCCCACUUGAUUCAAGUGAUUGUAGUACCCAGACAAUCUGAGCACAUGCUCACUGCUUGAGCUAUUCUCCUCCAUCUUUUAGCUAUAGAACUUGUUGGAGACUUCAUAUCUCUCAACUCGGGUAUUUGCUUGAAAUAUUAACUUCAACUCCUGGAACAUCUCCUAUGGUCCAUGACAUUCAAAACGUCUUUGAAGUCCCGAUUCUAAGCCGUUAAGCAUGGUGCACUAAACUAUCAAGUAGUCAUUAUAUUGAGCUAGCCAAACAUUCAUAAUGUCUGCAUCUGCUCCUGCAAUAGGUCUAUCACCUAGCGGUGCAUCAAGGGCAUAAUUCUUCUGUGCAGCAAUGAGGAUAAACCUCAGAUCGCGGACACAGUCUGCAUCAUUGCUACUAUCAUCUUUCAACUUAGUUUUCUCUAGGAACACAUAUAAAAACAUAGGGAAGCAACAAGGCGAGCUAUUGAUCUACAACAUUAUUUGCAAAAUACUAUCAGGACUAAGUUCAUGAUAAAUUAAAGUUCAAUUAAUCAUAUUACUUAAGAACUCCCACUUAGAUAGGCAUCCCUCUAAUCAUCUAAGUGAUCACGUGAUCCAAAUCAACUAAAUCAUGUCCGAUCAUCAUGUGAAAUGGAGUAGUUUUCAAUGGUGAACAUCACUAUGUUGAUCAUAUCUACUAUAUGAUUCACGCUCGACCUUUCGGUCUCAGUGUUCUGAGGCCAUAUCUGCAUAUGCUAGGCUCGUCAAGUUUAACCCGAGUAUUUCUGCGUGUGCAAAACUGGCUUGCACCCGUUGUAUGUGAACGUAGAGCUUAUCACACCGGAUCAUCAUGUGGUGUCUCAGCAUGACGAACUUUGGCAACGGUGCAUACUCAGGGAGAACACUUGUACCUUGACAUUUAGUGAGAGAUCAUCUUAUAAAGCUACCGCCGAACUAAGCAAAAUAAGAUGUAUAAAAGAUAAACAUCAUAUGCAAUCAAAAUAUGUGACAUGAUAUGGCCAUCAUCAUCUUGUGCCUUUGAUCUCCAUCUGCAAACUACCGUUAUGAUCUCCAUUGUCACUGGCAUGACACCAUGAUCUCCAUCAUCUUGAUCUUUAUAAAUGUGUCAUCAUAUGGUCGUCUUGCCAACCAUUUCGUUUGCAACUAUUGCUAUCGCAUAGCGAUAAAGUAAAGCAAUCAUAUGGCACUUGCAUCUUAUGCAAUAAAGAGACAACCAUAAGGCUCCUGCCAGUUGCCGAUAACUUGAACAAAACAUGAUCAUCUCAUACAACAAUUUAUAUUUCAUCACGUCUUGACCAUAUCACAUCACAACAUGCCCUGCAAAAACAAGUUAGACAUCCUCUACUUUGUUGUUGCAAGUUUUACGUGGCUGCUACGGGCUGAGCAAGAACCGUUCUUACCUACGCAUCAACACCACAACAAUAUUUUGUCAAGUUAGUGUUGUUUUAACAUUCAACAAGGACCGGGCGUAGCCACACUCAAUUCAACUAAAGUUGGAGAAACUGACACCCGCCAGCCACCUGUGUGCGAAGCACAUCGGUAGAACCAGUCUUGCGUAAGCGUACGCGUAAUGUCGGUCCGGACCACUUCAUCCAACAAUACCACCGAAUCAAAGUAUGACAUGCUUGUAAGCAGUAUGACUAUUAUCACCCACAACUCACUUGUGUUCUACUCAUGCAUAUAACAUCUACGCAUAAACCUGGCUUGGAUGCCACUGCUGGGGAACGUAGUAAUUUCAAAAAAAAUCCUACACACACGCAAGAUCAUGAUGAUGCAUAGCAACAAGAGGGGAGAGUGUCGUCCAUGUACCCUGGUAGACCGUAAGCGGAAGCGUUAUGACAACGCGGUUGAUGUAGUCGUACGUCUUCACGAUCGACCGAUCCUAGUACCUCCACGAUCUGCACACGUUCAGCUCGGUGAUGUCCCAUGAACUCAUGAUCUAGUAGAGCUUCCAGGGAGAGUUCCAUCAGCACGACAGCGUGAUGACGGUGUUGAUGAAGCUACCGACUCAGGGCUUCGCCUAAGCACCGCUAUGAUAUGACCGAGGUGGAUUAUGGUGGAGGGGGGCACCGCACAUGGCUAAAGAUCAAUGAUCAACUUGUGUGUCUAUGGGGUGCCCCCCUACCUCGUAUAUAAAGGAGUGGAGGAGCGGGAGGGCCGGCCCUCUACUAUGGCGCGCCCUGGGGAGUCCUACUCCCACCGGGAGUAGGAUUCUUCCCUUCCAAGUAGUAGGAGUAGGAGAGCAGGAAAGGGAAGAGAGAAGAGAAGGAAGGAGGGGGCGCCGCCCCUCCCCCUAGUCCAAUUCGGACUAGGCCUUGGGGGGCCUACCCUCUCUCUCUCCCUUAAAGCCCAAUAAGGCCCAUAUACUCCCCGGCGAAUUCCUGUAACUCUCCGGUACUCCGAUAAAUAGCCGAACCACUCAGAACCUUUCCGAUGUCCGAAUAUAGCCUUCCAAUAUAUCGAUCUUUACUUCUCGAACAUUUCGAGACUCCUUGUCAUGUCCAUGAUCUCAUCUGGGACUCCGAACUACCUUUGGUACAUCAAAUCACAUAACUCAUAAUACAAAUCGUCAUCGAACGUUAAGCGUGCGGACCCUACGGGUUCGAGAACUAUGUAGACAUGACCAAGACUCAUCUCCGAUCAAUAACCAAUAGCAGAACCUGGAUGCUCAUAUUGGCUCCCAUAUAUUCUACGAAGAUCUUUAUCGGUCAAACCGCAUAACAACAUACAUUGUUCCCUCUGUCAUCGAUAUGUUACUUGCCCGAGAUUUGAUCGUUGGUAUCUCAAUACCUAGUUCAAUCUCGUUACCGGCAAGUCUCUUUACUCGUUCCGUAAUGCAUCCUCUCGCAACUAACUCAUUACUCACAUUGCUUGCCAGGCUUAUAGUGAUGUGCAUUACCGAGAAGGCCCAGAGAUACCUCUCUGACAUUCGGAGUGACAAAUCCUAAUCUCGAUCUAUGCCAACUCAACAAACACCACCGGAGACACCUGUAGAGCACCUUUAUAAUCACCCAGUUACGUUGUGACGUUUGGUAGCACACAAAGUGUUCCUCCGGUAUUCGGGAGUUGCAUAAUCUCAUAGUUUGAGGAACAUGUAUAAGUCAUGAAGAAAGCAAUAGCAACAUACUAAAUGAUCUAGUGCUAAGCUAAUGGAAUGGGUCAAGUCAAUCACAUUAUUCUCUAAUGAUGUGAUCCCGUUAAUCAAAUGACAACUCAUGUCUAUGGCUAGGAAACUUAACCAUCUUUGAUUCAACGAGCUAGUCAAGUAGAGGCAUACUAGUGACAUUAUGUUUGUCUAUGUAUUCACACAUGUACUAAGUUUCCGAUUAAUACAAUUCUAGCCUGAAUAAUAAACAUUUAUCAUGAUAUAAGGAAAGAUAAAUAGCAACUUUAUUAUUGCCUCUAGGGCAUAUUUCCUUCACAAGCUAGAUAAGGAAGGACAUAUUAAUAGAAUGUUCUAGUGUGACUCCCAGUCUCGUCAUGACUAUGAGGAUUUCGGCGACGUGCUUGUAUUUGAGAGCACGUACAAGAUGAACCGCUAUGGUAUGCCAUUCAUACCUUUUGUUUGUAUUAAAAAUCACCGGAAGACCACUGUUUUUGGUUGUGCCAUAGUUUCAGACAAGACCGGACAGACAUAUGUGUGGCUGCUGCAGACUUUUUUGUGGUCCAUGUGUCAAAAGCUGUCGAAGUGUGUAAUCACGGGCGCCGACAUUGCGAUGAUCAUGUUGGGGAAUGCCGUAAUAUCAAAAAAAAUCCUACGAUCACGCAAGAUCUAUCUAGGUGAUGCAUAGCAACAGGAGGGGAGAGUGUGUCCAUGUACCCUCGUAGACCGAAAGCGAAAGCGUUUAGUUAAUGUGGUUGAUGUAGUCGAACGUAUUUGCGAUCCAACCAAUCCAAGCACCGAACAUACGGCACCUCCGUGUUCAGCACACGUUUAGCUCGGGGACGUCCCUCGUACUCUUGAUCCAAUUGAGGCUGAGGGAGAGUUUCAUCAGCACGACGUCGUGGUGACGGUGAUGAUGAAGUUACCGGCGCAGGGCUUCGCCUAAGCACUACGACGAUAUGACCGAGGUGUGUAACUGUGGAGGGGGGCACCGCACACGGCUAAACAAUGUCAACUUGUGUGUCUAUGGGGUGCCCCCCUCCCCCAUAUAUAAAGGAGUGGAGGAGGGGGAGGGCCGGCCCUCUAUGGCGCACCCUGGAGGAGUCCUACUCCCACUGGGAGUAGGAUUCCCCCCUUUCCCUAGUUGGACUAGGAAAGGAAGGAAGGGGGAGGAAGGAGGAAGGAAGGGGGGGCCGGCCCCCCCACCCAAUUCGGAUUAGGCUUGGGGGGGCGCCCCCUCCUAGGCUCCCUUCUCCUCUCUCCCACUAUGGCCCACUAUGGCCCAUAUACUUCCCGGGGGGUUCCGAUAACCUCCUGGUACUCCAGUAUAUGCCCGAACUCACCCGAAACCAUUCUGAUGUCCAAACAUAGGCUCCAAUAUAUCGAUCGUUAUGUCUCGACCAUUUCGAGACUCCUCGUCAUGUCCGUGAUCACAUCCGGGACUCCGAACUACCUUCAGUACAUCAAAACACAUAAACUCAUAAUACCAAUCGUCAUCGAACGUUAAGCGUGCGGACCCUACGAUUUCGAGAACUAUGUAGACAUGACCGAGACAAGUCUCCGGUCAAUAACCAAUAGCGGAACCUGGAUGCUCAUAUUGGUUCCUACAUAUUCUACGAAGAUCUUUAUCGGUCAAACCGCAUAACAACAUACAUUGUUCCCUUUGUCAUCGGUAUGUUACUUGCCCGAGAUUCGAUCAUCGGUAUCUCAAUACCUAGUUCAAUCUCGUUACUGGCAAGUUUCUUUACUCGUUCCAUAAUACUUCAUCCUGCAACUAACUCAUUAGUUACAAUGCUUGCAAGGCUUAUGAUGAGUAUUACCGAGAGGGCCCAGAGAUACCUCUCCGAAACACAGAGUGACAAAUCCUAAUCUCGAUCUAUGCAAACCCAACAAACACCUCCGGAGACACCUGUAGAGCACCUUUAUAAUCACCCUUUUAUGUUGUGACGUUUGGUAGCACACAAAGUGUUCCUCCGUCAUUCAGGAGUUGCAUAAUCUCAUAGUCCGAGGAACUUGUAUAAGUCAUGAAGAAAGCAGUAGCAAUGAAACUAACAUGAUCAUAAUGCUAAGCUAACGGAUGGGUCAUGUCCAUCACAUCAUUCUCCUAAUGAUGUGAUCCCAUUCAUCAAAUGACAACACAUGUCUAUGGUUAGGAAUCAUAACCAUCUUUGAUUAACAAGCUAGUCUAGUAGAGGCAUACUAGGGACUAUAUGUUUUUUCUAUGUAUUCACACAUGUACAAAGUUUCCGGUUCGUACAAUUCUAGCAUGAAUAAUAAACAUUUAUCAUGAAUUGAGGAAAUAAAUAGUAACUUUAUUUUUGCCUCUAGGGCAUAUUUCCUUCAGUCUCCCACUUGCACUAGAGUCAAUAAUCUAGAUUACAUAGUAAUGAUUCUAACACCCAUGGAGCUUUGGUGCUGAUCAUGUUUUGCUCGUGAGAGAGGCUUAGUCAACAGGUAUGCAACAUUCAGAUCCGUGUGUAUCUUGCAAAUCUCUAUGUCCCCUUCUGACACUUGAUGACGGAUGGAAUUGAAGCGUCUCUUGAUGUGCUUGGUUCUCUUGUGAAAUCUGGAUUCCUUUGCCAAGGCAAUUGCACCAAUACUGUCACAAAAGAUUUUCAUUGGACCCGAUGCACUAGGUAUGACACCUAGAUCGGAUAUGAACUCCUUCAUCCAAACUCCUUCAUUCGCUGCUUCUGAAGCAGCAAUGUACUCCGCUUCACACGUAGAUCCCUCCACGAUGAUCUGCUUCGAACUGCACCAACUAACAGCUCCUCCAUUCAAUAAAAAUAUGUAUCUGGUUUGCAACUUAGAGUCAUCUGGAUCAGUGUCAAAGCUUGCAUCGACGUAACCGUUUACGACGAGCUCUUUUUCACCUCCAUAAACAAGAAAUAUAUCCUUAGUCCUUUUGAGGUAUUUCAGGAUGUUCUUGACCGUUGUCUAGUGCUCCACUCCGGGAUUACUUUGGUACCUCCCUGAUAUGCUUAUAGCAAGACAUACAUCAGGUCUAGUACACAACAUUGCAUACAUGAUAGAACCUAUGGCUGAAGCAUAGGGAAUGACUUUCACAUUCUCUCUAUCUCUUGCGGUGGUUGGGCCUUGAGUCUAACUCAAUUUCACACCUUGUAACACAAGCAAGAACCCUUUCUUUGAUUGAUCCCUUUUGAUCUUAUUCAAAACUUUAUCAAUGUAUGUGCUUUGUGAAAGUUCAAUUAAGCGUCUUGAUCUAUCUCUAUAGAUCUUGAUGCCCAAUAUGUAAGCAGCUUCUCCAAGGUCUUUCAUAGAAAAACUAUUAUUCAAGUAUCCCUUUAUGCUAUCUAGAAAUUCUAUAUCAUUUCCAAUCAACAAUAUGUCAUCUACAUAUAAGAUUAUAAAUGCUACAGAGCUCCCACUCACUUUCUUGUAAAUACAAGCUUCUCCAAAAGUCUGUAUAAAACCAUAUGAUUUGAUCACACUAUCAAAACGUUUAUUCCAACUCCGAGAGGCUUGCAUCAGUCCAUAAAUGGAUCGCUGGAGCUUGCACACUUUGUUAGCACCCUUUGGAUCGACAAAACCUUCCGGUUGCAUCAUAUACAACUCUUCUUCCAGAAAUCCAUUCAGGAAUGUUGUUUUGACAUCCAUUUGCCAAAUUUCAUAAUCAUAAAAUGCAGCAAUUGCUAACAUGAUUCAGAAAGACUUAGGCAUCGCUACGGGUGAGAAAGUCUCAUUGUAGUCAACUCCUUGAACUUGUCGAAAACCUUUCGCAACAAGUCGAGCUUUGUAAACAGUAACAUUACCGUCUGCGUCGGUCUUCUUCUUAAAGAUCCAUUUAUUUUCUAUGUCUUGCCGAUCAUUGGGCAAGUCCACCAAAGUCCACACUUUGUUCUCAUACAUGGAUCCCAUCUCAAAUUUCAUGGCCUCAAGCCAUUUCGCGGAAUCUGGGAUCAUCAUCGCUUCCUCAUAGUGCGUAGGUUCAUCAUGGUCUAGUAACAUGACUUCUAGAACAGGAUUACCAUACCACUCUGGUGUGGAUCUUACUCUGGAAGACCUACGAGGUUCGGUAGUAACUUGAUCUGAAGCUUCAUGAUCAUCAUCAUUAGCUUCCUCACUAAUUGGUGUAGGAAUCACUGGAACUGAUUUUUGUGAUGAACUACUUCCCAAUAAGGGAGAAGGUACAGUUACCUCAUCAAGUUCUACUUUCCUCCCACUCACUUCUUUCGAGAGAAACUCCUUCCCUAGAAAGGAUCUAUUCUUAGCAACAAAGAUUUUGCCUUCAGAUCUGUGAUAGAAGGUGUACCCAACAGUUUCCUUUGGGUAUCCUAUGAAGGCGCACUUCUCCAAUUUGGGUUCGAGCUUAUCAAGUUGAAGUUUUUUCACAUAAGCAUCACAUCCCCAAACUUUAAGAAACGACAACUUUGGUUUCUUGCCAAACCACAGUUCAUAAGGCGUCAUCUCAACGGAUUUUGAUGGUUCCCUAUUUAAAGUGAAUGCAGCCGUCUCUAGAGCAAAACCCCAAAACGAUAGCGGUAAAUCAAUAAGAGACAUCAUAGAUCGCACCAUAUCUUAUAAAGUACGGUUAUGACGUUCGGACACACCAUUUCGCUGUGGUGUUCCAGGUGGUGUUAAUUGUGAAACUAUCCCAUGUUGUUUCAAAUGAAGACCAAAUUGGUAACUCAAAUAUUCUCCUCCACGAUCAGAUUGUAGAAACUUUAUUUUCUUGUUAUGAUGAUUUUCCACUUCAAUAUGAAAUUCUUUGAACUUUUCAAAUGUUUCGGACUUAUGCUUCAUUAAGUAGAUAUAACCAUAUCUGCUCAAAUCAUCUGUGAAGGUAAGAAAAUAACGAUACCCACCACGAGCAUAAACACUCAUUGGACCACAUACAUUGGUAUGUAUUAUUUCCAAUAAGUCAAUAGCUCGUUCCAUUGUUCCGGAGAACGGAGUUUUAGUCAUCUUGCCCAUAAGGCACGGUUCGCAAGCACCAAGUGAUUCAUAAUCAAGUGAUUCCAAAAGUCCAUCAGUAUGGAGUUUCUUCAUGCGCUUUACACCGAUAUGACCCAAACAACAGUGCCACAAAUAAGUUGCACUAUCAUUAUUAAACUUCAAUCUUUUGGCUUCAACACUAUGAAUAUGUGUAUCACUACUAUCGAGAUUCAAUAAAAGUAGACCACUCAGCAAGGGUGCGUGACCAUAAAAGAUACUACUCAUAUAAAUAGAACAACCAUUAUUCUCUGAUUUAAAUGAAUAACCGUCUCGCAUCAAACAAGAUCCAGAUAUAAUGUUCAUGCUCAACACUGGCACCAAAUAACAAUUAUUCACCUCUAAAACUAAUCCUGAAGGUAGAUGUAGAGGUAGCAUGCCGACCGCGAUCACAUCGAAUUUGGAACCAUUUCCCAUGUGCAUCGUCACCUCGUCCUUAGCCAAUCUUCGCUUAAUCCGUAGCCCCUGUUUCAAGUUGCAAAUAUGAGCAACAGAACCAAUAUCAAAUACCCAGGCGCUACUGCGAGCAUUAGUUAAGUACACAUCAAUAACAUGUAUAUCAAAUAUACCUUUCACUUUGCCAUCCUUUCUAUCCGCCAAAUACUUGGGGCAGUUCCACUUCCAGUGACCAGUCCCUUUGAAGUAGAAGCACUCAGUUUCAGGCUUAGGUCCAGACUUGGGUUUCUUCUCUUGAGCAGCAACCUUUUUGCCAUUCUUCUUGAAGUUCCCUUUCUUCCCUUUGCCCUUUUUCUUGAAACUAGUGGUCUUAUUGACCAUCAACACUUGAUGCUCCUUUUUUAUUUCUACCGCAGCUUUUAGCAUUGCGAAGAGCUCGGGAAUCGUCUUGUUCAUCCCUUGCAUAUUAUAGUUCAUCACGAAGUUUUUGUAGCUUGGUGGCAGUGAUUAAAGAACUCUGUCAAUGACACUAUCAUCAGGAAGAUUAACUCCCAGUUGAGUCAAGUGGUUGUGGUACCCAGACAUUCUGAGUAUGUGUUCACUGACAGAAAUAUUCUCCUGCAUUUUACAGCUGUAGAACUUAUUGGAGACUUCAUAUCUCUCAAUCCGGGCAUUUGCUUGAAAUAUUAACCACAACUCCUGGAAUAUUUCAUAUGCCCCAUGACGUUCAAAAUGUCGUUGAAGUCCCGGUUCUAAGCCGUAAAGCAUGGCACACUGAACUAUCGAGUAGUGAUCAACACACGUCUGCCAGGCAUUCACAAUGUCUACAGUCGCGGGCAGGGGUGGUACACCUAACGGUGCUUCCAGGACGUAAUUCUUCUGUGCAGCAAUGAGGAUAAUCCUCAAGUUACGGACCCAGUCCGUGUAGUUGCUGCCAUCAUCUUUCAACUUAGCUUUCUCUAGGAAUGCAUUAAAAUUCAAAGGAACGGUACCAUGGGCCAUUGAUCUACAACAACAUAGACAUGCAAAAUACUAUCAGGUACUAAGUUCAUGAUAAAUUAAAGUUCAAUUAAUCAUAUUACUUAAAAACUCCCACUUAGAUAGACAUCCCUCUAAUCUUCUAAGUGAUCACGUGAUCCAAAUGAACUAAACCAUGUCCGAUCAUCACGUGAGAUGGAGUAGUUUUCAAUGGUGAACAUCACUAUGUUGAUCAUAUCUACUAUAUGAUUCACGCUCGACCUUUCGGUCUCAGUGUUCCGCGGCCAUAUCUGCAUAUGCUAGGCUCGUCAAGUUUAACCCGAGUAUUCUGCGUGUGCAAAACUGGCUUGCACCCGUUAUAUGUGAACGUAGAGCUUAUCACACCCGAUCAUCAUGUGGUGUCUCGGCAUGACGAACUGUAGUGACGGUGCAUACUCAGGGAGAACACUUGUACCUUGAAAUUUAGUAAGGGAUCAUCUUAUAAUGCUACCGACGUUCUAAGCGAAAUAAGAUGCAUAAAGGAUAAACAUCACAUGCAAUCAAAAUAUGUGACAUGAUAUGGCCAUGAUCAUCUUGUGCUCAUGAUCUCCAUCACCGAAGCAUCGUCAUGAUCUCAAACAUCACCGGCGCGACACAUUGAUCUCCAUCGUAGCAUCGUUGUUGUUUCGCCACCUAUUGUUACUACGAAUAUCGCUAUCGCUUAGUGAUAAAGUAAAACAAUUACAUGGCGAUUGCAUUGCAUACAAUAAAAGCAACAACCAUAUGGCUCCUGCCAGUUGCCGAUAACUUUGUUACAAAACAUGAUCAUCUCAUACAACAAUUUAUAUCACAUCAUGCUUGACCAUAUCACAUCACAGCAAGCCCUGCAAAAACAAGUUAGACGUCCUCUACUUUGUUGUUGCAAGUUUUACGUGGCUGCUACAGGCUUCUAGCAAGAACCGUUCUUACCUACGCAUCAAAACCACAACGAUUUUUCGUCAAGUGUGUUAUUUUAACCUUCAACAAGGAUUGGGCGUAGCCACACUCGAUUCAACUAAAGUUGGAGAAACAGACACUCACCAGCCACCUAUGUGCAAAGCACAUCGGUAGAACCAGUCUCGUGUAAGCGUACGUGUAAUGUCGGUCUGAGCCGCUUCAUCCAACAAUAUUGCUGAAUCAAAGUAUGACAUGCUGGUAAGCAGUAUGACUAUUAUUGCCCACAACUCUUUGUGUUCUACUCGUGCAUAUAACAUCUACGCAUAGACCUGGCUCUGAUACCACUAUUGGGGAAUGCGGUAAUUUCAAAAAAAAUCCUACGAUCAUGCAAGAUCUAUCUAGGUGAUGCAUAGCAAUGAGAGGGGAGAGUGUGUCCUUGUACUCGUAGACCGAAAGCGGAAGCGUUUAGUUAACGCGGUUGAUGUAGUCGAACGUCUUCACGAUCCAACUGAUCCAAGCACCGAAUGUACGGCACCUCCGCAUUCAGCACACGUUCAGCUCGAGGACGUCCCUUGUACUCUUGAUCCAGUUGAGGCUGAGGGAGUGUUUCAUCAGCACGACGGUGUGGUGACGGUGAUGAUGAAGUUACCAGCGCAGGGCUUCGCCUAAGCACUACGACGAUAUGACCGAGGUGUGUAACUGUGGAGGGGGGCAUCGCACACGGCUAAACAAUGUCAACUUGUGUGUCUAUGGGGUGCCCCCCUCCCCCGUAUAUAAAGGAGUGGAGGAGGGGGGAGCGCCGGCCCUCUAUGGCGCGCCCUGGAGGAGUCCUACUCCCACUAGGAGUAGGAUCCCCCCCCCCUUUCCCUAGUUGGACUAGGAGAGGAAGGAAGGGGAAGGAAGGAGGAAGGAAAGGGGGUCGUCCCCCCACCCAAUUCGGAUUGGGCUGGGAGGGGCGCCCCAUCCUAGGCUCCCUUCUCCUCUCUCCCACUAUGGCCCAAUAAGGCCCAUAUACUUCCCGGGGGGUUCCGUUAACCUCCCGGUACUCCGAUAUAUGCCCGAACUCACCCGGAACCGUUCCGAUGUCCAAACAUAGGCUUCCAAUAUAUCGAUCUUUAUGUCUCGACCAUUUCCAGACUCCUCGUCAUGUCCGUGAUCACAUCCGGGACUCCGAACUACCUUCGGUACAUCAAAACACAUAAACUCAUAAUACCAAUCAUCAUCGAACGUUAAGCGUGCAGACCCUACGGGUUCGAGAACUAUGUAGACAUGACCGAGACACAUCUCCGGUCAAUAACCAAUAGCGGAACCUGGAUGCUCAUAUUGGUUCCUACAUAUUCUACGGAUAUCUUUAUCGGUCAAACCGCAUAACAACAUACGUUGUUCCCUUUGUCAUCGGUAUGUUACUUGCCCGAGAUUCAGUCGUCCGUAUCUCAAUACCUAGUUCAAUCUCGUUACUAGCAAGUCUCUUUACUCAUUCCAUAAUAAUUCAUCAUGCAACUAACUCAUUAGUUACAAUGCUUGCAAGGCUUAUGAUGAGUAUUACCGAGAGGGCCCAGAGAUACCUCUCCGAAACACGGAGUGACAAAUCCUAAUCUCGAUCUAUGCCAACCCAACAAACACCUUCGGAGACACCUGUAGAGCACCUUUAUAAUCACCCUUUCAUGUUGUGACGUUUAGUAGCACACAAAGUGUUCCUCCGGCAUUCGGGAGUUGCAUAAUCUCAUAGUCCGAGGAACUUGUAUAAGUCAUGAAGAAAGCAGUAGCAAUAAAACUAACACUAUCAUAAUGCUAAGCUAACGGAUGGGUCAUGUCCAUCACAUCAUUCUCCUAAUGAUGUGAUCCCGUUGAUCAAAUGACAACACAUGUCUAUGGUUAGGAAACAUAACCAUCUUUGAUUAACGAGCUAGUCUAGUAGAGGCAUACUAGGGACUAUAUGUUUUGUGUAUGUAUUCACACAUGUAUUAAGUUUCCGGCUAAUACAAUUCUAGCAUGAAUAAUAAAAAUUUAUCAUGAAUUAAGGAAAUAAAUAAUAACUUUAUUAUUGCCUCUAUUGCAUAUUUCCUUCAGAUCAAGGCAAUUUGUGAAGGCUUGCCAGACAUGUGGCACUGCAUAUGUACGUGGCAUAUAGAAAAAAUAUGAAGAUUCAAGUCAUAAGUCCUUGAAGGAGUUACGAACUCUUUUGUACUACAGCACGUCCACAACCAUGUUUGAGAAGAUAUGGCACGCGUUUUCCAAAAGAUGGCAGUCGGAAAAAAUGGUAACAUGGUUGAGAUGGAUGUAUAAGAAGAGGAGACUGUGGGUCGCAACUUAUCUGACAGAGGGGUCUUGUCUUGGCAUGAAAAGCAACCAGAGGAGUGAAAGUCUAAACUCAUGCCUUUACCUCCACCUACACGGUGAAAUGACCCUGAUGGAUAUGAUUUUGCACUAUGAGAACGCCGUUGUACGUAUUCGUGAGAACGAGGCGCGAGAUGACUGCACGGCCUCACAGAGUUUACCGGUGCCAGUUACUAGCUCGAGGGAACUUGAGAUAGCUACUUCUCAUGUCUUCACUCCAGCAAACUUCUAUAUGUUGCAAGAUGAUCUUAGAAAAAUUGGCGGCAUGGAGUUUGUAGAAAUAAAGCUCGGAGACGGAUCACAGCAGUACAUCGUGGCCUGGAAGAAUAACCGAAAGAGCCGUUUUUGGGUGGAGUAUACACCAGUAAAUUCCGCAAAAACUAUAAGGUGCAACUGCAGAAGAAUGAUUUGAAAGGGUCUACCUUGCAAGCACAUAUUCCAUGUACUGAAGUACUUGAAUAUAUCUGAAAUACCAAAGAGUUUAGUUCUUGUUCGAUUCACGAAAGAAGCAAGGUUGGGACUGCCCGCGAGGCGCACAAGCGAUCUGUUGGGAUUUGGUUAGACUGGGGCAGGUGAAAGAAUGAAAUAUAUCCAGGUCAGUGUGUUGGCUUCAAAAGCUAUGCAUGCGGCAUGCAAACACCCAGCUUUAUGGGAUCAGUUACAGGAGAGUUUGAAGGUCGUGAUAGCUAAGAUCCAUGCGUAUGAUCAGCUAAAGGAAAAUUUGAGAAGGAAAACGGCUGAUCUCAGUAGAUGUGCAAUUGAAUAUGUAGACAAUGGUGAAGGCAACAUAGUUGAAGUUCAAGAUCCUAUUAAAGUAUCAACGAAAGGUGCAACUAAGUAUGCCACUUUCAUACUAUGAACUCAGAAUCAGGUGCGGCGCUUGCAAAUUGCUAGGGCACACUAAACGCAGCAAGAAAUGCAAACUAAAUAAGAAGUAAGUUUAUGUAUGCAUUGUAGGUUAUAAUUAUUUUUAACUUGUCAUUCAUUAGCUUUUCCUAUCUGUUAUCAUGUGUAGAAACAUGGUGGACGAAGAAGAGUAAAACACUUGCUAGAGUUAUGUACGGAUGAAUCCAGUGAUGUAGUAGUGAGGUGUUUACAAUGUGCUACUGUAUACAUGAUAUAUACUAUUGCAAGAGGCCAGGACCUUGAGAUAGCGCUUGUAGCAUAUAUGGACUAAAUAGGAGGCGGUCACUAAGGACUUUAAUCAUGGAAAAUGGAUAGCAUUUUAGCCUUUGUAAUGAUGGCAUGUUUUGUGUUGUCCACUCGAGUUGUAUUAUCGUAAAAAACUAGAAGAUACCCCGCACGUUGUUGCGGGAAUGUUUUGCAAUAUAUUCAUAGAGAAUUGGUUACGUGGAACAUGUAUAUGUUGUUACGGGAAUUUAUUGAUUGCAUGUUGUGGUGGACCUUUCUCCAUGCAUGUUGAAUGAUGAGGUGGCAUACUUGCAUGUUAAGAGAAAUAGGUUAGUGGGGGCUAGUUAUUUAGAUAUAGAAGAUGUAAUUAUGUGUGGUAAUAAUUAAUUUUUUUCACUCCUUUGGUUUAUUUACCGAAAACCAGCACACUUGGGGUCUAGAGUAUAGACUUGGUACCGAAAAACACACCAUUUUCCCCGUAAAAAAAAAAGAAAAACCCACCAUUUUAUGUUGUUGGUAGGCAGGCAUUUUUUAUUUUUUAUUUAAUUUUUUGCAUAUGUCACAUGUCAAAUUUUGCACACAAGUUUGAAUCAUUCAAUUUUUCUAUUUUAAUUAAAAUAGAAAUUUGACUAAAUUUUAAAAAAAAUUGGACCAAACAUUGCCACCAUGUGAGGAUGCCCAAAGUCAUUUUUUUGACCUCCUCCAAAUCACCUCAAAAAUUGCAAACAUGAUCUCCUACUCAAACAUAGAAAGGUUUCACAAUUUUUUGAUUUUUUUUGAAUUUUUUAUGCCCUGUCCAAUGCCAGUUAGAAACACUCGGCUUCACGGAGCCACUAUAAAUUGUAAAAAAUUAUAAAAAGGAAAUCUUUCAUAUUCUUUCUAUUUAUAUCAUGGAGAUCAUGCCUACAAAAGAAAAUUGAGGUGAUUUGGAAGUGGUGGGAAAAAUCACCUUUGUUCAAAAACUAACUUAAGUUAAGACCAAAUGGUCCCUUCGUAAUGCGGUGAUUUUUUCGACCACCUCUAAAUCACCUCAAUUUUUGCACACAUGAUCUCUUGCACAAACACAGCUAGGUUUCCAAGGUUUCAUAUUUUUUUUGAAUUUAUACUGCCCUCUAGACUGAUUGAUCAAAACAUCGGUCUAUACCUCAAGGGGUCAUUGUAAAAUACUUUUUUUUAAAUUUCUUUUAUAGCCAUGUUUGGCACAUGUAGGUCACCAUGUAAAAGAAAUUUGGGGUGAUUUGGAGGUGGUCAUAAGAAUCACCUUUGUUCAAAAACUGGCUUAAGUUAGACCAAAUGGUCCCUCCGUAAUGCGGUGAUUUUUUCGACCACCUCUAAAUCACCUCAAUUUUUGCACACAUGAUCUCUUGCACAAACAAAACUAGGUUUCCAAGGUUUCAUAUUUUUUUGAUUUUGUUUUGAAUUUAUACUGCCCUCUAGACUGACUGAUCAAAACAUCGGUCUAUACCUGAAGGGGGCAUUGUAAAAUAGUUUUUUUUAAUUUUCUUUCAUAGCCAUGUUUGGCACAUGUAGGUCACCAUGAAAAUUUGUCAUAUUUCAAUAUUUUAUGUUAUUUUUAAAAUAGAAAAUUGAAUGAUGCAAAUUUAUGAAAACCACAACUCCAUGUAAUUAAGUUUGCAACCUAUGUAAAUAAGACAAGUGUACUUUAUAACAAAAUAGUAGUAAUUGAUUUGGGAUGAAGUAACAUGUGACAGAUGGAAAAUAAUAGUAAUUAAUUUGGGAUGAAAAAUAUGUGACAGAUGGGAAAAAUAUGCGCCCUUACUAGCAGUAGAUUUCAACACAGAGGGCCUGCAUAUGACUAGAAACCCAUCAUUUUUGGGCCAGGAUACAUGCCCGUCAUGCACGAACUUCUACUGCUAGUAGGGCCCACAAGGCAGAGAGGUAUCAAUCAGAUGUUGUUUGGGUGAGAGAGGCUUGUGCUAAGCUACUGGCAGCCGAGUAUAUAAGCUGGUGCGACCACCUCUUGCUUGGCGAGGUGGGACUAAACUCUCACCACCGGAUGCUCUGCCCUAGUGCGCCCAUGCGAUAGGCCAGAUUAGAUGGGCUUUCACAGGCCGGCCUAACCCGCGUGUUGGACCAUGCGUGGGUAUAGAUGGCUAGGAUGGCCCAUGGUUUUCCUUUUGUUUACAUAAAAUUUACCUGACCCCUCAAAAAAUAACAUAUAAAUUACCUACUUUUUAAUUACUCCCUAUGAAUUCAAAAGGUAUUUUUAUCGAACACAACUUUUUAAAUAUUUAUAUUUUCUUUUCUUAUAAAUAAGUGACAUUUUCAAAAUUCUAAUAAGUAGGAUAAUAUAACUUUAUUAAAAAAUAUAGUACAUCUUAUUUCAAAUUCUUUUUUGGCACACACAAUUUUUAUCUAGUAUUACAUUACUCUUCUAGAUUUACAUUUUAUUUCCUUCACACUUUGAUGAUGGAAUAUUUGCUCUGUUAUUGCAAGAGUUGUUGAAAUGAUGGAAUAUUUGAUCUUUUUGCUUAUUCAAAUGAUGCAUUGAUGGAAUGUGUGAGGAUGAAGAAUUAUCAAUAACUUUACUAAACCCCAUGUACCAUAAUUCAUGACACAGCUAAUUUGGAACAUUGGCAGAUUCUUAAUUUGGUAGGAUUUGCACAUGGGCACAACAUGUUGCACUUGCCCACAGCAUGGAUAAGUGUUGCAGCAUGUGUGAAGCAACACUGAAGCAGCAUUUGUGAUCAUUGCACCAUCGGAACUCGUAAACUACACAUUGAAACAACAUCUAAACAGAAGGUAGCAUUCACCACAAAUAAAUUUAAGGCCACACAAAUAUAGAUAGCAUUCUAGAUUACCACCACAAGUACCAUCCAGUUCACAACAGAUCCAGUUCAGACACAUACUACGUUACAUUAAUAUAUAUACUAGAUUAGUAGAGCUAGUUCCCAAUAGUGCACACCCAGAUGCAGCUUUCCAAAAGUAAAACAUCAUCAAAUCUACUGAUGAUGAGUAGGGCUUCCAGCUUCUGAUGACCGGCAUGAUGUAGGGCAACUACACUGGAUACAAGACCUUCGCAAGGGCAGCAUGCUGCGCCCUGAUCUUAGGGUCGUCCCUGCUGACCGAUGAAGCCUGUGCAUGAUCCAAAAGAUGCUCAUAGAGCCCAUCCUUGGGCUUUGGCUUCAUGCAGUAGGGGCAUAUGAACUUCUUCCCCUUGUAGUAGCAAGAAAGACCCUUGUCCCUGAUCUUCUGCACCUCCUUCUCUAUGGAUGAUUCGAUGUUGGUGUGGUCCACCUCAUCUCCAGAUUCAUAAUGCACACAUGAAUGAAUUCCAUUAUUACUUAUAUAAAACUAGUGCCGAUAAUACAAUAUAGGCUUCAGCCUACCAUACAAUUGUGCUAUAAAUGGACUACUAUAUAUGUAUAGGCCUUCAGCCAUGCAAGCAAAUCACUUAAGGCAUCAGGUUCAUAUACAUGCCAGAGUUGUGGAUGAAGCAAACAUCAUCUGACCUUAAUUACCACAUGUCACCCAACUAGCUAGUUGGUCUUAGUCCUUUGCUUCCUCUACCAUCUGGCAGGACAGAGAAGAUAGAAACCUCACAGGUUCCCAAAUGAAACUAGAUAGCAGAAACACGUCGUAUGGACAGGAUUGUCUAGGUUUUGAGCCCAGCCUCUGUUUACAUCAUAGACUCUAUAGUCUAUAAUUACAUCCAUGAUUACAAAUUUAAGUUAAUGAACCUAUACUUUAAAUACAAAUCUUAAUUUACACUACUAUCUAAGUUUUGAGCCCAGCCUCUAUUUCCAUCUUACAUUCUCAACUCUACAUAAUUACAUCCAUGAUUUGAAAUUUAUACCUAAUAAACCUAUAUUGUAAAAUAAAACUCUUAAUUUACAUUAGUGUCUAAGUUUUGAGCCCACCCUCUGUUUCCAUCAUAUAUUCUCCACUGUAUAUGACAACAUGUCAUAUGAACUAAAUGAACAAUCUAAAUUUUCAGGGUGGGCUUACCUCAAAGACUUCGUCGUCGCCAUAGCCUUCGGCAUAUGGGUCUUUGAAGUCAGUCAUGUCCAGCUUCCUCUUCUUCUCCGCAGAACCAUCCACCUCACUAUAAAAUUACACUCAUUAGUACUAGUUACACAAGCCAACUGCAAAUUUUAAUAUGCACACAUGACACAUUGAUCAACCUAUCCUAACUAUGAUCAUACUUGCAUUUUCCAUUUCCAUGCACACAAUCUGAACAACAUAGCUAAUAUAACUGCAUAUUCUGGAAAACUUUCUAAUUACAGGAAACCUGCAUAAAAGAAUAAUUUAAAUGUACCUAAGCAUUUUUUGGGAUAAUGCAGCAAAGCUCCUACAUAUAUUAACAUAAUGCAGUAGUUACUUAGAUACCACUUCAACUAUAAAUGCAUACAUCUCCAGCUAACAUCUAAAAUUGCAUUACUUACCUAAACAACAAAAAGUUAUACUAUAGAUGAAUCAAGUAUCAUCUAAAUCAAUUCAUAGGCACAUCAAAAUUAAUGCAUUCCAUUUGGGCAUAUGACAUACAAAACUCCAAUCUGUGCAACAUUGAACCACAGAUCUAAUAUAAUAAUCAUAUAUGUUUGCAGCAUUGAACCACAGAUCUAAUAAUGAUAUUUGGUCUAUCUGUUCUUAAAUUCCCUCAUAAAUAAGGUGUUAAACCUCAUACUAACUAAAAUCUAAGAAGCAAAAUUUCAACUACUAAUCUAAUAAGCAUCUGAAAAAAACCAUCCCUCAAUCCGACUACUUCUAACCUAAUCUAAUAAUCAUAUGUGCUCCACCAUUCUUGCCAGAAUCAUAUACAGAAAUGAGAAAACCCUAAUGCUGAGAAAACCCUCCAUCCAACUAAUCUAACCCAAGAAACUUUUGGCCAAACCCUAGAAUCUAAAAACUACAACGAAAAUGGAUAAUGAAUUACCUUCUGCUCCACCUGCUCCUCGCUAGAGCCGGCGUCCACCUUCUCCACCUUGUGCGCCUCGCUAGAGCACGCCUCCACCUUCUCCACCUUUUGCGCCUCGCCGGAGCUCGCCAGAGCGGGCGCAUCUGGCUGGACUGCGCCGCUCCUGCCCGCCUCCACCUUCUCCAGAUCUGCAGCAUCUGCUGCACCGCCUUGGACGCCGGCACCUCCCUUCACCGCUGCGGGCGCCGCGACCUGCUACACCUGCGCCACCAGAUUUGCGCCCCAAUCGGGGCGCUCGCUUCCUGCGUCCUCCAUGGUGAUGGAGGUGAUGGAGAGGAUGCGGUGGGGGAGAGGGAGACAACAAGGCGGACGAGGAGAGGGAGAGGAGAGGGAGACGAUGCGGCGGGGGAAAUGGUGGGCGAUGCGGCCGGAGGUGGUUCCCCUCCUCAUUUAUAUGAUGGGACAGUUUUGACAUGUUCCCAUGGACACGUGCUGCCCCACGCGCGGGCGGUUGCAUGCGAAAACGAAACACCCGGGCGUAUACGAAUACGACCAUACGGUCGGGCAUAUGAACUAAUCGGGUCGUACGGGCCCCACAGGACUCCUCGACAGCUAUACACACGGGCAAAAAAGACGAUCGUGCCCCUCGUUUCGAACCGUUUUUGGUUAAUCCUGGCUGUCCUUGUGUUUCUCCCCCUUGCGUUCAGCCCAGGGGGGGUGCACCGGAGCAGAAACGAGUGUUCACUAGUUUGGCUAAAAAGAAUAGUCUCAAUGCCAUAUACAAUAAGAACUCACACUCAAGGAUGUCAUCUACCAUCUCGUCGGCGUCGGAGACAUGGAAAAGAUGGCACAUGAGCACGAGAAGGCAAGGGAAGCUACGCGAAGGGGCUCUCUCUAGGUCAGAGGAGCCGUGGGAGGCGAUGCGGACGACCAUAGGACCUCCUCGCCGACAAACCGAGCCAUGACUAGGGUUCACCGUGGGGCAUGUUCGGAGGUGGAAGUCAGCAUGAUGACAUGGAGUCGUAGUGGCGGGUCCCGUUCGGUAGUUGGCAGUGCUGAUUAAUAGUUUGAAAGUGCAUCCCCAAGAUACCCUAUUGGUUUCGAUGAUUUAUGACAAAACCAUUUUAGAGGACUAAUGAUUUCAAUAAGCUUGUUUUAGAGACUAUGACUAAUUUUCGUAUGCCGUCCUUGAUAGGUGGAACAUCAAUGAUGAUGUUACUGUUACAUUUUUCGUUCAAACAAGUUACAGGGAGCUACCACAUUGCCACCUCAAAAGAAGUAAUACUGGUUCCUAGCUAGUAGCCACACACAUGGAGCGACUCACGCAGCUCCAACCAAUUAAAGUUUCGUGAAUCUUCCAUGGCUAUUCAUUUGGCCUCGCUCGACGUCACCCGGCUCUGGUGACCACUUAUGUCCCGGAUGGAUGUCGCCGGCCACACGCCCCUCGAAGACGACGAGAUGAGCAGCGUGUGAUCCUCGUCGCCCCGCCCAUCCAAGCGAAGAUAAGACGCCCACUCCCUUCCCUCCACAUGGCACCCGCCCUCCAAUCCCUUACUUAUUCCCGCCCCCCUCACUCCUCCAUCCCCUAGCUCGCUCGCCUAUCCUCUCCACCUCCUCAGCCACACCUAGAGCAUCUUAGCUCCGGCUAGGUAGCUAGCAAUGGCCGCCGCACUGAGCCUCCGCGCGCCCUUCUCCCUGCGCGCCGUGGCGCCACCGGCGCCCCGCGUGGCCCUCGCGCCCGCGGCCCUCAGCCUCGCCGCCGCCAAGCAGGUGCGGGGAGCCAGGCUCCGCGCCCAGGCGACGUACAAGGUGAAGCUGGUGACGCCCGAGGGCGAGGUGGAGCUGGAGGUCCCCGAUGACGUCUACAUCCUCGACCAGGCCGAGGAGGAGGGGAUCGACCUGCCCUACUCCUGCCGCGCCGGCUCCUGCUCCUCCUGCGCCGGCAAGUUGGUGUCCGGCGAGAUCGACCAGUCCGACCAGAGCUUCCUCGACGACGACCAGAUGGAGGCAGGGUGGGUGCUCACCUGCCACGCCUACCCCAAGUCCGACAUCGUCAUCGAGACCCACAAGGAGGAGGAGCUCACCGCAUAAGCUGCUUUACCUAUCUCUCUUUGCAAGAUAAUAUCACGGACCCUGAGACCUGUGUAAACCCUGAGAGCUGAUUUCAUGCAUGCACGGACAUUG